UUAUGCAUGAAACCUUCCCGUUUAUUCAUAUAAGAUUCCAAAGAGGAAUUCCAUGGCUUCGUUUUUAGAAUUUUGUGGAUUAACCAGCAUGCCCUAGCAUCAAAACCAGAACUGCCAUGCCCAUUCCACAAACAGACACUAGUACAGGUACCACGAGGGGCUAUCCUACUUUAGGAACAGUAAAGGACGAUCCCUUGUUCUGCACUGCAGAAAGAUCACAAAAACAAAUAACAAGUAACAGGUCUAACAUAGUCGCCACCAACGCGACCUGCAGGCAGGUCCAACGACCCCCACAGCAAAGACGGUCAAAUCUCGGGUGGCUUUCCCAGUGAACAGUUGCAUCUCUCCCGGCCGCAAACAGUAUCAUCCUUCAGUGUCUUCCCCUUCGUCAACCUCCUCGCAGUAACCUUCUCACCAGUAACCCAAACCCAGAACCGAGAUUUCGAGCAAUAGAGCCGUCAGAUCUCAGUCCCGGAGUGCUUCCCAAAACCACCAGAGGUUUCAACCACCUUAACGGCUUCAGUACUCGGGUUGGCGGUCGUUCCUCCAGUUCCCAGAGCUGGGUCCUCCACGGCCACCGUAGCCGCCACCACCACCGCCUCCGUAGCCUCCACCACGGCUUCCUCCAUAACCACUACCUUCACGGUCACCUCCUCCACGGCUUCCACCGUAACCUCCUCCAUAGCCACCUCCUCCUUGCUCUCUGCGGCCGUAGCCACCACCGCCGCCACCGCCACCACCGCCUCCACCACGAGACUGGGCUUGGUUGACGGUGAUGUUGCGACCGUCCAACUCCUGGCCGUUCAUCUCCUUGAUGGCAGCGUUCAUUGAGUUCUCAUCGGCGAAAGUAACAAACCCAAACCCGCGAGACCUUCCGGUCUCCCUGUCAGAGAUCACCUUACUCUGCACAACCUCGCCGAAGGGACGGAACGCACCCUCCAGGCGGCCGUCGGUAGUGGCCCAGGCCAACCCUCCGACAAAGCACCUGAAUUCUUCUCCACCGGCCAUCUUGGUAGAGUGAAAGCUGCGGAACAAGAAACAAGUCACAAGAGACCAGUAAAGUAACAAGAGGCGCAGGGAAGAAGGUAUCCCUGGAGGCCUCUGAGAAGAGAGCGAAGCGGACCGGGACGAAGGAAUGGGAGAGCACUACUCGAUACAUCGCAACGACGAGCUUAUGAGGGGGACGGGUGGGCGCCCCUACCGUCGGCCGACUCGCGGUCGGUCCAGCGAGUUAGUGCCAUCAGAGCCCAACAUCCGGUGGUCGCGCCUACUGCCUCUUCUGACGCGGCUGCUGCAUCGGGACCGUCAGAUGCAUCCUAUUCUGGUGGGAGAUAUUUUGUGGUCUGGACAAAAAGUUGCUCAAGGGUUUUUCGAGUUUAGGGCAGAUCCUUCCCCGGCACCGCUCCAGCCUUUGCACUUGCAUAGUAGACAGGAACUGCACACGUGGUAUCUAGGAUCCAUUUGACUAGAUAUUCGUAAAAUCUUGGCAUAAUAUACAAAUAUAUAUAUUUAUUAAACUUAUCUUGCCAACCCGCAUUGAUCCGUGAAUAUGUUUACGUGAUGAUUUCGAAAAAUGACAUUGUCCUAUUAGGUUGGCUAGAUAAAUUUAUUGGAGAUGGAAAAGAAUUGGGCUUUCCCUUUAGUAUUUUUUUAGUUUUUUAAAUCUUUUUUCCUACGAACUUGUGACUAAAUCUACAACCAAUCAUCUUGAUUGAUUCCAGAAGAAAAAAAAGUUGUAUGUGUGUGUUGAGAAAGACACCAUCAGUACAUGUCUCAAUAAAACUCCACUUUGGACAAGGAACGAAGGGAGAGUUUGUUGCAUAUGGAUGAAGCGAAGGUGGAACAUCCAAAUAACAAUGUAUAACCAUCAUCCAUCCAUGACCGUCUCGAAAACUGCACACACAGUUGAGUGAACAGUGUUCGGAUUCUAAAUUGCAAGGUGACACAAAAGCAUGGACCUACAACUAUAACAGUGCAUGAAAACUUGAUAGCGCGAUCACAUUUGCACAAGAAACCUAGAUGCUAUUUUCUUAUGAAAUUGUUGGAAACUCAUAGAUAAGUUCGAUUUUCGUCGACUCGACGGAAAUCGUUUGCUCGAUUGUUCGUUUUGUGCCGUGAGGCAAAAGACGGCAACCCGCGGCACUGAGCGGCAGACGGUGGCAAUUAUCGGGGCUCGGUCAGCCCAGGUUUUUCUCAGAUUGAUCUCCUCAUCGCGCCAUAUUUUCUCUCGCCAAUUGCUGGUCUCACAUCGUGGACGACGAUUGUAGCCUUGUUUUAGCGUCGCAGCUGCUUCGCCACCGUCUCUGCCUCACGCGUGCUGGACAACCGCAGGUGAGCCGCUUCUAUCUUUAAUUGCGAUUUUUUUAAGUGAACGAUGCAGGCAUGUGUUGGUGAUGCUGUUCCCCUCCGUGUCCUACCGAAAGUUUCACAAUCGUGUUUGUUGUAAAUGCAAAACUAUUUUGUACGGGUUGAGGAUCGUGCGUUUCUAGAACAUUGCUUCGUGUUGUGGAGGAAGAUGGUGUAGGGUGUGCUACCCUCCAGGAGCACGGAUUCUGCAGUAUUCUCUCAAGGAUACCGUUCUCUUGCUCCGUGAAUGUUGCGCUGUCUGUGUGUCGAUCGCGUUAUUAAAGUACCUCUGGUCGCUUGGUUUUUCUGUGGAGGGUUUCAACUGCAUUAGUCUAUUCUGCUGGUGGAUUCGGAGUAUUUUUGACACAUCAUGCUGAUAAUUAGGGUUUCCUCUUUUGUUGAUCGUUUUUGAACUCUCGACGAUUUGUUCUCGUCAUGUAUAGGUUAUCUUUAUUGCAGCCACACGUUUACAUGUUCCUCUUUUUCUGAGGUGGUGCGUGGCCUUCACCAAGAGGUGUUGCAGGUGAGAAGGAAAACAUGAUUUCCGCUAGAUGGAAUUUGGCCGUUGGCCCAGUUAUUAUGGUUGCUGGCGCCUUUGGAGCUGUUGUUGCAGCUACUGUAGCCAACGAGGUAUGUGCAUGUUUUUUUUUUUUUUUUUUUUUUUUUUUUUUUUGUGUACUCUGUCUCGUUUUUUUCCUAUGAGCUAGUAAUAUUUUUAAAAUGACUCUCAUGUUCCAUAAUUAAAUGGUAACAAACGUUUGUUCAUCUUUUGCAGUUUAGUGGCAGCAAGCAAGACAAAGUAUCACAAGAGAAGCCUAAAGCUUGAAACAGUGAAUGAAAGAUGUUGCCGACUAGCUGUGCAGAAACUCGGUGGCAGUUCGUGCGGAUUUUCGUCACCAGUCAUGCCUUGAGAUUUUUCCUGCACGAAAUUACGACUGCAAUAAAUCAAUAAUCUUUGCAUCUUAAUAUCUGCGUUUUGUUGCCGUUCUGACGCUUACGAAUCAUAUGUUGAGAAUCCGCGGUCUGGUUCUUUCAGAUAUGAACGGGACUUUCUGCAGUUGACCCAGAGGUGCAUGUUUUCGAUAUAUGCCUUCACAUGCACGAAUUUUUUUUUUGCACAAGUAAUAGUCUCCGCUACUCAUCAAUGAAGACCAACUUGAUCGUCAUCAUGAGCUUAUGCCUACUUUGCUCAAUCUUACGCAGCUACUGUAUUGGUCUGGUAUUGUGUCAUUUUCGCUCAAAGGGCGAUCGUCUUUUUCUGGAGGUAUUUUGACAUGGAUUUCCAUAGUCCUGUUACAUAGUUCUGUAACAGGUCGUGCAUGUGCUAGGCUUUUAUCUAUUUCUCUUUAUUUCUUUCUUCUUUCUUCACCUCUUCCGUCAAUUCUUUCUUCGUUGGUGUCCUAAUGCGCAAGAAACUUGAUUUCACCAUUUAAAUGUGAAGCAGAUUAUAAUGGACUCGGGGAGCUUAAAGUUGGUAUUUGAGUAGCUCUGUGCAAUCUGUUAGUGCCUGUUGAACUUUGAAGGCACGUUCUUGGUACUCAGCGCUUACAACUCGUUUCUCAUUACUUGGUUUGGCACUGCACGUGAGAUGCAGCUAGAACAGAUAAUGCCGCUUUGAGUACUUUACUGAUGGUGUUGUAAUUCGUCGAUUUGUUGGUCAAGUGGAUUUUGUACAUUCUAUGAUGAUAGUUCCAUCAAUAAUCACACACAGACAUACACACACCGCAAAAAACAAACAAACAAGUGAAAUACAAAUACUUGUAAAAUUUUAGAAUUUGUACUGUGCUGGAGUAACUUGGAAAUUUGUCACAUCACUCAGCCUACACUAGUUAUCAGAGCUCCUCCAAUUUACUCAUCUAGAAGUUCACAGAUUCUCCGUUAAGUGUAAACCCCUUUUGUUUAUAUAGAAUAGUAUCUUAAGACAUUACAAAUGUUGAUCUUCAUAGCUUACAGAUUGCGGAUAAACUUGCAUUGUUUUCUUGAAGAGAAAAUCUCACCAAUGCCCAUGUAGCAAUCGUAGCGAUUACAAUAUCUUUGUAUAUUGAAAUGUUGUUUUUAUUACUAAAAUGUGGUUUGAAGAAGAUUAUCUAUUAAACGUUGGCUAUUCUUUGAACAGGAGCUUUGUUGCUUCAAGUAUGUCAGGUUUUUAGCGUGUUUGUUAUUUAGUUAUGUUUUUUGAGUAAACUGAUUUUUAGCACUCAUGCUCCACACUCAUGCAUUAUUAAUAAUUGGAUGUGAAAAUGUUACUGUUCAUGAUGUAUAGAUAUGUGUUCUUCCAAACCACGUCCAACUGCUCAAAUCGACCGCUAUUUCUUCAGCCGCAAGGGAAAGAAGUAUCCAACCGGCACCCGAGCCAAUCUCGUCACCACCAUGGGUUUCUGGGAGGCAACUGGACGCGACAAACCCAUCCACACUAAGCUAAACCAGACUCUGAUCGGCAUGCGCAAAACGCUUGUAUUCUAUCAAGGCUGUGCUCCACAUGGCAUCAAGACUGACUGGAAUUUGCGCGAGUUUAGCCUUGACGACAGAUCCGAACGACCAACCCAUGUAAAUUCCUGCUCACCUUUCAAUUUCUGUACUUUUCUUAAUGUUUUUUCCGUCUUGUUUUUCAUAAGUUUGCAGUUCGUAUUCUAGGUUUUUGAUAACCUAUCAAGUUGUACACUGGGUUUUCAGGACGGUGGGUGGGUGGUCUGCUGUGUAUUCAAGAAGAACAAAAACCUGAAGAUGGAAAUGCAGCAAGAAAGAGCUACUUCUUACGAAGAGCAAAUGGGUGCGCUGCCUCCUGAAGCACUGGGCUCUCCCAACGUACUCCCUGUAGACGACCAGUUAACACUUCUUGAAAAAUCUUCCCGAAAAAUCUCCCUGAAAAAUCUUCCGGGGUCAAGCGAGAAAUCACUAACCUCGGCGACUGUCAACUCCAUCAGUCUAACGAGUAUCUGAACUCGCUUCAUCGGGAGCUUGGAUACCCCUCAAGCUUGAAUAGACCAGACGAUGUCAACUAUUUCAUGAAUUUGUAUCCAGAAACGUCAAACUCGGGCUUGUGUGAGUUUAAUGAUCCCCAGACUUCUAGUGGCAGUGACGGCACGGAGCUGAACCACGAAGAAACAAUCUCGGGAUCCUCCCACAACGACUCAUGCUUCGAAGACAGGUCGCUAUCGUUGCCCCUGGGCUCUUGGUCCAGCGCCAAAGCCAAAGCUCUAAGAGUAAUCAAAGAGCAGGCUGACGACAUGUGUUUUGAAGACGAAAUGUUGAGAUUCGGAUUCUAUGGCAUUGAUCACGACCGCGACUGCAGUGGAGAGAGCUUGAAUGGCAUGGCGGGGCAAGGAUGCUUUAAUCCCAAAUUGCAAAGCACGACGAGCCCCAAAUGGGUGAAAGUGUUGGUAAACCCCAUGACGUCGAGAAACCGGGUGUUCCCCAGCCGGUCGAAGGACGAUGUCAGGAAAAAUUGAGGCUCAAGAAAGCGGGCUGCGCGAUUUGCUUCGUCUGAUUGGGGUCGUAAAGAAGAAAACGAUGAAGUGUCACUGCAAGAGCAGCGCACUGUGUUUUCGUGGCUGCAGGUAAUUGUCAAUUCUCUCACCCCAGCAUAUGAGUACAAACGAGCUUCCUCGAUGCACGCAUGUGAUCACUUCCACGAUGCACAAUCCAGACUCAUUCAAUUUUCUCCGAUUGGGUGCGCACGAAGUGCAGCGUUGCACAAUUCCCAUAAAUAUAACCCAUUUUUGGACUUUGCUGUAAGCAGGAUGCAGACACAAGAUCACAGCUGAGGAGACGCGAGCAAAGGGACCAGCGGGUGUCGUCGUCAUCUCCUUCGCGCUAAUCCUAGCACUGAAUGUUUUUGCUGUGAACAAAUGUGAUUUCAACGCUCAAGUUUAUAUGCUCAGGGCAGCGGCGCCACUUUUGCCUGCCUUGCUUGAUCGUGUGGAAGCCUGACAGGGGACUCUGGUGUUUGGAUUUGUUUCAAAUGUAGUUGGACGUGGUUUGGGAGAACUCUGCGACUGCAGCGAGGGGGGGCAGCGGGGGAGGGGGCGUCCUGUUCGCGGGCCCCAGUUCAAACUAAAAAAACAGUAAGUAGAUAGGUUAUCACUUCGAGGGGCAUUUUUGCAAUUAUCAAUACUUGACGGGUAUUCUUGAUAUUUCGAAAAAGUUCAGUAAAAUGUGUGAUGUUUGUUCUUUUGUAAACCAUAUUUACAAUCUGUUCACAAUUUUAGGUAAUAUGUUGUCUUUAUUUGUUUACAACCAUUACUGUAGCCAACCCAUUUCCAAUAACUUAAGCAUUUUAGCAUAUCUGCUGUAAGUGUAUGAAAAAAUAAAAAUAUAUCUGUGUAGAGAAAUAGAAAUUAUGAGGAUUCCAAUUGAUUUUACUCGAUUUACUUGCCCAAAAACGGAAUUUUUAUCAAUGUUUUAGCUGAAGAUUCUCUUUGACCCAAAUUUGACAUAUAAGCCAACCUAAUUCCAACCAGUGGUUGGUUACAAAAUCAAGAAUGUUUGAUUCUAGCCAAAUUUUCUGAGUUGGCAUGAAAUUCUUAAUUUUUUACCCAAUGGCAUUAUGGAGUUGAGGCAAAAAUAUUAAUUGAGAAAUGUGAAACCACAAGGUCUCAAAACUGAUCAAUAUUGUCAUGUCAAGUUGAUCAAAAAUAUACCAUCCUAUAGGUUGGAAAUGGAGGGUGGUUGAGAAUGGGUCAACUACAUUAACAUGUAUAAUCUCUACAUUGGUUUCUCUUGCACUGAUCUUCUAUAUGGUUCCUGUUUCCAUCCAUGACUUCCAACAAGCUAUUUACAUUCAUAUUGCAGAUUCAAAAAAUAAUAAUUCCACCAUACCAACCAUCAAUUUUAAAGAACAAUUCAAUUCCUUGUACUGUUAACUCUUUAAAACAUGUACUAUUACAAUUAUAUGCAACUACAGUUGCUUGAAAUUUAGUAGCAUACACAAGCAAAGUUAGCAGUGUCAAUAUUUUAAACUCUUAAAAACUAAUUGUCAACAAAUUUCUUCCAAAUAUCCCCAAAUCAUAUGUGUCAUGUGCUUCUUGUGUUUGUAGGAUUAUAGAAAUGUUCUGUAAAAACUACCACAAUGUCAAACAAGGUAGUGAUAUAUAUAUAUAUAUAUAUUCAUUAUAUUUUUCUGUUGUAUAACUUUAAUUGUAUAAUCAUUUAAAACAUGGUACAAAAAUGAAAAGUUAUUAAAUAAUAUGGCUACUCAUUUAAAUCUCUUUGUGAUUGAUUUGUAUUAAGUUUUAAAAAUCUUUACUUUGAUUUAGCAAAAAAUUAGAAGUAAUGUAAUAUUGACUUGGAAUGAAUGUUAUCUUCAACUUCAAGUUUUUAUAAUUAUAAAAUAUGUUGCAUCAACAAAAAGCCAGAACUACAUUCCUCGCCAAAGAAAAAAUGUCUCUAUGUUCUAUAAAUACAUAAUCACAAAUCACAAUUUCAAAGUCACUGCUUCUAAACAAAUUUUGAAUUUUUUUAACUAAUAAUUUUUAUCUAUAUAUAUAUAUAUAUAUAUAUAUAAGAGCAUGAUAUAAUUAUAGAUCCAAUAUUAUGUUAUUUCUUCUGUGAAUAUAUACUUCAAAAAAAAUAAAGAACAUAAUAUUGGAAUUAUAUUGAGCUCAAAGUGUCCCAACUAUCAUAUUUUAAAUAAUGAAUAUUCACAUAUUGUCAAGGAAACCAAAUAAAAGUGGUUCUAUUAACAACAAUAAGUAUAUAUGUAUAUAACUAUCAUUAUGAUGCUACAUAUAUUUGUUUGUAUAUUUAUUGCCAUUGUAUAUGAAUAAUUUUGGGAGAGUCGAUACAUGUGAAUGUUUUUUACACCAAGUGCUCUUUUAAGAGUCUUGGUUAUGAUCCAAGAGGAUGUGGGUCCAAAUUCUACAGCUACUAUGGUGAUGAUUACAUUAUCUAAUUGUUGCAUUAUUAUUCAUUAAGUAAUGAUUUUCUUCCUUGGAUGUGAGAUAGAAUGCUUGUUGAUUGAUUCUCCCUCUACAAUACAUUUUUUUUAUCUCCAUAAAAUGUCAACAACAUUUGCCAAAAUUUUAUUUUUAUGACUUUUGUUUAUGCACACCACAAAGAAUAAGCUCGUUUCUCUAAACACUUCAUGUAGUUAUAUAAAUUUCGAACUAAAGAAAUAAUAUUCUAUAAAAUAUGUUAUAAAAAAAUAUUUAACGUAAUAUAUACUAAUGUUAAUUUAAAUCUAAUUUAUUAAAAAACACACACACACAAUGUGUAUGCAUACUCAAUUAGGUCUUUAAAUUUACACUAAUUAAUUACUCCAACAAUUGUACCAUAUAAAUUUUCUAUUAUGUAUACCUUACCCCCCCCCCUUCUCUUUCUUUAUUUCUCCCUUUGCUAAAUUGAUUUAUUUUGUUUUUUUGUUUGUUUGUUUGUUUGUUUGUUUGUUUUUUUUUUUUUUUUUUUGUAAUCACAAAACAAGAGCCCUGAGAAACUUACUAGUACAUUAAUACUUAUAAUAUUGAAUAUCUCUAACAAAGAACACAAACAUAUCCAUAUUGUUAUUUGUGUUAUAGUCCAUUCUAUCACUCCAAUUGGGUGGUGGUGGUGGUGGAAUUGUUUUCCACAAUUCUAUACAACUGGAUCAUUUCUAUCAUUUAUUUCUCAAAAAUCAUUUAAUGGAGCAUCUCUCUAACAACAGUCACUCAAGGGACAAUAAUUUUUCACCAUGCUAAUGCAAUUUCCAUUUAAUCCCAUUGUUAACCUUUUACUAACAGAAUCCUCUUUUCAUGUCCAACAUGAAAACCCCCCAAAAAAAUAGAUUCCUCACUCACAUCGGCAGUGCUAUAGAACCCAUCAGCCCUAAACAGUUCCUCGCAUUUGGCGAAUGGAUUUCAUCCCAAACCCUAAAACCUGGCGCCGAGCGCACUCGUUUCCAGUUUCCACAGACUACGGUUUCCAACUUCAAUGAACCCUUGAAUAGAAUUUUGAGACGCCCCGAGGAGCACACUCCCAUGUUUCUUAAGAAAGCAAACCACACACGGAAUCCAGGCUGUUGCAACGGCGGCGGGGACGGUGACGAGAAAUCCAAGCAAGGAAGCAGCCACAUGUAGCAACUGCAGCACCCUAUUCUUUGGACCCACGCACGACUAUUCUGCAGGCUGGUGAGUCAGGCCCCCAUAACCAUAUCUUCGGCGGAUCGCGAAGCUCCAGGGGUUUAUUGCCAUUUGAGCCCUUCGCUUCAACGCAGCACAACACAACGCCACACAUACCUGCAAAGCACGCGACUCUGUGCGUUCACACGGCGCUGUGCAUGAAACAUGGAUGGACACGGUGGCACACACACUAUGGGCCACCUAGGAUUGACCAUAGCCACGUCACAGUCUAGGGGGAUUCUUGUAACGCAUCCCUUGCCACGUCAUUAUCUCCCAGCUCAAUCUCGGCGUGGGCAUUCUCCAUCUAUUUAACUGCACUUUUCAUCCCAUUUCUUCCUCCAUCCAAUGAGUCAUCUAUUGAAAAUUAUAUCCAUCUGUCCAUUCUUCUGUUCAUUCAUUCUAUUAUUUAGAUAUUCAUCCACGUGUUGACGCAUUCAUUGAAUUUUCAUUCAUCCCCACUUGUAGGGAUUGAGUGGUGUAAGUUGUAACGAGUAGGUAUUUAGUUAGGCUUUGAUAUUAAGGAGGUGUUAGACCCAUGAUUUGCAUAUGAUAUCUUUCAGUUAAUUAUAAUAAAUAUGAAUGUAAUUUUGAUAGAAGUAGAUACAUGGUGGUGGUGGUUGAUUUUAACAAUCAUGAACUACUUGUCAUGCUUCACCAUAUUUGGGAGUUACUAUUAAGAAUGAAAUUUACUAUACAAUGUGUGUAUUUAAAAUUUAGAAUCUCCAUUGCUUCUCCAUAGGUGGGUGUAUAUCAUUUUUACUUAGUAUUAAAAUUCAUAAUCAAUGGAGGGUGAUAAAUUUCUUCUUAUUGUACACACAAAACAAAUGGGUGCAUGUGAUUGAAUGUAACCAUUAACAAGGUAUUGGAUCAAUAGGAUUGGGGUUUAACUUUGAUUAUACACUAACAAAUAAAUAAGUGGAGGAGAGAGUGUGCCUAUGCUGAAAGGCAUAAAUGGAUACAUGUUUGGAGCUUCGUAAACAUAUUAUGUCAAAUUGUAAUGAAAAAGUGAGUAAACUUACAUACUUUUGGCUAAUAUUGUAGUCAAGAUUAUACCACAGUGAUAAUAACAUUUAAAAAAAACUGGUAACUUUAUAAUAUUCUCAUGUUGAUUUUGUUCAUUUAUACAUGAUUCUGGUUAUUACACAAGAGCUUACAAGUGAAUAAGAAUCAUCUUUAAUUUUUUUCUGCUUACUAUCAAAUAUUCCCAAGAAAAACAACUAUUUUUGCAAUGAGUUAUUGACAGAGUUUUCUUGGAAUUUGAUUUACAACAAUUUGUAAUCACAGCUGAAUUUUUCAGCUUGUAAUUUCAAUAAUAGCCACAUAUUCACUAACUGAACAGUUCGAAUCUUAAAACUUGAAAAUGUGUUACUUUUGUAUUACUGACGUUUUCAAACCCUUUUUGAAAACACUGACUAUUUAAAAUGUGGUAUGCUUGAUAUAAUAAUAAUAAUAAUAAAUUGAUACAGUUUUUUUACCUUUGAAAUUAUGCCACAAACUCCAGUCAAGGUACAUUUGAAUUGACAUCAUUUUUUCUGUAGAGUAGAAAGACUGCAAUUAUGUGAAUUUUUGUGAAUCCAACAAGUGACUUAAAGUUUCAAUUCAUAUAGCUAUACUUAUACUAAUAAAAAUAUAUGAAUUCCUUUUUUUACCAUGAAAAAAAAGAUGUAAUUCAAAAUUCAACUUGAAAGUUUUGUGUUAAAAUCAUUAUGUUAGCUUUGUGGAACAAUACAAACCUUGUGAAUAUUUAACUUGUUCUGUGGUGGUUGUUUUAUUGUAUUUAAAUAAAUAUUUCUCAAAUAAGUAGUUAUGUUACAUAUUUUUAAUACUUAUAUACAUACAAACAUACAUAUAAUUUCCUUUUAGAGCAUAUGUUCUUUGUGUAUUGUCAUUGUUAUUAGAUUGUCAGCAACUCAAAAUGAAUAGCAAUUGAUUUUAAUGCAUGACAUUAUAAUUCUUGACUACAUUUAAAAAAAUAUUUCCUAUACAAUUUAAGUAUAUUUGAUUUUAUUAGGUUUAAACAAAAACCACUUGAACAUAAUUUUGUGCAGCAUAUAUAUAUAUUAAGAUUACUUUAAACAGGUAUAUUUUUAUUUCUUUUGUUUUUUCAACUUGUAGAGUGUGUUAUGAUUUGUUUUUUCACAGCACACAAACAUUACUUUGCUGCCUCUUGAUAAUUGCUAAAAAUAAAACUGAGUGUGUUUGUUCAUAUUAUGCACAUCCAAUCUGUUAUGGAACUCUUAUCUCACCAAUAAUGGAUACAGCAAAGGACAAGAAGAUGAAAUUAAUGAUAUAAAAAAACUCACACUUUAAAUGUGACAAACAAUAUAAAAUCACAAAAUCACAUCUAAAACAGCACACAUGAGGUGCUUUACACAUCACUUUACUGGACAACUUUGCACCAAAAAAGCUUGAGCUCAAGGGAAGAAGUUCCUCAAAAGUGAUAUCAAUUUAAUUUGCAUGAAAGUUCAAAAUGAUUUCAACCAUGUUCAAUUUUAAAAAUCACCAGAUUAUAGAACCCUCACUCCAGCAAAGAUUUAAUUACUUCAAUUCAAACCACAGCUAAUCCAUACCAUCUUAUUGCUUGAUGACAAAAGUUGAGAAUCUCUUUGACAUGUGAUGGGCACCUAGAUUUGCAAUCUUGGUAAUAUGACAUUAAGUAAAGAGAUUGCCUUUUUUUAAGAAACAAUUUUGGACCAAAGAGAUGGAUGGGCAACAAAUUCAAAAAUUAUAUAUUAGGAUGGAUCUAUCUCAGCCAUGUGAUAACAUGCACAACUUGCCAAAGACCACACAAAAUACUAAAACACUAAAUCCCAAAGCCCUUACAUGUUUCCCAUAAAAGAGACACUAUUUGUACGUCUUGGACUUCAACAGAUCCUCUUGAGAUUUUAUUGUUUCUUGAGUAUUGAUGUGGGUGGAAUAUUUUCCUUUGGGUGCUUUCCACACAUGGGGUUGUUAGGACCCACAAUUUAUAUGUUUAUUUUUCUUUUGAAGUGCUUCUCCUAGGACAAAUUUUUUUGGCAUCACCUGGAACACUUUUUAGGUCAAGAUACUGAAGCAAUCUGGGAUCAUGAACCCUAAUGUAGAUCCAUUUGUGCAAUGAGGCAAUGGCCUUAUUACUUUAGGGUGAAAUGAGUCUGUAUCUGUAUCAAACAUGACAUGAAAUCUCAUGUAUUUACAACCUUUUGGAAGCCAUUUUAAUAACAAGUUGGGAGGGUUUUUAUUCUUACUUGUUUUGAGUUGUGGUUGUAUGUGACAAAUAUGUGUGAUAUGUUUGAGGGAGGUGGAAAAAAAUGUAUAUAAACAUUCAUCUUGUUCAAUGUUUGUGAUGGUGGACAAUCAAUCAUUAGGUUGUUUAUUUAAUCACUCCGAGAUAUUGGUAAGUACCUUUUACAAUUACAUGACAUUUUAUUUUAUUAUAUGUAUAGGAAUGUUAAAUAGACCCAUGCAUUCCUAUACAUAUAAUAAAAUAUAAAGCAUAUUAAUCCAAUAUAGCUACUUUGAAGGCCAUGUUUUGUUCAUAAAGCAAUAGGAAUCUAAUAGUUUCACAUUAGAUUGAUAAGUAUAUACAUAUAUAUGCUAUAAAUUUGAUGAUGCUAAAAUUCGUAAAAUCCUGGAUAUGUAUGUAAAUUUGUGAUACACCAUCGUAAAUUUCCAUAUUAAGAUUUUUAUAGUACCAAAUUAAAUUAAUAUUUUUUAAUAUAUAUAUUUUUAAGGUAAGCUGUGUGGUUUCUCAAAGGACACCAGCACCAACUUGCCUCUGGAAACGAAGUUGAUACCCUCUGAAAGAAAUAUAUAUCCGGUUAGUCCAAGUGUAUACCUCUCUUAGCCUCAAUCUAUAUCCGGUUAUUCCAAGUUCAUACCCCCUAAAAAGCAACCGAUAUCCGGGUAGUCAAAGUUGAUACCCACCGAAGACUAGUUCUGAGUCGCCCAAGUUGACUCCUCCUCCGAAGGUCAGUUAGUCAGUGUGUGUGAACUUGUCCACUUUGCUUGGCUGUGAGCAACUGGAUGUUUCUGAAAACAAGGGGAGGCAGCAUUUAACUUACGUCUGCGAUGGCGUUGUCUCUGUGAGGCAGAUAGCAUGAAGCUAUGUGGAAAAAGUCUGAACCAUGCUUCUAAGGAUUGUUUUAUUGGUGUUUUCCCUAAAGCAAUAGUAACAGUGCAAAUGCCCGUUACUUCCUUUCCAAUAUGCUUACAGCAUAUUCCAUAAUCCACCCGCCAUAGCCAGGCGCGUGAGGUUUUGUUUCCCUCUCUGCUUCCGUAACUAACUCAUGCUCGUGUUUCUCCUCCAUCGUGUAUGUCACCAUUCUGUGUUUCCAGCGUGUUACCCGUCUCUGCCUCGUGGCGACGGUGUGUUAUAACACUGGCCGAGAGGAGUUGCUGAUUGAAGGACGUGUUGGAAGCGAGUUCAGUCUAUAAGUUUGCUCUGCGUGAUUUUUUUUGAAACGAGUGUGCGUUGAGUCUGAGCGGAGCAUCAGGACUUCUGUAGAUAAUUGCUAGAAUUCUCGGGGAAUCGAUCACUUCCCUCGUUACAACGAUGUAUACCGCGGUCAGAACCAUUCGCCGGAAGGCGCUUGUCGGGUUCGCUAGGCAACGGGAGCUUCAUGGAGUUUCAGCGCCUCGAGACGGAGUUCGUACCUUGGCUGAAGAAUUGUCGUCAGGUGAGAGUGGAGUUGCGUUUUUGUUUACACUUCGGGCUGUUGAUGAAUCAUGUGAUCUUGAAUUCUUGUUAUCUGAGUUGAUUAGCUAGUUCACAACAGAGAGAUUCGCGUGCUGACGAGCGUGUUCUUAACUACAGAAGAGUCGACGUGCGGGGAGAAACACUUGAAGCCAAUUUUGGUAGUGCAUUGUAGUGCAUGUGUGGAAGAAGAUUGUUUAAUGGAAGCGUUUAUGAGUUUUUGUGCUGUUUGCGUGAGUGAUGCUGGCGAAGUUAUUCUGUGUCUCGAAGCUUGUGUGUUUGCCUUACUUGAGUCGCUUCAUUUAGUACUUACUACUAUGUAAUAGGAAUUCGUCUUAUUUGAGAACCAUUGGCAGUUAUAUCAUGGUUUAACAAAUUGUGUCGAUUGUUGAAGACUUCAAGAAUCGUCACAAUAUUUCGUGUGUUAUUUAAGUUUGUCAUGCUUUUGAGAUAAUAAAUCUUCGACACCUCAUUCGCAAAGUUCUAAGUAGGCAUACUUUCGAAGUGUUGCCGCUCUUGACUCUGGCUAAUUCGAACAGGUGUAAGAGCUUCUUCAUCAAUCGUUGAUGAUACGGUGCCUUCUAAGAGAUUCUAUGUAACCGAUGCACCUGGCAAGCCGACAGUAUUUCAUGCCACGCGACAGCAGGAACGGCUUUCCAGUACUCUUGCUGGUGAAGUGCCAAAGCUGGCACCUGUCACCACUCGUAGCGAACAUUCAGCUGCGGUAGCCGUGGACGAUGAGAAGGGCUACGAAAGCUCUAGUAGUAUGGAGGAUUUCGUUGAGGUCGGACACAAGCUUGCAGACGCGGCGCGAGCAAUUACUGUCAAAUACUUCAGACGUGGCUUUCAAAUCAUUGAUAAGGAAGACUUGAGUCAGUAUUCUUCCCCUUAAUAUCAAAGAGAGUUUUGAAAUGCUCAUUUUUAGUGCAUGCCCAGAUUCUGCGGUGUAGAAUAUGUAAAUUUUCCUGUUGUUUUUCAACAAAUUGAUACUUCCAUGUUGGAAAUUCGAAAACGGGUCACCUACCAGGAGUGUGUAAGAGCUCCGGGGUUAAAUAGCUUUCUCAACUUUUCCAUCUCCGUACACUGAAUUGAUUUCAAAUUGGCGAAAUUGAUCAACAUCAGUGACACGUGUCUUCCACAUUUUUCUUGAUCGCUUUGAACGCGUGCCAACGCAAAAUUCAAAAUGACACGAUUAUUGUAUUUACCGACGUAUCUAAAUUAGGGACUUGAACGUGUCCUCUACAUUUUUUGCUGAAAAAUGUCAAUGGUGCGCAGGUCCAGUGACAGUGGCCGAUCGAGAAACUGAAGCGGCUAUGUGCUCAAUCAUAACUCGGCACUUUCCGGGUCAUGCUAUGUAAGUUCUCUCUCGCCGGCUGGUGAUUUCUAGGUUAGCUUUCAGUUUCUUUCCUAUUCGAAUCAAAAUCAUGGUGUAUGUACCACCUUCCAUAAAUAUAGAAUGUGAUAAUAAUUGCGCAUACCCAAAAUCCUCAUGUCAAAAAUAAAACCAACUACCUAGCAAGUUGUGAGGUGAGGGGAAAUUUUAUGUACUGCUUUAAGUCUUAUAUAGUGUGUAUAGUGAAGAUCCAAGAAUUGCCUGACGUGUAGACUGAAGGAACUAUAGCAAAGAACACUGAAUUCGUGCGAUCAUAAAUCUCAGUGCAUGCUUUGUUGGGGGUAUUUAAAAAGAGAGUGUGUGUGUGUGAGAGAGAGAGAGAGAGAGAGAGAGAGAGAGAGAGCAGCCUAGAGGCUAAUACCAAGAUGUGACAGAUUUGGAGAGGAAGGAGGCUUGACGAUGCCUGAAGGAGGCUCUGAUUAUGUCUGGGUCUUAGAUCCCAUUGAUGGCACUAAGAGCUUCAUCACUGGUGACUACGACAUCUUCCUUUUAUUGAUGUUGUCUACCUUCUUUUUGCACGUUAGCAUUGGGGAAAAUUUAGAUGCUUCACGAUGUCGUAUUGAAGGCAGCCUGUUCAUGGAGUUCCCCUUUAUCCGAAGUGACUCACUUUUAAGGAACGAGGAAGUAGGCGAACGAGGCCGAUGUGGCGCAGACUUUGAUACUAUGUGUAUUCAGAGCUUGAAAAGAUCUUAAGCUUGUCAUUUUCGUGUGAUCGAAGAGAAGUUGGAGGGAACAUCUUGGGAAUUGUAGCUAGAGCUCCGAGCAUUCUGAAGCGUAUAAAUCUUCCCUAAUGUGCACAGGCUACUGGAAGCAUCCUACAUAACACAACUCACCAAAUAGAAUAUCUCCUAGAAUACUGUAAUGCCUCCAUCAUCACCAACAUUUAACUAAAAUAAUAACAAUGAAGGACACGAAGGCUUAAGGGCCUGUAAACAAACCACUGAUUUUUCUUCUUAUUGGAUUGCAGGGAAGCCAGUCUUCGGAACACUCAUCUCUCUGCUUCACAAGGGCUCUCCUGUAUGUUUUAAACCUACCCUUGUUCUUUUGCACAGAAGUUUUCCAUCAUCACCCUAUUAAAUUGAGUGCCUAGAACUGUAACGGCUGUAAAUGCUCUUUUUUGAGUAUUCCUGUGGCUCACUACCGGAGUGACGCUAUCUCUGUAACUCGCCAUGUAUUAGCAAAUUCGUCAUUCUGGUUCGAUUAUUUCGAAAUCCAUAAAUUUACAGUGCACGUUGGUUCACCUGGAGGAUGUAUUUAAAGUGCUGUAACAACAGGUUCUUGGCAUUAUUGAUCAACCUGUGCUGGGGGAGCGGUGGGUCGGAGUCAAAGGUCAAGCUACUACACUGAAUGGCCGCAGGGUUAGGACACGUUCUUCUACGGCGCUGCUCAAAGACGCUUACUUGUGAGCAUUUCUUCUGAAUACUUUUAGUGCCAUGAGAUCGUGUGCAAGUCGGGAAAAAUAUGGAUAAUUGCGGGAUGAUAGUUGACGACCUAUCCAAUUUAGCAGUUUUGGAGACUUUUGUUCAAUUUAGUGAUGUGCAAUAGUGAAACUCAUCAGUAACCGUGGUUGAUGUUGGUUUAUCCAUACAGUCAUGAUUUCAUUCUUCUGGUGUACAGGUACACGACAAGUCCCCAUAUGUUUACUGGACAAACAGAAGAUGCUUUCGUGCGCGUUCGGAAUGAGGUAUCAAAUCUCAGUAUACUUUAAUCCUAUCUAAUUAUGUUCACAAUGCAAGUAGCUUGUAGUAUUUUUUUUUUUUUUUUUUUUUUUUUUUUUUCUGUUCUUUUUUCUUUUUCUCCCCUCUUUCGGUGGAGCAUAAUAUGUCAGGCACGAACGACUUAGAUAUAAAGACGAUCAUAAUUGAUCUAUGCUCAAUGGCUUGCAUCUUCAUUUGGCAGGUGAAAAUACCCUUGUAUGGCUGUGACUGCUACGCAUAUGGGCUGCUAUCAUCCGGUCACGUGGACGUUAUAAUUGAACAUGGAUUGAAGGUAUGCAGUAGACAUCUUUAGAAUUGUUAUGUUUUCCUCGUGCCACUUCGCACAACCUAUGACAUUCUGUUCACUUAGAACAAGGGCAAUUCUGUACCAGUAUUUAUUUGAUUUGAUUUGAUUUGAUUUGAUUUUUUUUUUUUUUUUUUUUUUUUUCCUUCUCAGUAUCUGCUUCUUACUUGCUUUCAAUAUGUUUCUGAUGUGAGAGUUUUCUGUCUGCUAUUUCACUCAACAGCCAUAUGAUUAUUUGGCUUUAGUGCCAGUGGUGGAGGGUGCUGGUGGGACGAUUACGAACUGGAGUGGAGAAAGUCUCAAAUGGUUACCAGAAAUCGGUACAUUUUCUUCCCUUCUUGGGAUCUGAAUGCACGACACAGGGCGGGGAUAGUUCAGAGAAUUUGACCUCUUUCUAGAACUCAACUUGCUAAAAUUGGACUCUUUUUGGAGAUAUUUCAAAAUCAGGCAUGUUUAUUGCAUGUUAUACAAUCUCCUUGUUUGCAUCUUUUGUAUCUAAUUCGGAGAGAUUUGAUCUUGUGCACAUGUCCCUCAAAAUGUUUGAAAAUAACUGGGCAUGAGUUCUUGCGAAAUUGCGAUUACCUUAUUGUUCGCAAUAGUAACAUUGUCCUCCAUGAAGCUAUAAUAGGUUUGGAUCAGUUUUGUUUAUGCCUUCUAAUCAUAAAAUCCCUCUAAUUGUGGCAGGAGAGCACAGCAUUGGAGUGCUAGCUGCUGGGACCAGAAGUUUACAUAAAUCAGCUCUUUCCCACUUGAUUGGAGUACAACAAUCAUGUGCAAUGACAUAAAUGGCAUUCAACAUUUCAAACUAUUCAAUCUGUGCGGUAUAAUCUUUUUGCGCAGUAAAUUAGUUUGACUAGCACCCUUCUCCAAGUAGACAGUAGUAUUAAAUCCUCAUUGUAUUUGCACUUUUUAUAGCAUAACUGAAGUUUUAACCCAAAAAAAAUAAAAUAAACCAUACGCAUUUAGGCAAUACUGCAGAAUACUUCAUGAAGAAAUAUAUUCCAGUACCGACAGUCAAAAAUGAUAACUAAUAUCCAGUUUGCAAUAAAAUUUAUGUACAUGUUCCUUCUCAUUACUAGCAAACAGUUCAGUAUUCAAAGUUCAGUGCUCGUCAUGCCGAUAGAGUUGCGACAUUCUCCUGAAUUAUAGUUCUAUGAAACUCCAAUCAGAUAUGUACCCUCCAUCCGCUUGGCCAUUGUACCAAUCCAUUGUAGUGUCCAGAGACGUUCCAAAUCUGCUGGGCAAGCUCCUCUUGCAAUUGGAACCAUGACCAAGCUGUGCAACCAAGAAACACCCAUACAUCCGCUUCAAUCAACUUUCCCGAUUGCAUCAAUUGAAUGAGAUCUUCCACUGACUUGGCAGAGACUCCGUAGAACACGCCCGGCAUAACUUCAUGAAAAUCAUCUAAACCAGGAACUUUUGUAAGUACAAAAAAUGGGUGGCUCUGCUCUCCUACAGGGCCACCGAAACCUAGGGGUGCCUCGUGAAGAGAGUCUUGCCCUAUGGUCUUCGCAACAUAAUCCCAAGAUAAAGGCUUGUUAAGCAUAAGGCCACGAACAUCUCCAUGUUCAUGGGCGUGAACAAUCAGUAUUACACAACCAGAGAACACCGAAGUGCCAUCCAAGAGCGGUGAUGCAAGAAGUAGAGUGCCUGCUGUAGGGUGGCGAGCGUCCACUUCUGACUUGAAAAGAGUAGGGAUUUCCAUGCCUGGUUGUUCAGCACUUCCUUCGUAAAGAUGAGCCUCUGUCAAAGGAGUUGAUAAUCCGUUUCUCACAUCAGUGGGGAUUGUUACUGUAGCAGGAAUUUUCAUGGGAGAAGGAUCCUUUGGUGUGUGAUGCAAAUCUGCCUUGCUCCUUCCUGUACCUGAUAAGCACGACCGUGAUCACACAUAAGAGAUUAUGGUUCUGAAACACAUCUGUCGCAGCGACCCAUUUCGGUUCCCCAGUUCACAAAACGAUGAUUGGAGACUUCAUAUACUUCCAACUGCGUUGUGGGCACAACCUCCAACCAUUCCCAUGCUGUAGAGAACUGAAACAGUACUCUGCAGUGGAAGUCUUACCUAAAGUGAGGGAAUUUUUCUUGUUCUGAAAGUGUCCCUUAGACUGAAAAAAGUUGUCUGUAAACCCGGAUGCCUAACUGGCAAGGAGAAUCCCUGGCUUAUACCCACCAUUGAGCUCAUUGUGACAGUACUAGGCCUGAAAACGAUCAGCUUUGUAAGGCUCAUAUUUCCAGGUAAAGAUUACCGGAUUUUCACCCGCUGAUUAAUACGUGUCUCAAACUAACAAGUGUUCUCAAGGCUAAGAAAGAUCAUUUGUAUGGUUUCUCCAUACAAAUGAUUUGAAAAGUACCUGCAACCCUGCAUGCUAACUUUGAGGACGCCAUUCCAUUUGUGGCAAUGAAGCGGUAAAGUGAUUGUAUUUCAGGAGCGCCCUCAUAGAUCACAGGAGCAUGCUUCUUCUGCGCAGGGUAAAGAACAACAGCAGGGUAGGUUUCAUCCUGUCAACACGAAAAAGUACAAAGAGAUGAGAGACUUGCAGGAUGCAAAAGUUAGGUCAGCAAAAUAUACCAGGCAAGCGAUCAGAAAUGUACAUGCCUGGUCCAGAAGAUGCCGUAAGUAAUAAUCACAAUCAUUGAGGGUGCAGUCCAUUUGCAAAAUACUUGGAAGUCCAUCAUUGCGAUGGCUGCUGUUGGCUUCAUUUGGUUCUGCUUCCUCUACAUCGGAGUCCAAAUACACUCAAUGGUCAAAACCAUUCUACAAUUACUCUACUGACUUCCAGUGUACCCAAGUGAUCUACAUAUAUUCUCAUAUCUAUGCUUCACUGACAAGCUAUCUUUGCUGUUGGAAACUAUGAAAAAGUGAAAUAAUGUCAAGCAGAAAAGGAUAGCUUUUGAAUGCGAACGCUGCAUCAGCAAUAGAGCCCUCUUGCGUUCCCAAAUAAAGCAGAGUUUGCCCGUGGGAUGUCACAAAAAACCAUCACUCUGGGCAUUCCAAGCGUUUUGCAAUGCAUCAUAUGGCUCAUGACUUCACCAUCUAAUAUUGUACGGAGCUUGAAGAGGAAUCACAUAGAAUGGGAUACAUAUUUCGCAUGGUGUACCUGAAUUGCUCGCUUGCAGGUCUGCCACACGUGCGUCUCCCAGAUCCUAAGCAAAAAACGAUAGUAAAAACUUUGAGAACCAAUUUUGUAAAGCCUAGCUGAAUUGAACAUCUGAUAGGCUUGAGUUGAAACGAAGGGUCAACCCAUGAUUUAUGCCAAUUUUAGGGCACGAUGGAACUUCGUUCAGAGCCGCAUGUAGAGAGCAGUGUUUGAAUUAUAAUACUAAACCCUUCCAUAAAACCACAUCAAAAAGACAUAAAAAAUCCAGCAAGAACCCCUCCAUACAUUCAAGAUCACGAGCCCCUCUGAAUUCCCUAGGCAACACACAUACAUGCUUACAGGUUGCUGAUAAGAGCUACAUACGCACCUCGUCAUCACAACCAUGUACAGAUGAGCCCAUAUUGUAGUUUACAGCUCUGUAAACCUCCCUGACAACAAUCUCCAUCCGCUUGCAGAACCCACACCAUGGGGUUGUAAACAACACUACGACAUCCUUCCUCCAGGCUGGGGUCACUGAGUCAGGCGCAUCCACUUCACGUUGCUUGCUCUGAGCAUCAUCUGCGAAGAGAUUUGCGUAACGUAAUCCAAGAACGUCGUAAUCAAACGUAGUAACCGUAAGCCGAGGCACCGAAUUAUGGUCAUGAAAGUCACGGUUCACAAAAGGUGGUUGAGGAACAUCCAUAAUAGGUAAUUGAGGUGUCUCUGACCGAACUGUUUCUUCACGGCGACCAGAAAAACAUUGAUUUAUGAACGCAAUAAGUGACGACUGAGUUAAAGUUUCAAUUAUUGGAUGAACAUAAUGAACCUCAUCUUUCGGAAAUAUAACUACUACUGCAGGAGUCUUUGUGGUCAUGGCAAGCUUUUCCAUCAGCGAGUCAUCACCAUCUCGAAAGAAGAAAGAUAUUCUAGGGCUGACAUUGCUGGAAAGGACGGAGUUCUUUUGGAUCUGUACUAUUGCGUGUUGAGCAGACAAAUCCUUUGAUUCGGCAUCUCCAAGUUUAUCAGCUUCAGGAAAACUAUCACUAACAUCAAGUGCUUCACCCAAGUGCACCAGCUGCACAUUUCUUGGCAUAUCAACCUCAGCAUUAGCUUUGCAAACUUUAUGGUCUCGCUCUGUUUCCUUUCCCGAGCAUUCCAAAUCCAAUCCCAAGGAAUCUGCAGGAUGUUCGUCAUAUUCAACAGUCUGAUGUCGAUCGAUACCAAAGAAGUGUUCAAGCGGAUGAGUGGAUCUUUCAAUGUCAUCGACUGAAGAUUGAACUCCUGCAUGAUCAGUUCGCAAGUCAAGAUCAUCGAAUCCUACUUCACCAUUUCUUGAGCACUCUUCGUUAAUCCCGCUAAUCCCCACUCGCCCCUUUUCAAGGGUAUGCUCAUCUGUAGUUUUUCUUGAGCAGUACCUUCCUUGACCCUCAUCGUCUGUACCCCUAGUGAAAACCGCUUUCCCUUUUAAAUGGUGGUCGAGGUUAGAAGAAGCAACAAGCUCCAUAUUAUCCUCGACCUCAUCAAUGUUAACAGCAGAAUUUUCCUUAACUUCAUCACUUGAAUGUUUGUCAUUUCCAAUCGACUCUCCUAAAACCGUGUUCGACAAACUGGUGCCUCGAGAGCUUGUACCUAAGAGAAGAUUGAAUAAAUCAGACGCACUUAGAGUAGCCUUUUGCUUUCGGUGGUUCUCAAUAAGAUCCUGUAACAGACUAUGAGAGUCUUGGUUGUGUGCAACUGCUUUCAGUUCCAUUACAAAACCUCCACUUUCACUUUGCAUUUUAACGGCCCCCGAGUUAACGCUUUUCAGAAGACUCAAGAUAUCUGAUCUAUCCACCGUAAGCGAUUGAGAAUGCUGGUGUAGGCCCUUUGGAAUAGAUGCCUCCAAGAACUCCUCGGAACUCAUUUCUUUCUCCCAUAGUGUUCCCGAAGGUUGCACUGAAGUGGCUUCUUGAUUUUCCGGAUGGAACUUAUUCAAAGUUGCAAAAUGAAAAGCUGCACCUCUAGUGGUGACAAGAGCAUCCUGACUCGCUCCUCGGACUUCGGGAGAGGCGGAACCCCUAUUAAUGAAGAGCAGAAUGGACGGUUUAUCACUUAACAAGGCAUAAGAGGCAGAUACCUGUUGGUGAUAUCCCUCCCCUUUCAGCUGCAAAAACAAGACGCCAUCAAUUAUUCAGGUUCACAAUUACUCCAAGUAGCUCUACGAGGCUUUGAGUUCUCCCCAAGCGGGAUUCGAUUUAGAAUAUGAAAAUAAAAAUACAAAACAAAACAAAGAUCGGGAAAACCUUCAAGACUGAAAAAUGGAAGCAUACAAUCAUGACGAGUGUCUUCUCGAGCGUGUUACCACAAGUUUUCAAUCCAAGCGAAGUUCGUAAUACGAACCUCUGUUACUAGAGACGGAGAUACACUAGCAAUAAAGUCUCCUACGUCACCUUCGCCCUCAUAAACAUCAGGCACUCGGAAAGGCUCUUGAACUACUCCCAUCAACUUCCAUAAUGAAGAAUCCCCUUGAUCGAUGAGCCCCGAUUCAGCUGCAACUGACUUACUUGAAAUUAGGCCGAAUUUGAUUCUGUAAGGAGUCAAUGCAUUCAUAGCAGCGGCCUGGGUGAAGUUCUCAAACACAUUCCUACAGCGUCUCUUUUCAAGCUCCGUGCAUUCUAUGCAACUAGGGUCAACUCUUGUUCCAAUUUUAGUUGCAUUUGUGGACAUGGUAUCAACUGCUGGUAGUAUGACCUCUGUCCACGUGUGCAAGCCUAUUGUCGCCUCUGACAAAUGUGGUGGAGUGUCCAACACCAACUCCUCCAGAUCGUCAACUAAUUGUGCAUUCUUCGACGCGUGAGGACUAGGACUCUUCUCAGCACGAACCGCGUUUUCGUCACCACGUGAUUUAGGUCCCAAUUCAUCAUUAUGUUUCUCCUUCGAAAUGUCAGAUAACGGUGUACCUGAUAACGGCUGAUGUCUCAUUUCUUCGUCAUCACCAAUGCAGAGACCACAGAAAUCCAAGAAAAAGAAUACUCGAUCAGACGAUCCAGCAAAGGCUAUGACAUUCUCAGAGGUUUCUAGACGUUGUACCGGAAAACCGCUCUCGCUAGACCUCAUCCCAUACCGCACACCCUCUAAAAUAUGAGAACCUAAGAGCCUUCCCUUGUAAAGGAAAGGAAUUUCCUUGUGAAAUAGGAAAACGGAUGGUGACCGAAUUGUUGGCAAUGAUUUCACUGCAGAGCGAUCCAAAUUAACAUAGACGUAUCGAUAGUGUAAUGCAGUGAACUCGUCAGGGCUGUUCUUCACUAACGUAGAUAUUUCUCUAAUCAGGCUUCUGCCCUCACCACACCCUGCCAUGACGAGUCAAAAAGGAAUUGCGUCAAAGGAGCAUUUGGGAUUUCAUGUAACAAUUAACUCCAUGAUGUCCUUACGGUUUGAAGACAAAGUAAAAUCUCAAAAAACCAGCACGGACAUCAAACUUCCGGAAAUCACGAUUUUUUACAAAUGUAAACAUUCACAUGUAGAUGCUCCUCACAUGUAGAGAUAGAUAUGAUUUGAGUUCCUUGACAAUAUGUCAAAACAACAAUAUUACCCUGCAUAUAUCACCACAACCAUUGACCAUGCUAGUUUAAAGGAUCACAAGCCUGAUUCAAUAGACUUCAGAAUUGAUGAUACGCUGCUUGUUAGUGAACGUUAGGAUAUUCGAAAUUUUCAUUACGUGACUUGAUAAGAACAUAUAAACCAAGCCCGUCGUGAUGAAACCUUUGGUAAUAGAGAAGGAACUCAGAAUUCACGAAAUACUUACAGGAUAACAUGACGAUGCAGAGAGUGAAGGCGUUGCUAUGAAUAGACGUGAAAUUCUCCUGGGUCAGCCUUUUCCAUUGGAACAGUUCCUCAUCGGCAGUGCAAACAACUCGUCUAGCUCCGAGUAACCCAACCAAAGUAAUUAUCAUGCACCAAAAAAGGUGCACUUGCCUAGCCAUUCAGCCCGUGCAACAAUCAAACGCAAUCUAAGAACCUGACUCUUGCAUAUUCUCCUUGAAAAUUGGCACCCAAAUGCUCUAGAUGAUGCCCAGAUUGGUCUUUGUUCCGGUACCCAAGUAGAGGAACAAAUGCCCACUCGAAGAAGUUGAGUUGAUACUAACCCCUGCACUCUUCUUCCAAGUGAGGCACUCCUUGCUCUAGAGCACUCAAACAAGCUCACUCCUCAAUUUUUCCAUGCCUUCACCAUUCAGUACUACUUCAAUAGAGCUUGCUGCAGCAACCAAAGAUAAACACAGGCUGCGUUCACAGACCCACACCCGAUAAAGGAUCAAGCAAAAUGAAUUCAGUGUGUUUCACAACACUGCGAUUACAUUGUCGAUUGACUAACAAUACGUCUGCAUCGGCACAUGAUAACCGCAAUUACGUGCAUUUUUCUCAACACAAUCUAAUCAACAAUCGUGAAUGGCGUGUACAGUCGGGUGAUACAACAAAAACAGCCUCCAAUUUCGUAAUGCCCGAGCCUUUUUAACACUGACCUGCUACUUUUCGGCAGUAACUGAGCUUCCAUAAGGAAGCAAAAACACAGUUAAUAAAAUUUCACAUCCGCAAAUCAAUACACUCGUUUGGAGCUUCAAAAGCCGAAUAAAAAACUGUUCCGUGAAUCAUCUGGUGGGGGAAUCUCAGAUCCGAAAGAGAGUCACAAAACUAACGAAUUCACCACAUUUCGCUUCGAUGGAACCCGCAGAAUCUUCAGCAAAUUGAGCGGAAAACUGUGACUUCAAAACCCUAAAACCCCUAUUCUCACCUUCUCUCUCACACACUCACAUACACCCUCUAUCGAUAUAUAUAUAUAUAUAUAUUAUUAUUAUCUGAUGAUAGAUGGAUGAUUUGUUCAUUUUGGAUGAUUGUGUAUAUUCAUUCAUUCAUUUGGGUGGGCAUUUUUAUUAAGAUAGUUGUGUCCAUUAAAACUAUUUAUUGCCUCCCUUUUUUUUUAAGCAAUUUGGGAGGCUUUGUUUGUAGCAUGCCUUGAAUAUUUUUUUAAAGAAAUUUGGGAGGCUUUGUUUGUAACAUGCCUUGAAUAUUUAGGGGAAUGUUAAAUAGACUCAUGCUUUUACUAAAUCGACCCAUCUUUGAUGAAGAAUAUGGUAAUCAUAAUGAAUGUGGUUGGUUUUUAUUUGUUGCAAAUCCAAUAGUGGAAAAAUGAAUCUACAAGUCAUUAUUUUUUUCAUGAUGGUUAUGAUGGGUAGGUCAAUUUAGUAAAAACUUGAGUCUAUUUAACAUUCCCCAAUAUUUUUGCCUCACAUUUUGCAUGCAGUCAAUAUUUGGUGUUAAGGGUUUCAGGUUUAGAACCCUAAAAGUUGUAGUUGACAUGGUGGGUCAAUAUAUAUUUUGUUUAAGAUUAUAUAAUAUAUUGAAAACAAUGUGGUAAUUUUUUGAACUUCACUCUUUUUUUCUUUCUUUUUUUUAAUUACUUGUUUUUAAUCUGAACAUGAGAACAUGUGAAAAAAUGAUAUAUGAAAAUGUUUAAUUUUUAAUGCAUUUUACACAACACAAUACUACAGAUGCUUUCAUAUGGUUUUUGUUGUCACUUUUUAAAAGACAAAGUUUAAUGUCAUUGUGUUGUGUAGGACUCAUUGAAGCUUGACAUGCAUCCAUAAAAGUUCUUAAAUCCUACCAAAAUAUGUAAAAGUUGAAUCUGUAAGUUUUUCUUGUUGUUCGUUUGUUUUCUUUUUUUCUUUUUUUAAUACUUGAAUUUACAUUAUAUAUAUAUUAUAUAUAUAUAUAUAUAUAUAUGUAAACUUUUAUAUUUUAAAAAAAAAUGUAUGAGACAUGGGAAAGAGAGAAAUCUCUCUCUCUCUCUCUCUCUCUCUCUCUAUAUAUAUAUAUAUAUUUAUAUAUUUCACAAUUUAUUUUUUAAAAUGUUAAUAAUGUGACUGCUUUUUCAAAGUAAUUCUUAAUGUGUACCUCACUUCCAUAAUUUGUAAGUAUUCAUUUUCAAGCAUAAGUUGUCUAUAACAAUAACUUUUUACUAAUUAUGUUUGUUUUCAAAUCAAAUGAUGUAGUUUAAAAAUCAUGCUUGUACUUCGACGUGCUUCAAUUCUUAUAAGCCAUAGAAAUCUGAUGAUUUGAUUUUAAUAAAAAAUUAAUAUUUGUAUAAAAAAAUAUUCAAAUUUUAGUUUGCAAUACUAUUUUUUUUAGGUACAAGUCAUACUUUCUAGAAAAUUCACAAAUCCAAAUAAUAAAUAUUCACUGUAUAUUUAUAGAUGUAUAGUUUAUUGUUUUUUCUGUAAUAUCUAUAGAUGUAUAUAUUUCUAUGUUCAAUAUCAAUCUUUUUCAUUUUUGUCUAUGAAUACAUACAAGGUUUGUGAAAGAUUGAAGUAAUGUCUAAAACAUAUAUUGAAUAUUUUUUUACAUCAGGAAGUUUCCGAAUACUAAAGAAAAUAUAGAACUCUAAAUUCCAAAGACAUACUUUUACUCAUCAAAUAAAAAAAUAAAUUAGUCGUUAAGUAACUGCUACAAUUUGUGAUGAGAUAUUAUAGUUUCAAGAAUACAUAUUUUAUUUUAUUGUUAUAUUGUUAUAAAAACUAAUAUUUCCGUUCAUUACUAUUCUACAUAAUUCAAAUGAGUUCUUAUUUUGAUUUUUUGCAACUUUUUUAUUACCGAAAAAAACAAUUAUCCAUGAAAAUUGGUAUGUGCACCAUUUCACAAACUUUUCCUUUUACGACCUCACAGCUUAUUCAUGUAUGAGGCAUAGAUCAAAGUGUAAAAACUUUGGGAAAUUAUGACCGUCAAAUUAUUUUUUAAAUUAUUAUUUUUUAAAUUAUUAUUUUUUAUAUAUGUAACUAUUUUUCUCAAAAAAAGAAAAAAAUCAGAUAAAAAUUAUAGUUUAUGAAAUUUAUAAAAAUAAUAAAAAAAAAAACAAGCAAAACAAAAAAACAAAAUCACCACCACCAAAAUAUGGUGUACUUAAUUGUGUACUAAUUUGUAUGUUCUCAUGGUUUUUUUAGUUCUGAAUUUUUGUAUUACUUUGAUUCAUUGGCUGCAGGAUUUUAUUUUAUUUUAUUUUUCAAGUGGUUUUAUUUUUAGAAUAUGCACAAAAAUGCUCAAAAAAUAUGUCUUUCUUUCAAUAAUAUAAUAAAAUGACUAACUAUUGUAUGUAUUUGAAUAUUAUAUGGAAUGACAUGUCACCAUAGUUGAUUUUGCCAUUGUAUGACAUGCAAAUUUGUAGGUUUAAGUUCAAUUUCAAUUUGUAAGUUUUAUAAUUAAUUUAUAGAAAAAUUUGAAGAAUGAUUUUGUGGACAUAAUUAUUGCAAAUAGAAAUUAAAUAGUUAAUGUUAUUUUUACCCAAUUAGAAUCAUCACUGGACUGUAUACUCUAUCUUAAUUAAUAUCCAACUAUACUCAAACAGUUCGAAUGCAACAAUCCAAAAUAAAAAGAAACUUACCCAUUUGUAUAUUUAAAUGUGACAUAAAAAUAAAAUCAAAACCAAAACCAAAAAGUUGUUCUAUUACCACCUACCUUUAACAACCUCAAAGAUCAUCUUUUUCUUCUUUUACUCCUCUCUCUCUAUGUUCCUUUGUGGUAUGAGAUGAAAAAGUAUUGAACAUCAAAUCCUUACAUACUUUUUUCCAAGAAAAAAAUGUCUAUAAGAAUGGAAGAGAGUUGAAGAGUUUGACUUAUAAAUGGAGUUGUUGGCAAAGGGAGAGGGUGGUCUCGGACGGACAAUAUGGGCAUUUGAAAGUCCGUGUGGGGGCUUUAGCAAGUUUUUGAAUGGAUUGCCGACAAAGCACAUGGCCGCAAGGGAGGAGCAUGGGAGGGUUCUCAUUUGUGCUUUGGUCCCGCGAUACCGGACAUGCAAAGAUGGAGUGGAAUUGUAAUCCCUUUUCAAGCUCUAUCUCCAUUGGCAAUUGGGCCAUGGAUUGCCACUCGUGCUUCUUACCACCCAUCACAGCUGCUACUUUCAAUAGUGUUGGAAGUGCCUAUUUUUAGUUUAAAAAUCAACACACUUUGUAACAAGAAUAUUUCACUCUCCUUGUUGAAUUCACAAACUAAUCAAGAGAAAAAAAAAAUAUAUAUAUAUAUAUAUAUACAUGAUUAUAUAUAUAUUUUAUAUUUAUUUAUCUAUGAAAGUCAUAAUUGCUAGAUUCUAAAAAAUAGAUAGAUAAAUAAACAACAUUCUUACUUGAGAGCCGGCACAAAGGGUGACAAAUAAGGGGCUAUUGUAGGAUUGCCCCAACAUGGCACAACACUCAUGCAUGAAUUCAAAAGCUAUUGCAUCCCAAUCCAUAUUUGACAAAAUAUCUACAUAUGGUGACAUUUGUAGCCUCCCGGCCCACAACAAACUACCCAUCAAUCUUUGUAUCUCAUGCAUGUGGUUGUUUGCAAAACCUCCAAAUGAGCUUCUUGCAUGUUCUAGAGCCAACGCCUUUUUCCCUUCUACCAAAUAUUGCACAAAUUGAAGCCGUUGAAGCCGAAACUCUAAAGAAGAUUUCCUUUGUUGUAAAGCAAUGUGGUGUUCUUGUGCCCAUGCAAGAGCUCCGCUCAAAUCUCCCGCUUGCAAUUGUGCCAAAAUUUGGUGACUCUCCCAAAAUUGGGUUCUCAUUGACAAAGCACUUUCUCCAUGGGAUUCAGCCACAAAACAAUCACCGACAUCAAAAAGACCUUGCCGAUAAAAAUGCAAGGCCACAAGUUGGUUCACAAGUCCGUGGUUGAACUCCACGUUUCUAUACACUUUGCCAAGGUUGCGGUUAAAGCACUUGUCAAUCAAUUUCCCACACUUUGUCAUUGCAUUGUUUAUUUCUUUUAGGGGAGCCUCUGUAAAGCUUUGGGCUCCAAUCUCUUUUAGCCUUGCCUACAGACAAUUGAUUAAUCAAUCAAUUAAUGAGUAAAAGUAACGUCACAACUGUUAUGGACUCUCAAUGAAUCCUAGCACUACAGAAUGUGUGACUGGCCUAGGCAGGAUUUAAUUGAUGUAUGAGUUGGUGAACUCAUUUAUUUAUUUUUAUUUUUAUUUUUCAAAUCGAUUGUGACAUUGCAAAUUAGCAUCAAUAAUAAUAAUAAUAAUAAUAAUAUAUGCAUUUAUUUGUUUAUAAAUUAGUUUUUAAAAAGAUAAAACUAUUGUUUUUUAGGGUAGUUUUUGAACGUUUAAUUAAACACGACAAGACCAUGUUUUUUUAUAAAGCAUCCAUUUUUAUAAAAUUAUCACAAUUUUGCAAACAUUUUGUAAUACAUGGUGUAUUUGUGUGCAAAGGUGAAAAUUUUACUUCAAAAAAAUUCCAUUCCAUGAAUCACACAAUUUUGCAUUUCCAAAACAUAUUUUUGAAUUUCAAACUUUUUAGCUUAUGAUUUUAGAAUUUGGAAUGUAUGAUAUUGAAUAGAUAAAUUACAAAAAUUGUUUUCUACUUGUAACACUUCCAUGACCAAUUUUUGAUGAACUCCAGCAGGAGCCUCCUCAGGGACUAUGGAAAGUUCAAUAAUUGCAUUGGUUAUGACUUCCAAAACCUUAUCAAUAUCUUCUUGAGUCUUGCCAUACCAUGUCUUUUGUUUCUUUGAAGCCCGAUUGAAUGCAUUUCUCACAGGAAAUAAGUCCAUUGUUUGUUUGUGUUUGUGUGUACAAUGAUUUGUUAAAUUUGCAUCAUUUGCAUAUAAAAGUAUUAUGUGAUUUAAUGUCUUUUAUAUUUUAUUUAUUUUCCUAAACAAUAUUGGAAACAACAGAUUUAAGUAUUUUUUUUACUUAUUUUUCUACACUACCAAGUUCUUUAUGGCAAGGCUGUGAGCAAAAUAAACAGGAUAGAAAUGAAAAUGAAGACACUAUUUGCACAUACUGAAGAGCAGAUAUGUGAAUACUUAUUGAAAUUGAAGUAUCAAAACUGAUCACCUAUUAUGUGCCGUGGCAUUUGAAUCUAAACUAUGAAGAUGUAGUUUAUUUGGUUUUGAUAAUUAGAGAUCAUUUUCGACAACAUGUUAUUGAUUUCCAUUACAUCUUCAAAUGUAUUCUUGUGAUAUACUGUAAUGAAUUUUUAUUGCUCUUAAAAACGGCAAUUACUGAUUUUCAUUGUUUCAGAGAACAUCACUGGAUGCCUGUAAUAACCACCAAUCAAAACACUUGACACUACUUCUUUGUGGAAUUCAGCAUUUUUUUUUUUUUUUUUAAUCUUAUGAGUCAUGGUAAGAUAGCUGUUAUGAUAGCAUAUAAUUAUCUAUAUAUACACACAUAUAUAUAUAUAUAUAUAUAUAUAUAUCAGUUUGAAAUUUAACUCAUUCUACAAGUAACACGUUAAAGCUGUCCAUGUUUUAUACCUAAAAAUAUCAUUAUAAAUGAUUCUAGAAUUGAUUCAUCUUUUGAAAGAAGUUCUUCAAAAAAUUUAAAUAUAAUUUUGAAGAUGGGAAAUACUUUUAAAACUAUUUCUAAGAUUUAGAAUAUAUAAUAUAUCCUUUUAUUUGUUAAAAAGAUCAUAAUCGUCACAAAAAUAAUGAUGAUGAAAACAUUGAUAUUUGUUUGAGGUUAAUUUGACCAUUUUUAAAGAAGUUAAUAAAAAAACUAAAAAAUAUACAUGACUUAAAAUUUUAAUUCUUAGUAUUGACAUUGUAAUUGAAAUUCAUUUGUCUCAGAGUGAUUAAUUCGUGUAUUAAUGUAGUAGUUAUUCUAUGUUUUAUUGUCUUCUAAAAUAAAAUAAUCCAACAUAAUCCAUUUACAAAAAAAAUUCAAAUUUUCAGUAAAAAAUUCUACAUAAUAUUUUUAGAAAUAUUUAGGCAAAAAAUGUUCUUUUUCUUUACUUAGUCAAAAGGUGUUUUUAUCUACUUCUAUUUGGUUUAUUUACACAAAUUUAUAAACUAAGUUUCUACUAUCUAAGAAUAUCAAAUAAAUAGACAAAAAUAUUAGAAAAUGGAAAUGAAGACCAAAACAGAUUAUCUACAAGGAUUCUUUAAAUUAUUUGAUUAUAUUAUAUUUUAUUUUGUGUUUCUAUGAGAUACAAUAAACAUUCAAUUUUUUAUAUUGUAAAAUACAUAAUGUAUAAUUACAAUAGAUUCUCAGAUUUUAUAAAUACAAUUGAAUUAAAUUAUGUAAAAAAUAAUCAUGAUCAAUUAGUACCAUCUAUAUGUAUUUGAAAUUAAAAAAAUAAAAAUAAAUAAAUCCCAAACUUGAGGAAUUAACCAAAGAAUUGUUCUCAGACUAACAAGAGCAAGAUUAUGUAAAUACAGUUGAAAUAAUAUUUAAACCAAAUUUUUGUGCAUCAAUUAAAUAAAAAUAGAAAAAAAUUCAUCAAUGUCUUUUUAGUACAUACCAUUAAAUUUAAAACAUGUGGUCUUUUACGGAAAAACAUUAACAAAUAAAUAUAAUGAUAAUAAGUCAACUCUUAACCUUGGUGGUAAAUUAGUAGAUGAUUAAGAUGUUUUCUGAAAUCAAAACUUAAGACCUAAAAAACAUUAAAUUUUAUUUGAAUCAUAAAAUUGAAAAAAUAUUAUUAUAAACAUAUUUAAGAUGGUUACAAACAUUAAACAGAAAAAAAUUACCUUUGUACAUAGUAUAUUGGAAAUCCAAAAAGAUAUAGUUUCCUUUUUGAUUAUAUAUGUAUAUAUGUAUAUAUAUAUAUAUAUAUAUAUGUGUGUGUGUGUGUGUGUGUGUGUAUGAACAGGUACCAUAUCGUGUUUGAUUAUUAUUAUAUCUUGCAAGGAUUCAUUAAAUGACACUAAAUCCUUAUAACAACAAAAUAAUAAAAUUCAAAGCAAUAAAAGUUGCCAUUGAAAAUGUAUUUAAAAUAUGUUUUUUUUUUAAAAUGAAACAAACCACUUUACAAAUAGAUGGGGUUUUAUUUUUGUUUUAUUAUAUUUAAGUAAAAAUAUAAUUUUUUUUUUUUAUAAAUAUGUACUAGAUUGUAAUAUUAUCAUUAUUACCAUUAUCAUUUAAACGAUUUUACAACAGCAUGUAAAUAUCUAUACAUGAUACAAUUGAAUUAAUAAUGAUUUGAGGAGUUUAAAAUAUUUCAAUUUCAUAUAAACUUAAUAUUUAAUUUUUAUCAUAGAAGAUAUACAAUACCUUCUAUAUUUGAUAUUUUAUUCAGUAUCCAAGAAAAUUGAUAAAAGUUUUUAAAAUAAAAGCCACUUCCAUAUAUAUAUAUAUAUAUAUAUAUAUAGGUUUUAUAAAAUAUUAUUUUUAUUUGGUUUAUCUAUGAAUAUAAAUUAUCAUUUUUUUGGUUUAAAGAAAUAAGAUUAAAGACAUUAUUUGUAUUUCUUUUCAAUGCCCAAAAUUUUGACAACACACAAAGAUAUAAAAAAAUAAAAAUUAUAAGAAACAUUUCCAAAAUAUAUAUUUAAAAUUAAAAAAUAAAAUAAAAAUAUAUAUAUAUAUAUGUAUAUAUAUAUAUUAAUAUUUUAUUACAAAUUAGAGAUGGUUCAAGCUGUAAUUAAAUUCUAUUUAUAUCAACUUUAAUGUUUAAAUAAUAUAUUUUGAUUAUUUUAAAAUAAACAAAUAAUUUUUACUAACACUAAAUAGUGGUGAUGAUGGUAUCAAGAAGUUAUCAGUUUCAGAAAAUACUUUUAAAAGAAUUGCUUGUUUAUUUUGGUGCUAAUUAUAUAAAUGAGAAUUCAACAGAAUAUCAUAAUAGAUUAAAAUUUAACAAUGUAUCUUUGUUUAAAUUGGAACUAAAACUUAGGCGUCUUAUGUUAUUUAUAUGAAGUAAUGUUCUACUUGACUUAAUUGUUAGAAGACUUGUGUAGUAAGUAUAUUAUCAAAAUAAACAUAUUGGCACAACAUCAUACAAUACAACUGAAAUUCCUUCAAAUAAUAGCUUUACUUCUAUUGUUACUAAAACAAAUUAAAUAUUUUUAUUUUGACAAAAGCUACAUUUGUACUUGUCAGCGCCAUGCAUGAUGUCAAUAGUUUUUAGCAAAAGUUCCAACAUUGAAGGAUGUUGAUAUAAUAAAAAGAUUGAGUAAAGACAUAAUAAUAGAAACUACUAGUCCCUAGUUGAAGAAUUAUUGUGAUUUUACAAUAGAAGCAAUGAUUGUGAAACUUUUAGACAUUAUCAACACCUUUCAAGGGAUAUUUUUGGUGGUGUUAUGUAGAAUUAUUAUAUCAAAGGAAGUGUUUACAUCUUGGACACAUUAGUAUAUUUCUGUUAUUGUUCUAUAAUGCAUUAUUAAUCAACACAACCUAUUGACAAAUAUUUUGGCAACCAUCUUAGGGAUGGUCAUUUAAUUCAAGACAAUAUAGGUAGUGAGUGACAACAUGGCUAUUUGCUUAGAGGUACAACUUAACAAACAAUAUGUACUAAGGAGUAUGGAUCCAAAAGAAGACAACUCCUCAAGGGAAGAUAGUUAAGGCAAAUUAUCUCAUGAACUUAUAAAAAUAUUCAAAGAAAGCUUAGAAGAAGAAGAAGAGUCUACAAAGGAUCUCUUGAAAUAAAUAAAAUACCAAGUUUUGGUUAUGAAUGCUAGAAAUGAAGAAAUAGAUGUAAGGAUCCAAAAACUUGAACAUAAACUCAAAAUAUUAUUGUAUUAAAAGAAACUUCUAUAGUCACUAUAUAAUCAUCUCUAAUAAAACUAACCACAAGAAGAACUCACAUGCUUAUAAUUGCACUAAUUAUUACACUAGUUACAAUAGAAAUAACAAUGAUAUUUAUUAAGUUAAAAGAUGCAAUUUAAUAUCUACUAUUUCGAAUAAGUAAUGAUUUAGAUUAAUACCUUUGAUAUUUCAAAAAUAUUAUUAGAAUCAAUAUAGUCAUUAAUUCAAUAGAAUUAUAAAUAGAAAUUUAUAAUUGAUUGGACUUAUAGUUUUGAAAAAUAAAAUCUUGUUGUGUCUUGGAAAGAAAUGAAAAAAUUAAGAAGUAUUACGAGCAUUGAAGGUGAUUAAGCAAUACCCAAAUAAACUAGUAGAUUUUUUUUACCAUCAAUUUAAGAAAAUAUUGGACAAACCAAAAACACCAAUCAAUGAUUCUUUAAAAUAUAAUUGGUUUGAAAAGGAUUUAUAUACUUCACUUUAACAAAGAUAAAUUUAUAUAGAAAUCACCUUAUUACAUGAAAUAGUAGAUGUGGCCAUACAAACUUCUAAAAAAAUUAGUGAUAUUAUUAGUUGUAACAUAUCACCACCAAGAUUGAUACAAUACCUGCCUAUGCAUAAUAUAUUUAAUUAUUGGCAUCCAUUGUCCUACAAAUGAGAUUCUUAAAAUCCAAAAAAUUAUCUUGUAAAACAAAUACUAAACAAAAUAAUAGUAUUAAAACCAAAUGUGGUCCAUUGCGAUACAUUUUAAUUAAAUUAGUAGCUACAAAUAUAUGAUAAUUAUUGAAACUAAGGAUUCAUUCAAUAUUAUUGUUGAAAUUGUCUAACAUAUUAACCAUGAUGGCUACCAUUUCUAGUAGGGGGCCAAGAUUUUAGAAACAAUGUUAUGAUUUUUAGAUUGAAGGAUAUACACAUAAGUGUUUCAAUCAAUUUUGCAAUAAUAAUCUAAUUACAAAAAAUCCAAAAUUUGAAAAUCAUACAACAUUAGGUAGAACUCUAAAAAAACAUUUCUCUACAAAAUUAUAAGAGAUAAUUCAACUUUAGAAUGGCAAUACAAGAAGAACUCAAAACAAUAGAGUUGGAUCCUUGAAAUUGGCACAAUAUCUUGGAUACUACAAAAGUUAUUAUAAUAUUAGAUAAAUGAUUGGAAUUGAGUCUGGACUUCCAAAUGUAUUCACAACAACUAUGCAAACCAACUAUUAUGAGUCCAUAAAUUAUUAACAUUUAUGUUAGAAGCAUAGAUUCAGAUACUAUGGUAAUUCAUAUUUAGUUAGGAUAAUAUAAAUUAAUUAAUAUUUUAGUUGUUAGAGGUUACAAAGUAAAAAUUAUAGCUAACUACAUUCAAUAAUAUCUUUAGCUUCUAAAACAAAAAAAAAUCAUUUAUAAUUUUCAUGAUAAAUGUUGUCCACGUAAUUCCAUUAAAAAUUCUCAUUGAUGUAUGAAUUUUUAUACACGAUAUGCUUAUACUAGCUACUUUUGCAAUUAUUGAGAUGCCAUGCAACAAUAAUUAUCUUGUCAUUAUUAUAUUAAAAAAAUCUUCAUUACAAGACAUAAGUACUAUUCAUGAUUGGAGUAAAUAUUACUUAAUUUUAAUUAAGAGACAUAGAUACAUAAUAAAUCCUAUAGAUAAUUGUGUUAUAUAUUAGAAAAUAGUAAUUAUAAGCCUCAGAGAUUAACAAUAGACUAAGAAGUAUUUUUAUUACAUAUCGACAAAAAUCUAGUCUCAUUAGUAAAAAUCUAUUAAAUUGCAUUAUUGAUUCAAGUUGAAGAACGUUUAAAUAUUUUGUUGCAUUUUUCAAAAGAAAUCUUAAGCAUAAUUAUAUUAAAUAAGGCUUUGGCCUACUUAGUACUAUGAGAUAUAUCAGUUAUGAAAGAUUAUAUAACAUCAUUGAAUAUGGUCAAUUUGAAAACUAUAGAAGAAUCAAAGAAUGUCAAAAUCAAUGUAGAUAUAUUGAUUUGAAAAAUUAUUUCAAUAUUGAUAUAUUUUGGAAAGAAUGGUAUAUUAUAGAUGAAUUGUAGUGAAUAAUGAUACAUGGUUUGUAUAGAAAAUAAAGUACUCUUUUACAACUUCCAAAUGAUCCUAGGUUGAAAAGAAUCCAUUUAGUAAUUGUGGAAUUAUGACCAAUCUAAUUUAGAAUAGUAUUGAAACAAUUUUUUAAGUGUGAUGUCUAAUUUUUGGAUUCUAUCAAUUACUCAAUAUUACAACAUUCUAUCAUUAUCAAAUUUACUAUGAUAGUAUUAUUAUUAAUCUAAUGACAUAAUUUAUGCUUAUUAAUAGCUAUAAAAGCAUCAUUCUUAAUUACAAUUUCUAGUACAAAUAUAUUCUAAAUUAUCACAUUUUAGAAUCUUUUAGAAUCUUUUAUAAAUUUUUGAAACCUUCUAGAUACUUAUAGAAUCUUUAAUAAUCUUUUAGAAAGUUCUAUAGGCUUUUAGAAGCCUCUUUAGACUUUUAGACGUUUCUUUAGACUUCUAGAAACUCCCAUAGAAAGUACCAUAGAUUUCUUUAACUUUCAUUGUAGUAUAAAUAGGAGUCUAUGGAACCACUUUUGCUAUCAAUUUUAUUCUUUGUUUUUAAUCUUGAUAUAUUUUUUUGUCAAAUUCUUGUGUCAUUAACAACUUCUUGAAUAAUUAUGAGACCCAUUUCCUACUUUCUCUAAGACAACAUCACCUCUGCUCUUCUUCAUUCUUAAAAAUCUUAUGGCCAAAUUGCUUUUGAACUUAGUUGUAAUAAAGCUAUUAUCUCCAGGCUAACAAAAAAAAUCACUAUUAAUAGGAAAAACCUUAUAUUGGAUAGACCAAAGAAGCUCACUAUAGAAGAUGAAAGAACAAUUAUUUGCCAAAUCAAUACUAAGAAGACUGAAAAUUUUGUUGAGGUUGCUAAAAAUCUUAAUAAUAUUAUGAGUGAUCCUGUGUCAAUCCAAACCAUUCAAAAUAUUCUCAAGAAAUGGAAUAUGAAAGCUGUGGUGAAGAAAAGAAAGACACUAUUAUCCACCCGUCAUUAGAAACAAUGCUUGAAUUUUGCUAUGAAAUACAAAGAAUGGACUGUGGAAGAUUGGAGGAGGGUUAUUUGGUCAAAUGAGACAAAGAUCAACAGAUUUGGAUUAAUGGCAAAAAGUGGGUAUGGAAACAAAAAGAUCAAUUCUUGCUUGACAAGAAGAUGCAAAAAAUAGUUUUGUAUAGAGGUAGAAAUAUAAUGAUAUAGAGUUGUAUGGAAUGGAAUGGAAUUGAAAGGAUGGCAGAGGUUGAAGAAAGGAUGGAUGCUAAGAAAUUCAUGGAAAUUCUUGAAAAAAAACCUACUUCCUAGUAUUAAAGAAUCUAGCAUUUUUAAAGAGGAGGUGAUUUUUCAGCAAGAUAAUGACUCCAAGCAUAACUCAAAACUAGCAUAAAAGUGGUUUAAUCAUCAUGGAAUUAAAGUAAUGGAUUGGCAUGCUUAGUGUCUUGAUCUUAAUUCCAUUGAACAACUUUGGAAGUACCUCAAACUCCAGCUCAACACUUGGAAGAUAAAACCAAAAGGAGCUUGAAAAUUAAAGGAAAGAAUACCUAUAGAAUAGAAUAAUAUUGAAGCAAUUUUGUACCAAAAGUUAAUAGAAAGUAUGCCUAGGAAGUUGGAAGCAAUUAUCAAGGCUAAAGAAGGUCUUAUAAAGUACUGAUAUGUAAUUGGAUUUCCAAAAAAAUGUUUCAAUAUUGUUCAAAAUUUGAUUGGUCAUAGCUUUACAAUUACUUGAUGGAUUCUUUUUAACCUAGACUUAUUUGAUAGCUAUAAAAGAAUACUUUUUUUGCUAUAUAAACUAAGUGUCAUUAUUCACUACAAUUUAUUUGUAAUAUAUUAUUCUUUCUAAAAUAUGUUUAUAUUGAAAUAGUUUUUGGAUUCACUAUACAUCUAAAGAACUAAAAACAUCUUUUUUAUUCAAAAAAUUCAAACAUAUCUUUUCUUGGUCAUACAAAGACCUUAAAGAUAUCUCCAUAAUAAUUUCUAAACACACCAUUUAUCUAUUACUAGACAUAACUCCAAUUUAACAACAAUGUUAUUGUAUUAAUUUUAAUUAUGUCACAACAAUAUACAUAGAAUUAGACAAAAUAUUAAAAGAUAAAUUCAUAUUUUCUAUUUAUUUACUAUUGUAGCUCUUAUUAAUAAUAAUCAUUUCUAAAAAAAUAACAAAUUGUACAUUUGUAUCAACUUUAGGAAAUUCAAUGUUGCAAUACGAAAGGACUAUUAUUUAUUUUUUUAUGUACAAAGGAUAAUUAAUGAAGUUGCAAAAGAUGAAAUAUAUUCUUUUAUGGAUUAAUUUUUAGGAUAUUAUGAAGUAGCAAUGGUGGAGGCCAAUAAAAGUGAAAUGACAUUGUCAAUAAAGUGAAAACCUUUCCAAUACAAAAAAAUAUUGUUUGGAGUGAAGAAUAUAUUAAGGACUUUUCAACAAGUAAUAGAAUUUAUAUUUUGAUCUUUUUUGAAGAAUUUCUUUUGGAUAUUUUAUGACGAUAAAAUAAUAUAUAAUAAUGUCAUUGCCCACAUCCAAUACUUAUAAAGUAUUUUUCAAGCAUAUUGUAUCUAUGGUCUCAACUUCAAUGUGGAUAAAUGUAUGAUCUUAUUCUUUACAAGAAUAAUAGUAUAUUAUAUUAUAUAUAAAUAAGGUAAAUUAUCCAAUCUUUUCAAAAUCAAAGACAUCUUUAAUAUGCAACUCUUUUAAAAACAAAAGGAGAUGUAAUUUUUUUUGGUAUGGCUAAAUUCAAUUGUAUCUACAUCAAAUAAUUUAUACAUAUUAUUAUAUUCAUUAGUGCUCUAAAUUAUAUAGACUAUCAUUACCAAUUCAUUGGAUUGCAAAGGACUAAUAAGCUUUUAAAGCCAUCAAAAAGGUGUAUACUAACAUAUUAAUAUUAUUAGCCUGGAAUUGAUCCUUAUAAUUUAGAAUCCAUAUAAACAUUUCUAAUGUCACAAUUAGAAUCAUACUUGUUCAGAAUUCUACUAAAAAGGUUCAUCAAUUGAUAGCAUAUGUAAGUCAAUUAUUAAAUUAUGUAAAACAUAAUUAUUUGAUAAUUGAAUUGAAAACACUUGCUAUGAUAUAUACAAUUAUAAAAAAAUCUAUUAUUUAUUAGGAGAAAUAAUUCAAUUUUUCCUAAAUUAUUCCAAAUUAUUGAAUUUAAUAAAUUAGUUAUUAAUCAUUAGCCAUAUUGCAUAAUAGAUCAUGAUAUCAAAAACAUGAAUCUUAAAAAACUAAAAGAUCAAUAUAUUCUUAUAUUACUUAAAAAGAGUAUAUAAUCACUCAAAGAAAGUAUAAUAUUAAACUAAAAUGGCUAUUAUCAAAGGCAAGAAGUCUAAAGACUCUUGAGAUGAGACUAAAGAUUAAAAAGAAAUUGAUAAAAUUAAAGAAGGCUUCAAUCUUGCCUCCUAUAUCAUAAGCUAUCAAUAUGUGUGACAUGUAACUAAUUUAUUGGCCAAGUUUCUAACCUAAAAAUCAACUUUAAACAUAUCAUAGUCAAAUUUGUAUCUAUAAAGCUUAUAAAAAGCUUGAAUAUAAGAUAUUAUGAAAUCUAUUUAUAUUUAUCUUCUAUUCAAUACUUCAUAUAUAAGUAAAUAUGUAUGUUUGUGACACAUGAUCUUUUUGGUAUAUGACUUUGAAAUAGUCCAUGUUUAAAAUAAAAACUAUGUAGUCACUACUUAUUUAUGCCAUGAUACAACCACCAUUGAAGUAAUAAGCAUUAACAAUAUCUUUAAUGAUAUGUAUAUUCAAACAUCUAUUAUUUAGCUUGUAACAAUUAAUAUUGAUUAGCGUUCUCUAUAUAGAACAUAUCUCAUAAUUGGAUAGAAACCACAAAGAUUUACAUGUAUGCAUUACAUUAUCUUCAUCUAUCAAGCCUUAUCAUAUACUUAUAUAAACCAAUUCCUUUAUAAAUGCAAUAUAGAUAACAUGGUGCAACUAUGCAUUUUUUAGGAACAACAUCAAGGUAUUAUCAAAGAACCACAAAAAGAUAUGAUAAGAGAGCACUAAAGACCAAAAAUAUCUAUUCAAAAAAUCUUUAUAACAUGAUAUUGGUUGCCAAUUCUAUACAACAACAGAUACCAUUAUAUUAAGCAUUGCUAUAUAUGUCAAAUAUCUACUUCAAAUUUUGCAUAUCAAAGAAAGGUUCCAUUAUGUUCUUUUCUGGGACUUGAAUUAUUCAUGCAUUAUGGAUUGAAUUUCAUUGGUCUUAUAAAAUCAAAAAUAUCUCAAAUACAUAAAUAUAUCUUAGCAUCUAUAAACUAUAUAAUCAAAUGAAUAGAGGAUAAGGCUUUACACACCAAUUUAGUCAUCAUUACAAUGAUCUUUUUUCUAAAAAUAAAUUAUUAUUUAUUUUGGAUGCCUUCUAGAAAUUUUAUUUUAUUAAGGUACACACUUUGUUAACUAGAUUAUUGACAAUUUCAUCUGGGAUCACAUUAUCAAAUAUUGUACCUCUAUUGUAUAUUAUCUAUAAAAUAAUAAAUUAGUAAAAUCCAUCAACAAGAUGUUAUUGACAAUGUUAAAAAAAAUCAUUAUUACAAACCAGAUCAAUUGGAAUAUAUGUUUAUCAACAAUCCUAUAGGCCUAUUAAGUUGCAUAUAAGAACACAAUAAAAACCAAACCCUUUGAAUUGAUAUGUGAUAUACAUCUAUUAUUUCUAAUCAUAUAUAUUACUUCAAUAUUUCAAUCACUCACUUUAUGGAAGAAUACACUACAAAAGAUAUUGAUGAUUUGAUUGGUAGAUAUCCACUACAUUAAUAUAAUGAUGUUAUUCAAUUAAUAACUUGUAAUGAAGAAUAGUAUACUUGUAUUAUUGAGAGAAUCAAGGUGAAAUAUACACCUCAAUACUUGCAUCUUUUCUUUGGCUAGAAAUUUUAAGGCAUAGGCAUGUAAGACAAGGCUGUUUGUAAACAUCUUUAUUGAGAUGUCAAAUACUUUGUGAAAGAAGUAUAACAAGACAACUACAAGUAUGAUAUUUUUUUAGAUUAAAUAAAAGCAUUCAAAGCCAUAUUUAGAUAAUUAUGUAACAUAUUGAAUACCAUUUUCUUUUAUAAUAAUUAUAAAUGCAUUCAAGGGUAUCACUUAUAGAUGUACUUAAUAGUAUAUAUAAUAGCAAAAUAGAAAUUAAAACAUGAUUAUUGAAAAACACCUUUGUAUUGAAUUUUUCCACCUUAAUUGUAAUUUAUAUGCCAAUAAUUCCAUUGAUUCAUUGUUAAACUUGUAUAUCUGUCUUUACAUAAUAGACUAUGGUAAAUAUAAUGUCCCACCUUGAUUAAGGUCUAUAACUAAGGUAUUGAAGAAAUUAUAUUAGAUCUGUGAUCAACAUAAGCAAAGUACAGAGAAAUUAGAUAAACAUAAAAGAAUUAUGCUAGAUCUAUGAACAAUGUAAGCAAUAAAUGGAGACAUUAAAUCAAUUCAAAGUAAAGAAAUCCAAGAUGGUUUAGAUGUAUGAGAUCCACAUUAAGCCAUUGUCCAAAUGAUAACUUCAAAUGACUUGCUAUUUUUAAGAAUAUAUAUAUAUAUAUAUAUAUACAUCAUAAAUAUCCAAAAUAACAACCUACUUGAUAUCUUUUAUUGAAUACAACAAAGAUUGUGUAGUGACAAAUAAGACUAUGGAGCAAUGUUUCUAAAGUAUGGUGGAUUGCACUUCAAAAAUUUCCAUAUUGUGUAUUUGGAUUGAGAUGCAACAUCAUACCAUAAAUUAACACAAAUAUACUAUCUAUGACCUUCAAGAAUCUUUAGCUAAUACUAAAAUUAUGCUUGAAAUGACCUAAGCUACAAUUUUUGGAUGUAAAGCUAUCUUCCACAUCGCAUAUGAAUAGGUUAUAAUAUUAAAAAUUGCCAACAAAACAAUUAGACAAUGAAUCAACAAACUUUUUGCUACAAAUACUUAGUUGUGAUAAAAUAUAUAUGAGGUUGAAGAAUAAGAAAAGAUAACUAUCAAAGAAUUAAAACAAAGGACUGAAUGGAUGGGAGAAGAAUGCCUUGUUAUGGAAGCAGUCCUAUAAAAUUUUAAAGCCAAUCUUGCCAAUUGUAUUUAGGAGGUAUUAUGUAUUUUUGUCCUUAAUGCAAUAUGGUUGGAAAACAAAGUUCUAAUAUUGAGCAAGCAAAAAAAGAGAUGUUUAUACAAUAAUAUAUAAUAGACGGAAUGAAUACGUUAAAAUUAUUAGACAAAGAUAAAGGAUGAGAACUAAACAAUAUAAGGAUUGAAAAAAAAAGAUGUGAGUAUAUUAAAGAACUAAUCAAAGUAUGUACAUAAGAACUCUAGAAUCUCCAAGAUACAUCCUAGAGUCUAUGUUUCUAUUCUCCUAGCUACAAAUUCUAAUAUCAAAAACUCAAACAGAUACAUGAGAUGGAAAAACAAAUAUCAUCUCUAUAUUUUUACUCCAUAGUUUUUCAACAUAUAGUUAACUACCACUAAAAAGAGUUGUAGAUAUUAGACACAAAAUUUUAAGGAGAAAAAAAUGACAAGAAAAGUGAGGCCAUAUAUUAAGAAAAUGAAAAUUCUAUGGUAUUAGCAUACUUUUAAAACAAUUUGGACUAUGCUUAUUUGUAUGAAGAUUUAUGUGCAGAUGCAGAAUGCCUAUUAUAUAAUUGGUUGUUGGAAAAAAUGAUUUUUGAUAUAUAUAUAUAUAUAUAUAUAAGCAUUCAUCAAAACCAAAGACAAAAAUUAUUGCAUAUAUUAUAGUAUUGUCAAAGAUAUCAUUAAAUAUACAAAAAAAAAUCAUCUCCUUAAUACUUAAUAAAAUGUUCUACUAAGUUUUAAAAAUUCUAUUCUUCAACCAAUAGACACUUUCAAAAGUAAGAAAGAAUAAUACAUCAAUACAUUUGAGGACAAAAUGUAAGUUUACAAACAAGGAUAAAAUGCCAACGCCAUUAAUAACGUUAACAUUUUUUAGCAAAAGCAACAAUAUUGAAGUAUGUCCAUACAAUAAGAAGAAUGGAUAAAGAGGCGACAAUAGAAACUACUAGUAAGUAAUUAUAGCAUUAUUGCAAAUUUAAAAUAAAAGCAAUGAUUAGGAAACUUUUAGGCAUUACAAAUACCCUUAGAGGGACAUAUUUUCUUUCUUUUUCCUUCAAAAUUUGGAUGUUUAUCAAUUAGAGUUAUAAAAAUAGCAAGCUCGUUUGUCAUGUUUUGUAAGUAUUCUGGCUGGGUAGAACUAUGUAAUGUUUUAUAUUCAAAUGAAUAAAAGAGAGAGUAUAGAAGUAUUACAUCAAAGGAAUUAUUUACGUCUUGGAUGCAUCAGUAUAUCACUGUUACUAUUGCAUGGUGCACCAUUGACCAACACAAUUCAUGGGCAAAUUUUAAUGAAAAUAAAUAAAUUGUAAGGCCAAUCAUUGCAAGAUGCAAGUUUAGGACUUUAAACCUCAAUAUUUAUCUAUGACCAAUUGCAUGUAGCUCCAUUCUAAUACACAUUUUUAAAGUGCAUGAAGAUCAUUUAUCCGAAUAAUAUAUAUAUAUAUAUAUAUAUAUAUAGAUUUCUACCUACCUGACUACCUACCUGCCUCACGAAGAGAAGAGCCAACUGAGAGGGGAGGAGCCAGCCCAACUGAAGGGAGAGGGAAGAGGGACACGGGCACAGGGAGGGGGAACAUUGUGCCCGUGUCCCUGUCCCCAGUUUCCUCCCCUCCCCUCCCUUCCCUUCCCUCCUCCACGGUGACCAGCACAGACAGACGCACACACACUCCCACACACACACCUGGUCGCCGUCGUCUCCAUCCAUCCGCAGACCGUGACGAAGAAGAAGAAGAGCAUGAAUCCGCGGUGGAGGGGGGGUGGUGGCGGUGUGAAAGGGGAACAGGGGAACACUGAGAACAACAACAGCAUCCCCCCCCACUUCCCUUUCCCCUUCCCUUAGUCUGCACCAGACGAGGCGAGACGAAACGAGACCACUCCCACAAGACGAAGGGAAAAGGGAGCACAGGAGGAGGACGAGGAGGAGGGAGAGGGAGAGGAAAGGAAAAGGGAGGGAAGGGACAGGGAAAGCGGGAGAAGUAACUUGCCUUCCCCCUCCUUCCCUUCUUCCUUCUUUCCUUCUCAUUCCUUCAUUGCCCUGUCUUUCCGUCUUCUUCUUCUGCUUCGUCGUCGUCAGCACCACAAAUACUACACCCAACUCCCGCUUCGGAUUGGACCUUUGCACCCACCCACCCAGACACCCAUCCAGCAGCAGUAGUAGUAGUUGCAGUAGUAGUAUCGCAGGAGGAGGAGGAGGAGUCAGUGGGGGAAGGAGGAGAGGGAGGAAGCAGCAUUCGGGGGCACAUUUAGGUUAUAUUGCGUUAGUCGCGGCGUGUGGCGAGGAAGGGAUAAAGCGAGAGAGAGAGAUAGAAAGCCAGGGGCUUUGAAGGAAAGGAAAGAAAGGAAAGGGUAGGGACAUAUAGGGAAGAAGACCAACGGACGGAGUUUGGCAUGCGGAUCACCACGGCAGGGCAGAUUCUCAGGUACCUGAAGAAGAAGAGCUCUGGAAGAGUUUGAUUGACGUUGGGUCUUAGAGAGAAAAGGAGUGGCAGAGAAGAGUGAGAGGAAGGGAGCGAAGAAAGUGAAGGAAGGGAGCGAAGAAAGUGAAGGAAGGAGAAGAAGAAGGGAAAGUGCUCGGGGGUAGAGGGAGUCUGAGAAGAGUACCAGGUUUUUGGUUCUACCUAGUCUUGAGGUGUUUGUGGGUUCGACGUUCUUGAGGUGCUCUUGGGCGAGUUCCUUUCAGAGGGCUAAUUCGGGCUGGUACAAAGCAAGCCAUUGAGAUGGUGUAAGCUUUACUUCGAGUUUCUGUGACUGUCUUCAAGUGUCGUUGCGAGUCUUCCCGUAAGCCGAGGGUUUGCGACGAACGUGCAAGUCUUCUGCUUGAAGCAGAGUAGUAAAUGGUAGGCGAAACAUGUAAGCUUGAAUGAUGGACUUGUUGUAGUGCCUUUUUGCUCAUUAUUUGCUUUGGUCGCAUGUGUGUGUCUUCAUAUUUGCUGACUAUUGGGAGUUUGAGUGUGUUCUUUAAUCAACACCUUCUCGGUGGUCGACUAAACGGGCAUAACUACGGUGUAUUGAAAAUUCGGUUUCUCAUUGUUACUUUGUGAUUCGUUACUAAUGCAACGUUUUGAUUUCAACUUCUGUCGGAGGAUACGACCUUUGAGCUUCGGUAUUGUUAAUAGUUUGGCAACUGCAUGUUUACCUCGCCUCUCGUGAUUUUGAGGUGGUUGCGUAGGUUGUGAGCUGUAGACUAGGAUCUUGUUGGAGCUUACUAUUGACAGACUUCUUGGUAACAAAUUCUGGUUGUUCUGUUAGGUCAAGGUCAGCCUGCUUGCUAUGUGGCCAUCAAGAUGCUGGUUUUUGAAAUCGGAUCAUUUGGGAAGGUCCAAUGCAAAUGGGAGAACUACAUCAAUACUGUCGUUGUAACUAGUAAACCGCUUCAUGCCUUGCAAUUAAGGUGAAAUUAGAAGUUAAAAGAGUAAGUUUUGCUGCCAGUGCCGUCUUUUAGUUCUUUGUCCCAUUUCGUGCUAUUUUCGACGACCGCACAGAGUCCAGCAAAUGUCGGGUUCAAAGUAUCCGUGGUUUAAUGUUUUAUCUUUAUCCCGGCCGCAUUUGUUAAAGAGUAGUGGUAUCACAUCUAUGCAUAGAUUUACAUUCUUAGUCACUACUGGCCUUACACAUUAAGACGCUACUGUAGAAAUUCUGUUAGUCCCCUAAUAUUCCAAAGUCGUAAGGCAUCCUCAGUUUCCCUUGGCCACUCAGUAAGUUCUUCGAGUUGCAGUAGGUGAAUUUUGUAGCUGCUGCGUAUUCUCAAAAAAUUGGAGGUUUUGGCUGGGGUUCAUUUGUCAUGGGUAGAGCUUCAACUAAACAGAAAAUUUUAUCUAGUUACGUGGGAAGUUCUUCUUAUCAGAAGAGGGUAUGUUUGAGUGCCAUACAGCUGAAUUGCAGCUAGGAUGUCUGAGGCUUACAACAUCAUGAAGGUCUAAGUAUUUAUAAUUUCGGUCAUAGUAAUCAUAUAGAAUUCUUUUAGAAAAAUAUUGUAAAGUUAUAUAGUCGCCGGAGGCGUACAACAAUUACAUCGCUAGGCAUGCUGAAGGAAAGGGUAAAAAACAUGCGUAACGGGUCGGAGAUGAGGCUGGAUACGAGUGCUCUUCAAUAUCCAGACCUAUGUAAGGUCUCGAGGCGUCUGCUUGAUCGGGACUUACUUGCAUCUUUCGAUCAGGUGUGCUCCCACGUAAUAGAUCAUGUCUAUGUGGGCAGUGGCACUGUAGCCAGGAGUCGCGAGAUACUGAUGGAAAAUGGAAUCACGCAUAUUCUCAAUAGUGCCGGCUUUGCUUGCCCCGAGUAUUUUCCCGAUGAAUUUACUUACAAGACCUUGUGGCUCAAGGAUAGUCCUUCGGAAGACAUCACUAGUGUCUUGUACAUCGUUUUCGACUUCAUUGAGGCGGUCAGACAGCAGGGCGGUCGUGUAUUCGUGCACUGUUGCAAAGGAGUUUCUCGGUCUACAUCUUUGGUGAUUGCCUACCUGACAUGGUUGCAGAGGUGCACCUUUCAAGAUGCAUUUAACUUCAUCAAGGCUGCUCGAGCAGUGACCAACCCUAAUCUCGGAUUUGCUUGUCAGCUGCUGCAAUUUCAGAAACAGUUGCAAAAUGCACCUGCUCUGAACAACAAGCUUCGUGUAUAUCGCAUGGCUCCCCAUUCUUCCCACGACCCGCUGCUUUUGGUGCCUAAAAAGGUCACUGGUCCAGAUAUUCUCACAUUCGACUCUCGGGGUGUAUUUGUAAUCCACGGACAGAACAACCUGUACGUGUGGCAUGGACAAGUUUGUGAUGCGCGUAUGGCCAAGGCCGGGCAUGAAUUCGCACUUCAGCUAAUCCGGUAUGAGCAGGUAGAGGGUCCUCCUGUAAAUAUCAACGAGGAUGAUGAACCUGCCGAUUUUUGGGAGCUUCUCCGAACAGGCGUCUUUAGUAGAACUAGUAGUGACGUCUCGUCUUUUGGAUCUGAUCUGCCCCAGAGAUCAGCUGAAGAAUCGUCGUCGAGUGCGAGUCCUCACGUAGUAGAUGGGGAUGUGCUUUUCAGGCGUCUGCAAGGGUUGUGCCCCGGUGAAGAUAAUGCUUCAUGUACUACGAAUGCAAGAGGAUGUGAAGACUCUGAUGGUGAUUCUUCUGUUGACGGUAGUAGCACUGGUCAACAUGAUCAGAGUGUUUCUGGUGCAAGGACUCUCGGUCAAGUUUGCAGGCCAUUGAAGACACUUUCGAUAUAUGACAAAGAUUUUGAGUUGUUUGAAUCUGCUAAGGAUUUGCCUGUAAAGAAUGAGCCAUCACCUGUAUCUAAGGACAUUUACGGAUGGAGGCGGUUGAGAGGAAAGUUCUUUUCAGGACCGGACAGUAUUGAAUCUGUUCCAUCUGGAAAUGAAGGGAUUGUGGCGGCGAUACCUUCCCCCUGAGUAAGUCGCACGAAGAAUCAUGUGUGAGCAAGGACUUCUAUUACAUGAUUUGCAGACGAACCACGAUUACUCAGCUGGCCAGCCCCCUCUCUUCCUCUCCCUCCCUCCCUCUCUCUCUUCCUUUCUCUGGCAUUGUCAAGCUAUUUCUGCACUUUUCUACUCCGUAAUAGAUAAUUCCAUUCGACUCUUCACAGUCUGACAAAGACGUGGUUUAGACAAACCGGCCUUCAUUUGGUCACGGUUUCUACACAAACCAGGUGGCACAUUUCGUUUGGUGUCAUCCCAGCAAGUUGGUCGUCUUUCUUAAGGGAGGAGCAGCUUUUUGUCCUUAAGAAUCCUGUCUCGACGAGGGAUGCUUCAAUGAGCUCAUGACCAACGAGGGGUUAACAAUGCUGUAGUCAAGAUCCAAUUAUCAGGUGCAGAGGGAUUGCUACAUCGAUUCAAUAGGUCUGGCCUAAUUUUGAAACCUACACUCUUCUGGAGAUUGAAGCUACAUCAAAAUUUGGCAUACCAGGUGCAACCUAUUGAUAUACCAUUAGAUCAACUUUCUUAAUGCAACCAUUCUUUGAAGCACAACCGUAAAUUCAGAAGUAAUCUGAGUUGCUGCUUGCUUGCAGAUUAUUUUCCUUUUCACCAGUUAUGUAAACCUUUUCACCUUAAAUUCCGUGUGGCUCUCAUUGGAGUUGGGACAUUCAGUGAUCUCUUGUCUUGAAGUUCAAUAUGGUUGAUAGCUUUCAAUUCACGUGAAGUAUGUGAUUACUACAUGCAUUUACCCUCCGAUUGACCAAUUUAUCUUAGAGUAUGCGGUUGAAUGUUAAUGAUGUCGUCGACGAAAAAUGUUUGCAAUCCAAACAAUGUAUGUUUUUGUUAGACUUUGUGUGGCUUGACAUAACAUGUUUUCCUUGAGAUUAUUAUUGUGAAUGUCUCCGAGUAAUAUGAGUAAAGAGCAAAACUUUAGGUUGUGAAUGGAGUACCUUAUCAAAUUUUGUCACAUUAUUCCCAUCGCAAUAUAAAAAUUGCUUGUGAGUGGUGCUGUUGUUGAAGUCAAUCUUUAUUCAUUCUUGUAUUAUCCCUACACGUUUUUGAAGAUGGGAUUCUUACUUUUUAAUUGUGUGUUGAAUGGGUGGGUGGUUAAUUUAGGAAGUUUUAACAAUACCAAUUUGAAGCAUUUUUCCAUUUCAAACUUCAUAAUACAUCUUUCUCCCCUACUCUGCUAAUCUAAAGGUAUUAACCAGGGCUAACCUUGAUUGUUAAUUCUGAAAGCACCGACUUCUUGAAUUCAGUUGGUAUCAGUUCAGAGUACAUACCACUGUUUUUGUGAAAUGUAAAAUUUUCAGAGAGAAAAUGGACAAUUUUAAUAAUAAAUCCAGCAUCAUGCUUCUCUUUAAGACAUAACGUACACCAUAUUCUUGACACUGCCAACAGUAUGAUUGUUACUCAGGCUGAAGAAUACCUGGAUCUACUGCAGUUAAUUCUAAUUUGAAUUUAUCAUACAAAAUUCUAAAACAAAUGAGUUGGGCACUGACUUUGAGACCUCGAAUGAUCGAUCACUAUCUAUAUAAAAACAUUAGUACACUCACUGAAGCUCGGAUUCAAGUUGUCUGACAAAUCCGGGUUGAACUAGGUCCCGAAACCCAUCACCCAAUUUAGGGUUUAAGGUCAAAUCCAGAAACGGGACAAAACCAUACUUGUUUGUGCGUCUUGUGAAGAUCGAUCAAGUGACGGUGUAGAGUGUGGACCAUCCGUGGAAUUUCAAAGGCGGGAUGGCUCUCUCCCGCCUGCAGUAUGUGACCGUUGUGGCUGGAUUCUCCGCCUUGUCUGCAUGGUAAACUUCGCCGUUUUCCAGUUCUCCCCGUCUCAGAUUAGGGUUCAAUUGUAUGCGCCUAAUUGCGCAAACUUGAAGUAAUUCGUGGUUGCUAGUGACACUCGAGGGGCCGCACCUGUAGAUUUUUCUCACUGAUAGGGUGUAUUGAGACAGCAGCCGUGAAAACGCAAAGUUCUGAUGGCACUUUUGUGGUCGUCACUCAGGUAUGGCUUCAUGUUUGGCAAGGAGUCGGCACGAAAGGAGCUGGCGGACAAAGUGAGCGAUUUGAAAGCUACGAUUCAGAAGCUUGAGAGCCACGAUAAUGCUUGAGUAAUUGAAUGUCGAUGUGUUCGACGACAUAUUCCGGGACUUGUAGUGGGUGUCGCAAAAUCUUUUGCGAAGUCUAUCCAGAUUCAGGUUUGUUGAUUACCACACUGAAGAAUGUGGGCGAUGAAUAUUGCUCUGCCCUUGAUGGUGAAGGAACUUGACUACCAUUAUCGCAGGUUAAUGUUCAAACCCUGCUUAACACAAAGCUUCAACACAUAUCCCGAACAGGGCGGUGCUACGGCGUAGAACGAUCUAGUAGCUUCCGGAGAUAAGAUGUUGUCAAUCAUAUUCAUUGAAAAAGCGCAACUCCUUCCAGUAAUUGUUCCAGUUUGCGUAUUUGAUGUUGUAGCUUUCUUUGCGUUGUUAUUUUUUUUAUUUUUUAUUUUUUAUUUUUUUUGUCCUCGUCAAUUUGUUCAGAUGGUCGUAUUGGGAUGUCGCCAACUCGAGCGGAGUUGGUAAUUGCAUACUAUUGAUUGUUGAAUCACUACUUAGUACAGGGUUGAUGAAAAUGAUCCGAGUUCAGGAGUUGCCGUGGCACGGGGUCUUUCUCCAAUUACCAUAGUUUAUGCAGGGGUUCUGCAGUUGAGCAAUGAUCUUGAGAUAUUACUUAUUUUCUUUAUUUGCCACUAGGUUAUUCCAAGGCCACAACAUUUUUAUAGUCGGGAAGUGUAUUCUAGAGUCGACAGUUGCGUCUAGAGCUGCUGUAUUUCUCUAAUAGUAGAAGAAGUAGAGGCAAGCAAGUGUACCAAUGCCUUCUGCCAGAUGUCUAGUCCGUCGUGUGCAUCUAAUUCAGCUGAAGGUUGCAGUUGUUCUAGCAACUUUUCUGUGAUGCUGUCAAGCAUUAUCAUGAUCUGGGAUGUCCAAGCAUUGGGUCUACCUUCUAGCGUGCUCUUACAAUGGAAAUGGCUUGUUACCCAUUCCUCCAGAAUUUCUGUCAAGCCAAUGGAUAAGUUAAGUCUUAAAAUAAAGGAAACAAGAACUAACAAUUGGUAACGAACUUAAGUAAGCAUAAAGUAACACUAUCAUGUAGGUAUCCGGGUAGUGCGCAUACCUUGUUCGAUAUUGUUUCCAUCCUUCCAGGACUUCAAGUGUGCUGAUACUAGUGUUUCAAUCAGCUGUAUCCUGUAAAUUGCAUCGAUUUCACAUAUUGGAUACCUUAAGCGAUUAAAAUAGCAUUUCUGCUUGUUUCUGAAAAGACAAAAGUAAACAGUGGCCUGCAGAUUUUUAAAAAUCGUGCUUCUGGAAAGAACUGGAAAAGGUUUUCAAUGGCGUCUCAGAUACGGUAGCAUGGUCCAGUUUUUAGCCGAGCUCGUAAGUCGUCUGAGUAUACUUACACGUAGAAAAGAUUCUCGUAUGCUUGAGAGAACCCCUCGUCAAAUGGGUCCGUGCACUGAAGUCUCUCCAACACCAUCGUCAUCUGUUGUGAUGAAGUCAAAAGCAUUCGAUGUCCUAUGUAUGCAUACUCCGCAAGUCUCAGCAUGACUACGAGCGUCUCCUCCUGGUCAUCUCCUUGACUAUCAUCUGGAGAAUGUGUUCCGUGAAAACUGAUUGUGAGCAUGAUAAUACUUGGAUUACCGUAGUGUAACCGGAAGUAGCUUUUAGUGGUAGGAUUAAGAAUUGACUGUUCAUAAAAUGUAUCGUUCAGUAAUGGUAAAGUAUCAAAUUUUAUCAAAGCAAUAAUUCUUGCUGGAAAGGCUUGGCACAGAAUUUUUACCUUGGCAGCUGGGCGUGAAGUUGAGCAAAUUUCCCACUAGAUCCAGGGCCAGUUUCUUCACGAGGUUGUUGACAACUAGAAGUUGACUCUCCUCGCAUUGUUCUCGACGUAACAAGGGAAUUGUGUCUGCACAGUCAAAAGAAUUGUAGCAAGAACACAAGCGACAAGUCCGACGCGUUUACAUUCCUGGAUGAUUUUAUUUCAUCAGAACCACAAAGAACAAAUAACUCAACACCUUCGAAGGUAUAGAAAAUCAAACGGAACCCUCCAGGAGGGAGCUUCAAGGUAAGCUUGACCUUUAAUGAAGUCCACAGCAUGAUGAAUGUAUGCCUCGGAGUACCUUCCUUUCAAGUGAAUCUGUCAAUAAUCAGCUUCAUUGAGCAUCCAAGCCUCACACAGAUUGGAAAGAGGUGUGAUGUACUCCCAACGUCACGUAAACAUGGACAUUCAUAAAAUGCUAUACUAAGUCGGUACCUUCUCACUCCGAGCUUCAAUUUUUUACAACCUAUUUGUUUUGUGUAAAUUAAUUGAUUAGAACAUCUAAUAUUUUCCGCAAAUAAAAACCGCAUGAUUCCCACAUAUCUUUUUGGAUUGGAUACUCACUGAUUUUGCCUGGCAGCUCAGUAACUCGAUGACGAAAUCAAUCACUAUGGCCAAAUUCCCUUGCAUUUCAUCUGUACAGUUAAAGGCCGCGAAGCUCCUAAACGUCACGAUCCUCUCAGAAAUUAUCUGCAUCACUUAGUAUUUCUCAAAAAGAUUCAUCAUCAAAGAUGCUUGAGGCCAUAUUACCAGAAUUGUCGUCUACGCUCUGCAGCUUCAACUUCCGCAGAACUCUCACUGCCACAAUAACGCAAUGAUCAACCUUAUUCCAACAAAAUAAUGCACAUUUUAUUGACUUGUUUACAUGUUUAUUUAUUAGUAUCAUCAAUUUUUUACUACUCAUAUCUCUCUAACUUGCAGCGAAGGGUUAGGAAGGAUGAAAAUUACCAUUUCUCAAGAAGAUUUGAACCGCGCUUUGCCUAAUGUAAUCACCGUAGCUGUUUCGACCCUCAUUCUGUUCAUUACCAGCCGACUUUAAAAAGUGACACUUGCAAGGGGCAAGCAAUGGUAGUCGAUCCAGCACAACUGCACCUGCCCCACAUUACAUCCAUCACUGUCAGAUAAUCAACAUGUGAAUUCUUUUUGUAAGUCCUUAGAGUUGUUUUGAAACUUGAUGGUUAGGUAAUGGACCUUGCAACUCCUCCAACUGCUUCGUCACGACGAUGUACUUCUCUUCCAAUACUUCGGCCUGCAACUUCGAGACACAGUUACGAAAAUUUCCGAGUCUCACUGAACGAUUCAGUAAAAGAGAAAUGUGUAAAAAGUUCAACCCGAUAAUGGCCUCACCAUUUGCAUGAUAAGCACAGAAUCCAAUUCCAGUUCAAUAUGGCACCGUUGAGCUAUGCAUUGUAAGGACCGCAAGAAAGAUACUCAAGUGUCAUUCAAUAGACACACAAGGUGAUCAACUGCUCUCAACAAGAGUGACAGGAUUAGUGCCACAGCAUCAAGUGGACCACGCAAAGAAAUUACCACUGCUCAACGUGAUCACCAACCUUUCUUCUCCACUGAUUCUCUUCUGCUCCAGGAUUCGAGCGAAUUGAAGUUUUCCACAUUGCAAGAGCCACCGCAAGCUUCAUUCUCAUUUCGUCUUUUCUGCUCUUGGAGAUCGUCAUUGAAACCGGAGUGAGGCAACAUUCAAAUUGACGGAUUCAACUGUGAAAUGCACGCAGAAAAACAUGAAAUGAUGUGACAAAUCCCUGCAGCUGGUGAUGUUGCUCUGGUCGAGGAAAACUCGACGGAUGGAUGAAAUCCGCAAGAAUGUGGUCAGUCAUUGAAGCAAUGUGAAGUGGCGGGGUGGAUUUCGAAGCAGCAGGUGAAGCGAAAGCGACGGAUAUGGACGAUAUCUAUCGAGUGAAGAUGUUUGAAUUUAUUCUGUGAAUCUGGUUUUUUAUGCUGAUAUUUUCGCCGAAUUCGGCGAUGGUGAUUCAGAGCGAGCAGCUUUGAUAGGAAUCCGCAGGGCGUCGCUGAUGCUGGCGUGGCAGCAUCAGUCGCUGUUCUAGCCUCGCAAUUGAAACCUGCUAUCGAAGAGAAAUUUGUUAUGAUCUUGUUGUGCGUCGGGAGGAUCUCGAGGAGCGAUUGAAUCUACGAGGAUUAAUCCAUUGGAAAUUGUUGGAGGGCAAGAGGUGAAAGGGGAAGGGGACGGGUUUAAUUUGUGAAAGUUCCGGAGGAAGUGAAGUGCGUUAAUUUGGUUGAGAAUAGAAUGGUGUUAGCAAUUUCACUUGUAUCAUUAAGUGUGGCCCUGACAACUCAGUCAACCUGCAUCGCAAGAUCUUGGACCGUAGGACUGUAGCUGGUUUGAUCACCGCAUAUCUUCUUGUGGUUUUGUCAACAGCGUUGUAAAUUAAUGGAAUCGUGGCAAGUUGAUAGUCAAAUCUGGUCAUAGGAAUCUCAUAAUGUUCGCUGUUGAUGUAUAUUGAACCCUGCAUGUGCUCAGGGCGUUCAAAGAAUCAGUAUCGCGUAGGCAUACAAUUGUUGUAGCGCAGUUACUAGUUAAUUGAUAUGUGCGACAUGUUUGGUGUGGCUCGUAUUGAACCUGCAGUCCCAGACAUAUGUAAUGUUUUAUACCCAUCAAAUCCUGUGAAGUGUAUGCUUUUAUGAAUCUAAGUGCUGGAGGGAUGUUCUCGUCAUGCUGCAUUUCAUACACCACAAAACAUCGCCACUUUUUCCUAAUAUAUGAGAGCAUACCAAUAAAAUCAGACGCGAUGUGGACCCAUGUAGCUCGUGAACUACGUCAAAAGUGGUCUAUGGUGUGGCAGUGAACAUGAGUUGCUAUGGUCUCGACGAUCCAAAUACACUGGACCAGACGGCAUUUGAAGAUCGAUGUUCUCAGAGCUCAACAAAAGCGCUUGGUUGACAAAAAUAAUGGUGAAGUCUUUUUCCAGAGCGGAAGCAGCACUAAACUCGAACAUGAUGUACAACUCCGGCAUGAAUUCAUGGCCACGUAAAAUUCAAACAGCUUCCAAGAUAUCCUUACUUUGACACGUCGUCCAGAAGUGAUCUACAAAAUGAAAAUUGAUAAUGAUAAAAGGUGGAAUCGGGCACGCAUGAGACAGCAGCUGCAAAAUGAAAUUAAGCAGCCUUCCGAGUCUUAGGCUUCUUGCUUAGCUUGUAAACGACCAUCCGCGCAAUCUUAUAGAACCAUAGUAAGCUAACCACUUGGAUUCCAACAGCUCCAACCUGCACCAGACGGAGGUGAUGAAGACUUUUUGUUUAAGUUCACUAGUGCAAACAGGGCCGACAGUAAAGAACUUUCAUCAAAACAGCAAUUCAAAAUACAUCAAGGAUAAAGAGCAUGCUAAUAAGGGAGAAAAACCUUGACAGCGAAAGGGGUGGUAGAUGAUAAUAGACACUUGUACACGACAAUAGGUCCAAUGAAGACUCUAGCAACGGUAAAAAUCAGGGCAAAAACAACCUGCACAAGAACCGAAUGUCACACGAAUAAGUGGAUGAUCGAUUCUUCACAGACAAAUUGAAUCAUUGAGAGCAAAAUUGAGCCAGAGUAAUCUCAUAGCUCAAGUUGGUAGAUAGGUAUGAGGAUAUUACGGUAGUUCUUCCUUUUUAAUCAUACACAAAUUGAAGAGAGAAAAAUGAAGUGGAACAAUUGUGCGAUAACAAAUGGAAAUUAAUGAGGCGUUGCGUGUGUUGAAGAUGCUAAUUGGAAAGAAACACAUACAUCAUUCGCAAGGUUCAUCGAUGAAUCUUUCAGGUUCAGCUCUUUGAGAAGCUCUCGAGCAUGCAUGAAGGGGUUUGAUACUUCCAUGAGCAUCAGGCAUGCCACCAGCUCUGUCCCACUCUACAGGAAAAAUAAUAAUAGAAGAAUUAAAAUAAUCGGUUCAUGAUUAUCGAGGCAUGGGACAUCAAACGAAACAUAUGAAAAGUCCAUACAAUACAUUGAAUACAAGCGAACUUUCGGACAAGGAAACUUCAAAUACAAACGAGGAGAAAAACAUAUCUGAGCAAUAGCUGCGUAGAGUUAGAAGUAAGACUUACAAUUUGACGCUCGUAUCCAAACCCAAGCCCUAGGAUAGUGAGAACAUGGUGCAUAAACACAUCCAAACUGAAUGGGAGCUCCACUAAGCAGCAAAGGGUAUCGUAAGUGAAGUAGGCCAGACUUACUGUUAACGCCAGCAUCUGCAACAUUCGACAGACGAUAUUAGCAAUUAAGCGGAGCUCAUAAUAUCAAAAAAAAAUCACUUCAAAUACACUCCGCUAAUGUGGAGAAUCCAAAACCCCCUAUGACAGAAUUCUGGAAUAUGGAAUGCUGUAACGGCACCCAAUUUUCAGAGGGUAUUCAGGCCUGACCACACAUUGCAAACACGAAGCCUGGGAAUGCUGCACGCUUGUACUACUAAAAGCAUCCGAUUAAGGGAUUAAAAAAAAGAAAAGAAAAGAAAAGAAAAGUCCCUUAAGCAAUGAGAUGAGUAAUGCUAGCAUUUGUGCACUAAAUGUAGACAAGACCAUUAAGGCUUCCUCAACCGAAGCUUCGAUAAUAACUAGAAGAUCUCUCACACACAGAAAAGGCGUCAAGUCACUUGCAACUAAACCGAAAGUAAAAUAACACAUUGUAUCAAACACGAGCAUUCUGAUCAUCAAUAUGAAGGAGGACCUCAGACAAACCUAGAAGUCUGACCUGGGGAUAUGUGGAGGCUGCGCCGACACCGUCCAAUGGGCGAGACCAAUCGGCAACCGACUUGGAACAGAAAUAACAGGACACAAACACAUGGAUGAGUGAGACGAUGCGAUUGCAAAAAUCCUUGGAGCGUGCCGGGAAUAACACACGCGACAGCACGUAGACGAAAGUCCACGCUGCAGUCAUGGCCGACAUUGUCACCGGCCCAAGGUCUAGCUCCUGUGUUGCGCCCCCCAUUGCUUCCCUUCCACUCGUGCGCAGUUCCUUCUUCCUGCCCUCGAAGACUGUCCAAGCAACAACACUGUCUCGCCGCAAGCAAUAAAAAUAACAAAAAGUAUCCUAAUGCUCAAGAGCUUCACCCUUCGUUCUUUCCGCCGUGAGGCCUUCAACAGAUCCACGGAGAUGAGUUCGUGUGUGACUCUCGUGAGAUCCCCUCUCUGUCUUAGGUGCUCUUGGCCAUGGUCCACGUUCGGUACACGGUCUUAGGAGCUCCAGGCUCGGUCCACGUUAUGUGCACGGUCUCAGGGGCUUCUGUUGCAUUUCCACUGCCCUCGAGCCCCCUCUCCUGUUUUCAAUGCCUUAGUCGCACUUAACACGACUUGUUUGUUUGGAUAUAAUAAAGGAUAUAUAUAUAUAUAUAUAUAUAUAAAUUCUCUCAAAAAAAUAUGAUAAAAUGUGAAUAAAAAAUUUAUGAGAUAUUAUAGAUGUGUGCAUUUAUAUAUAUAUAUAUAUAUGUGUGUGUGUGUGUGUGUGUAUUAUUGCUUAUAUGAAAGGAAAAAUAUCACACAUGCCCUUGGAUUUUUCUAAAAUACUAAGAAUACACCUCAAUUCUUGAUAAUAUCAAAUCUAUCCCUACCUUUUGUGAUAAUUGCAAAAAUGCCCCUCACAGAAAUAAUCUAUCUAAUUCUAGUUUUUUUUAGUUUGAACUAAGGCUUAAAACAACAAUUUUUUGCAUUGUUUGGGCCCCAUGCAAACCGGACACUCCCUCCUCCGCUACACUUGCAUAUUUUUUGGCAAUGUACUAAAGAAAGGGACUUGCUUGGAAUUGAAGAGAGUUGUGUGAAGAGCUUGGAGAAUCGCCAUGAGUACCUAUUCGAUUUUGGCACUACUAGAAUUAGUUGUGCAAUUCCAUAGCUUAAUGUCAAAAAAAUCAAAAGAAUAUUGAUAUCAAUAAUCAUGUCUUAAUUUGGUGAUAAUAUGCUUUUACAUUACUGUAGCUAUGUUCGUAAGAGCCAAUUAGCUUAGAAACAACCUUUUCUCUUCCAUGCCAUGUCGUCAAGUAGGAUAUUGUAAUGCCUUCAUUAUAUCAAAUAUCCUUUGGAUAUCUACAUUUCUAUAUUGAGAUAUGUCUUCCAACUUGUUCUUUACAUUGCUUGCUACUCAACUUGUAUUAGCAUGUUGAUUGCUCAAGUAGUUAGUACCAAUGUAUGUCUGUUCACAAACAAAUGUCCAAAUAACGAAUUCACUUAUAUUUGCCAAUUGAAAUAGUGAUGCAUGCAAUUUCUAUUUGCAAUUGUUGUUGGAACACUUCACAAUAUAUCUUGUUGGAUUAGACUUGAUAAUAGAUGUUUCAUAAUACUUAUUAAUUAUAUUAUAAGAAAUAGCUUCUUUUCAUUUUUGAAUAGUACUAAAAACAAUACUCACAAUAAAAAAAAGUUGUUAUUUAAAAAUAUGAUUUUUGCUAAAAAAGUUCUUAAAAAGACAAACUUGUCAAAAAUCUAGAUUUUAUUGACCAUGCACAAUAUUCAAAAGCAUGUUAUUUUUUUCGGAUAUGGUGCAAAGCUUCUUUUUACACUUUGCAUAAGCAAAGUAUACUAAAUAGUAGAAGAUGUGGAACAAAACAAAAUAUAGAUUGAAAUCAAUAUAGUCUUUUUCAAAUGAUCACAGUAGAAAUAUGUUGAAUAACUUUUCAUAAGCAAUUUUGUCUUCAACAAUAAUGUCAAUCAUCUCAUCAAAUGGCUCUACUAUAACAUGCAACAACAAUUAAAUUCCAAAUCAAUCAAAGGCUAUUACUAUAGUGUGGAUAUGGCUUGUUUAUCUCAACAUGCUCUAAGAUUGCUAGUUUGAUUGCCUUGGAAUACUAUGGUCCAAUAAAGAGAAAUAAGAGAGGUGGAAGGGAGGGGAGGAUGAAUGGAUUAAAAAAAAAUUAAGAUUUGAUAAGAUGAGAUCACAAAUUCCCUUAUAUUUGGCAAAUAAGAAAGUUUGAAAAGGAGCAAUAAGAAUCAACAAUGCAAAUUAGCUUGAGUUUGUGCUUAGUAUAUUUAAUUGCUACAUCAUAAGCCAUCACAUUAAUGGACACCACAAUUUCGUUGUUGAUAUGGAAAUUUACCAAAACUAUAAAAAAAAAAAAAUAUAUAUAUAUAUAUAUAUAUAUAUGAGACAAAUGAUACUAAUAAGAAAUAAUGGUAAACAAUCUUAUUUAGUUUAUUCCAUAGUGUUGUGUAGUAAUGUAGCCAUUAGAUGAAAGAAAAAAAAAUUGUUUUAUUAUAGAAGAGCCUAAUUUAAAAUAUAUAAUAAAAAAACAUAGACAAAUGAUAGGCAAGUAGUAAAAUCUAUUAGUAUUAGAACUACUUUUAUAAAAAUAGAUUCUAUUUACUUUGUAGAACCAUAAAUAAAGAAAAAUAAAAUAGAUUAAAAAAAUAAAUCAUUUAGACAUAUAUAAGAAAGAAUUAAGAAUUGAUUUUAGCAAAAAUUACUUCAAGAAGAUAAUAAUUGAUAUUCAAAGAGGACCAAUUGCCAAAAAAAGUCAAAAUCAGAUCCCAAGCCAUAAAACCAAGCACAUACAAUGAUUCUAGGAUUCUUUUGCAAAUUAAAGAGUGAAAUUUGAGAGCAUACUUGAGGAAAGAUUUUUGAGUACUAGUUUCAUAUCAUUUGAAUUAAUAUUGAGAUUUUUAAAGAUUUUUUAAGUUAGUAAUAUACUUAGUGGAUUUAUAUUUUAAAAAAUAAAAAUACAUUUAUAAAUUUGAAGGUUUUUGAGUUUCAUAGUAUGUGUAUAAGUAAAAAUUGGGCAGUUUGUUAUUAUGCUUAUUAUAAAUGUUAUGAAAUUUUAAUUUGCUAUAGAAUUACUAAGAUUUUUUUAUGAUGUAAAAAUUGAUUAAAUAUUGAUUAGAAUUGAUUUAGGGUCUAGGAUUUGGUUAGAAUUUGAUUAGGGCUUAAUUAAGAUUUAAGACUUGUCUAAGGUUUGGUUACAACUUAGGAUUUUAUUUGGAUUUGAUUAUGAUUUGAUUAAGAUUUUUCUACAAUUUGAUUAGGAUUUUACUAGGAUUCAUUAGAAUUAGUCUAGGAUUUAGGGUUUCAUUAGGAUUUUACUAGGAUUGAUUUAUAAUUUAGGAUUUUAUUAGAAUUUGACUCAAGAUUUUUUUAAGAUUCAUUAGGAUUUUAAUUAAGAUUUGAUUUAAAAUUUAAUUAAAUUUUAUUAAGAUUUUAAUUAGAAUUAAAUUAAGAUUUAAUUUGGAUUUAUUUAGGAUUUAUUUAAGAUUUCUAUUUUAAAUGUUUUUUUAGGAUUCUUUCUUGUUUCUUUAAAACAUUUUAUUUCUAGUAUUUCUUUAAAAAAAUUAUUAUUUAAAGGUUUAUUUUAAUAUUUUUUUAAUAUUUCUUUGUUAUUUUUCUUUAAGAUUAAUUUAGGACUUAUUUGUGUUUCUUUUGUAACUUCUUUUAAAUUUAUUUUGGAUUGAUCAAAGUUUGAUUAAGGUUAUUAAAGAUUACUUAAAAUUUAUUUAAGAUUCUAUUAGACUUGAUAGGAUUAUUGUUACAUUUCUACUUACCUCUUGUAGUUAGGUGCCCGAUGCAUUUUCAAGCAAGAACAUAUGGAAUACAAUAACGACACUGAAAAUGGCAACUGAAAGCACAAUAAGAGACCAAACUAUUCAAAUCGAUAAGACAAAAACCAAUGUUAGAACCUAUAAUUUUACUAAUUACCAUGAGAAGCACAUCAUCAAAGCUUUGACAAUAGUGAGUACUUCUUUGAAGACUUCAUAUAUAUAUAUAUAUAUAUCCAAUCAAACUCACAUGACUAGAAUAACAACCACGACACAUCACAACACUCAAACUCCCAUUAAAAAAAUCAAUGCAUUAAAAAAAGAAGAAAUUCACAAAAGAAAUACAAAACAUGAAUGAGAAUAUGUUGCAAUGUAGCAACACUUUUGGAAGAGAUGGAGACUUGAUAAAAUCAAAUUAUAACUUGUUUACAAUGUCCUACAUUCUAAUCAUACAAAGACCAUGCACACAAAAUCCCACAAGAUCCAAAAAAAGCAAGCAAUAUGGCUUAUUAGAAUCCAUAAAAGGAUACAUCUAGAAUUAUCAAACUACACUACUCCAUUUUUUUUGGUUAAAGACUGAUUAGGCAUGCCAAAUUCCAAAUUAGUUGGCUAUUACACGACAAUCUAUAAACAAUUACAAGAACUCAUUAAAUCAAACCAAAAAAAUUGUAAGAUCAUACAGGCAGAAUUGAAGUGGAAAGAACUAUGCAAACAACAAUGCCUAACUUUCAAUCAAACUAGCUUACAAGGCCAACAACUUGCAAAAAACAGUAGCUUACAGAAACAUUGAAUUAUGCCAAUGUCUAAGAAAGAAGAGACAUAAAAUUUACAAGAGAGAGUUGAGCAAUUUAUAGCAUCCACAUUGAGAGGCAGUGUCUAUUUUGGGAGGUGCCCAAGAAGUGAGUAAAAAGUGCCAUGCCAAAUUUGCACGACACGUGCUCCUGGCCCUAGUUCAAACUGAACAAAAUUGGAAGUAAAUAGAUUAUCAUUCCAAGGGGCAUUUUUGCAAUUAUCACAAAAAGAGUAGAUUUGAUAUUAACAAGAAUUGGGGUGUAUGCUUGAUAUUUCUAGAAAAUUCAAGGGCAUUUGUGAUAUUUUUUUUAUAUAAAUCUAUAAAAAAUAGUAAGAUUCUUUUAUAAAAUAAGAUAAGACUUAUAACUAUAGAAGUUUUUAAAUAAUAAAUACAUGUGAAUACUUUUCUAUUUUUUAAAAUUUAUUAAGAUGAUUUUUUUUUUCAAAUAAUAUAUAUAUAUAUAUAUAUAUAUAUAUAUACAUAUGUCAACAAAUCUCCACACACAAGAUUUUAAAAUAUCUUUCAAACUUAUAUACAUAGAUGUAUGUAUGUAUAUAUGUAUACAUACAUACAUACAUACAUACAUACAUACAUAUAUAUAUAUAUAUAUAUAUAUAUAUAUAUAUAAAUGAAUUAGAAAGAUAGAACUUGUGGUAUGAUAUUAUAGUUUGUGAAAUUGUAUGGCAUAUAGGAGGUAUUUAUGUAAUAACUGGUGCUGCUGCCCGAAGAAAAAGAUUGAUUUUAUGCACAAAUUUAUUUAUAAAACUUUAAUUGUUGAUCUGUUUCUUAAAGAAUGGUAUAUCUAUGUUGCUUUUUAAUUUUUUUUCAUUUUUGGGGUUUCAUAAUUGUAAAAAUCAAGUUUCAAAAAGAUUGAAAAUAAUAUUAUUGCAUGAAUAAAUACAAAAUAAAUAAAUAAAUGUUUGUACUUCUUUGUUAUAUUGAAUUGUACAUAUCAUAAUUGCUUUCAAUGUCAAAAUUGUAAGAAACAUAAAGAUAUAAAAUAAAAAAAUAUUAAAGAAUUGUAUAUGGUUUAUUUCCUUAUUUUUAAUAAUUAUCAUAUCAUCCUUGUAAAUGAGGGAUGGGAUGUUAAAUCCUAGAACUGAAUUCUUGUUUACAUGCUUUAAAGUUCUGCCCAGCUAUAAUAAACACUAAAUGAAAGAAACAAAGUACCACAUUCAAAAUAAAUUAAAACAAGUGUGUUUCUUAUCUUGAAAAUACUCAUGUUUAAUUGAUGGGUUCAAGGAGUGGAAUUCUGACAUGGUUUUUUUAGGAAAACAUACAAAUAUCUGUAAAACAAAAUUUAAAAAAUAAACAUGACUCCAUUCAUUUAUGUUCAAUAGAAAAGGAAUUGUGAGAUUGAGUGUACAAUAUAAGUUCUUUCAAUAAUGCAUUCAAAAGAAAAAAAAAAGCAUAUAUAUAUAUAUAUAUAUAUAUAAAUGCAUACAUACACGCAUACAUUCAUCAAAACAGAAAAUCCCUCAGACGAUUAUUUAUAUAUAUAUAUAUAUAUAUAUAGAUAAUACUGUGCUAUGUUGCUAUAGUUGUUGAGGAUAGAAUGAUUUUUGAACAUCACUCAAGGUUUAUGAAGGUCCAUGCCAAGGUAUGUAUAAACGAGACAUGAUACCAGACCUAACAAUAUUGGAAUUAGAACACCAAGUCUCUUUCACAUUAUGUCCAUUCUUGGUGUGAUUCAUUGUAAAAUCAUAGAAUUCACUUACACCAUUGUCUUUCUUUGUAAUCAUUUUGGCAACUUAAUAAAUGAUGGGAAUAAAAAAUAAAUACAUAAAUAAAAAAACAAUCCAAAAUGAAUUACAAGAUUAUUAAUGACAUUUUAAAUAAAAACCCAUACAAUACUUUUUCUUUUAUAUAUGAUGCUUUUAGGUGCAUGUGUAUAUACACACACAUUCCUCUAUAUAUAUAUAUAUAUAUAUACAUGCUGAAUCUUAGAACCUUAAUAACAUUCAGAAUUGCAAUCUUAUCCAUAAAUUUUAUUGUUAAUAUUAAUAUUAAUUUUUAAUUUCUAAAAAUGAAAAGGUUAUUUUCUUUGUCUAAAAAUGAAGGAAUCAAGGAAUCAACGAGUUGGACUGACAUCACUGUUCAAUGCAUUUCUUAGUUUCCUCAUAAUUCCCGCUCGCUUUUGGGAUUAUGCCACAAGUCUAAUAUCUUGUUGUAAAUUGGAUUGAAGUUUUUGGUUACAUGAUCAAUAUCCACUUUAAAGUACUGCUUAAAGUUUUACAAUGUUUUUGUGUAUUUUACCCAUGUUAAUUGGUAUAGUUGUGUAGGCAUCUACAAAAAUACUUAUUUAACAUAAUUAAAUAAUAGAAAAUGAGAGUGAGGAAAUCCAAAUUUGUUCUCCUUUCUAAUAAAACUAUGAAAUAUCUGGCUUGGGCAACUUUAGUAGUUUUGGUACUUGAAGUCAAAACCAACUUUGAUUGAACUGGGGUGAUAUUCCAUCAUUAACAUCCUUUCCCAAACCCUAAAUCCUUAAGCAUGGAUGCAGAAGAGCAGUUUCCCACUUUCAGUAAAGGAAAACAAGACAAUGAAGGAUAUUGAACUCGUCCAAUUCACAAUCCAUAUGGCUGGCAUUGAACAUGCCCAAACUUAGACUGGAGUAAAAGUAGUACGAUAUCUUAACUGACAUAGUUUAAUGAUGCUCAUAAAAACCAACGUCAAGCUUAAGUGUACAAGAGAGGAAAAAAAUAAAAAUAAAAAUGAUGUACAAAGUUAUAGUGAAUAUGGCUGCCAGCUAAAAUCCUUACAUCACUACAACUGGAAACCUGCCUGAUCAAACUGAGCUUCAAACUCUAAAUGAUAAAAAUAUUCAAUGAGCUCUGAGAGCUGAAACCUGAGCAUCUGAGGCAAUGCUACACAUGUAGAAUGAUUGUGUCAUAACGUCUUGAUGUACCUCUUUAUCACUUGGUGAUAAGAUAUCUGCCGCUGGCUUCGCAUAAAUAUCUGGCAUACAGGUUGAAGAAUGAACCUUCGUUGUGUGCCGGAACUUCAUGAUCCAUCACAUUGUUUUACGACAUAAAGUGAGGGACUUUGAAGUACAAUAAGGCAAUUGACCGAACACCCAGUGGCAGAAAGCAAUGCUCCACAUGUAGAACGAUUUCUGCCACAUGAUACUCUGAUCCACAGCGUCGAGCAAAAGCCACAGCUUCCUUCCUUCCUUCCUUCCUUACUUCAAUUUGUUGACCUCUGAUUCCGAUCGCUGCUAACAAAAGAACCAAAGGCUCCACGAUCUAAUGCACGACCUUGCAAGCCUUCGUAUUGUUUCUGGGGGGAAGUGGCUCUCAGGGCUUCCCUCAUGCUGAUUUCUGCAGCAUUUUCUAAGUUUCCAUUCAUUUCUGGAUUGUCAUGCCACAGCAAGCUUGCCGCUUUGGAUGUCUUCUCGUGUGCAAGGAAGUCUAAUUGUUCUGAGCAUUCGCAUGGCGUGUUCCACGCCGGUGUAGGACAUAUACAACCAGGGAUGCUAAAGCACCUCGAACUGGGUCUGAGUUCUUCACCAUGUACCGGGUUACAAUCAGAGAUUGUCAACCUUUCUAGAUAUGCACUAGCCGAUUUGCGCAUUUUUGGCUGCUGUGGAUUACCGGAUUCCGGCUCGUCAGGUGAUGAACCGUUAUCAUCAAUUCGUGCAGACUCGUUUCCAGCUCCGGUCCCAAGCAUGUUACCACUUCCUACCGCCUCCCAGAUCUUAUUUUUCCGGUUGCCGCUUCGAAACUCCCCGCUGCCGGGUCGGUGCAAUUUGUUAACCGGCAUCAACUUAUUUGCGUCCGAUUCGUCUCCACUUUCGUGACCUCCUUUGGGCUCCUGGGGAGUUGUGGCAGGUGUGGUAGCCAUUGCAGAAUCUGCUUCUCCAUCAUAGUACAUCACAAAUUUGGCUGCUGACGCCGUCCGCAUGAGAGGCCCACCUGCUCUCGUCCACGACUGCUGGUACAGGUCCAGAUUAUCAUCGCUAUCACUACCGUCAUGCGUGAUACGUACCGGUCUAAGGGUCCGCAGGGUGGGACCUCCCCACGGCCCCCCUUGUUGCGCUCCAUCAUGAAAGCUCUCAUCAUCUAGAGAGCCGCAAGAAUUUUCUCGAGCCAUGUUGUUCCAAGAAGGAAUACGCUUUGUUCCAGAUAACCCUCGCAUGCCACCAUGACUAUUCUGCAUUGCAUUGCUUCGCUCUAUCUCCCGCAAGGCUUUACGACGACGGUUCAGUUCCGAGACACACUCGUCUAGCAUCAGUUCUAUGCCACAGUUGGCUUGAAUGGCUGAUAGCUUAGCCCAAGUACAGCGUCGGCCUUGCAUCACUGCCUUGCGAAGAUCUAUGGGUGUUGGAUUCGUAAUAAUCUUGGCAAACUGGAAGAAAUUAUUCGUGUUAGUAAUUGCUGAAAAAGAGAUCAUCGACGAAGGAGAGACACGCUUAUGAAAUGUUUCAUACAGGAUAGAGGCAAAAUCUGUUCAGACCGGCCAUGAUUGCAUGGAUUCAUAUAAGCAGCGAGCUGCUCACCUGGGCAAAAGUAGCUGGCAUAACAAUCGUGACAUCUCCUUCCCAAUCUUGUGCGAACAACUUGGCAAGCCCAAAGACCUCAAAUCCCAUCUCCAUCACCUGCUUGCAUCGGUGCUUAACCUCCAUUUCCGCUAAGUGUGCCAACUGCACACGCACGGAAAAAAUCCAUCUCCACUAAUAAACAUCCAAUACAAUGAAAAAUAUAUAGGAAAAACAAAAUAAAAACAAAAGUAGGUUAAUUUAAUUCAAUUUAAUUUAAUUUUAAACAAAUUCGCUUAGAUACUCUUGAGUUUCCUCAUACUAACGGUUCCAAGAUGCUUAGAAGCUGACAGCGUCAAGAAUGCUCAAUUCAUUUCAAUUUGAAGUUGUACAAGAAAUCUGCAUGCUCACUUUUCCAGCAAAAUCUCCUCCAUAUGCACGAACAAAAUCCUUGAACCUCAGAAAAGGGGUAAUAUGUGGAUUCGCCUGGCUGACAAUAAAAUGGUUUACGUUGAACAGUUCCUUCAACUGCAUCAUCGGCAAAUCACUUUCAAGGCUGCCAUCUCGCCAUCGUCGAUUCCCAAUAUCCUUUUCCAUGUUCUUGUCCCCCGGACCAACCUAGAACAGCCAGGGCAGCACCACAAGCUCAACUUCAAGAAACAAAAGCAAGACAUUUUCAAAUCUCUUCUUUGUAUCAUGUUACAAAGUCUCAACAACUACCGAUGCUGAUGAAACCUUCUGACUACUGAGUUGACUAUUAAUAAAGAGUUUUUAAGAAAUGAACCUGAGGUGGUGUAUGAUAGGGCACGAGGUGCCCAGUUCGAUCCUUAGCCAUUAGCUCUUGCGCUUCAAACAGCCCUGGAAAUGCACAUGAUGCAGUGACUGCGCUCCAAAUGACUACAUGAGGGGAAGUUAAAUAAUUCAAACAUCUCGGGGGCUCAAGUUUCCGAGGUGAACAUACAGAUAUUCCAAGCACACGACCAGAUAGAUCGUAAGCCUCCUGGAAAGUUAAAUCCCCAAUGAGCUGUCUCAUUUUCCUUUGCAGCAUACCAAUUUCAUGCACAGCACCCCGGGUCAGAAGCCUGUGCGCAGUAGCAAAGAUGCUCCCCAUGUUUUCAAAAAAGUGCAUGGGAGGCAUGGGGUCAUCGAAAAAACUCUGGAGCUCUGUCCAUGUGCGCGUUGCAGCAAAUGAGCAUAUGAUAGAUCCUACACUAGCUCCUGCAAUCACUCGGGGAAGUAGACGAUGCUCGAUGAGAGUUCGUACAACCCCAAGAUGAAACGCUCCGAGAGCUGCUCCACCACUAAGAAGAAGUGCAGUGCGACCAAAACCAUGGCGGGUUUCGUGAAUGAAAGCAAUUUUUUCGUCAAGUGUAAAGCUGUCCGAGUCACUCCCACACACGGCUCGAAGGUGGUACCUGGCACAUGUCAUGACGAAUCAAUAAAAAUUAGAGCCAUAUUUUGGAGGUAUCUGCGAUCGAACUGCAGUUUACUGUUAUGUUUAAGGGAAACGAUCCAAACAUGAAAAAAUCAAUUCUCAUCAUUAUAAAUACUACAUGAUGAGAAAGAACAUGUAUUCGAGUAAACACCUCACUUCGUUGAUAUACUCCUGAAUAAGGCGGGGAGUUUGUAGCCGGCCCUUGUGCAGUUCAGGGUUGCACAUAUUCCCCAAAUUGCGCACUAAAUCAGCCCGAAUGCAGAAGAGAAUAUCCUCAACACCACCUUCCAAACGACGCAAUCGAAGCUCGUUAAGCUUUGACCGCACCAAAUCCUCAUCGUACAAAUCUGAAUCCUUCCUCCGAGUUUGCUCCUUCUCAAGCAUCCGCGCAGCAUGAGCCCACUCCUCGUAUGUCAAAGCGGUCUUCAUCAAAUUGGACCAGAACUUCCGUCUGUAAGCACGCUCUGCUCUUUGUGAUCCUAGCUUUGCUCUUUUCAAAAGUAUGGUCGCUACGACAGCUGCUAACAAAAGGACACUCGGGUUUCGAGGGUUUAACCACGAUCCCACACCCCUGAACCACAAAUACAAGAGCCGCUUCCACACCUUCCAUAUCCGCAGUGCCUUCGUUGCGAUCACGAUACGAACCUUUUUCACCCAUCGAAAAAACAGGAUGCGAAAGGCAACAACUUUCUGCGCAAGAGUUAGAGGUGCAAUGGCGAAGUGCUCCAACGCAGCGUCGGCGUCAUCGUCCCUAUAAUCCAUUAUACACAACCUCUCUACCUCGUUGCUCGAUACGAAAAUCCAACUUCUGUUACCUACCCUAACAAACCAUGGCAUAAGAAACAACCAUUCCAACUCCAGAGCUACGCACCCAAACCAGCGUCGAUUCGUUUUUUCUUCCUCUGUUUUUUCUUUCUUUAUUUCCUUAAAUCUACCUCCAGUCCUCAGUGUUCUAAGCGCAAUUAUUCACAUUGCCGACUCACGAAACCUCUGACGAAAACUAAUGGGUCAUCCUAUCUUCACCUCGACCUCCAGAAGCUACAACUACACAAUCUGACAUGAUUAUUGUACCCCGCCUCGCAACAGUUCUACUCUUCGAAGAUCACAUCACAACACCAUCAAGUCUACGCGAUGCUAAACCCCCUCGCAUCCCUCGCAGUCCAUAGAUCUCUGUCCUGAGCAAGACCAAUACCUACAACCCUAAGCGUCCGCAAUCACACCCCCUGCCGACGCCUUUCUUUUUUUUCUUUUUUUUUUUUUUUUUUUUUUUUUUUCUUCUUCUUCUUCUUCGUUUGCUUCACCACACGCCCCCACACGUUAAAUUCAGAAUCAAUUUCAUGUUGACGAAACGUAGAUUCUACGCAAAAGUAAUACUCAGCACCAUAGCAGGCAAUCCCGCAGCUCCGUUCCAAUUCCCCAAGAACACUAAAUUCAAUUAUAAUGUAGUUACUCCAGCAGGCCACCCAAAACGAUACACGCUACACGGAGUCUCUCUUGUCAGCAACAUUGGACUGAUACGAUCUAAAGCUGCACGUAAUUCAAUCAGAAAAUGCUGCAGACAAUGACGAUGACUAGACAUGAUUUCCCAAAGUGGAAAAAACAAAGCAAUUCGGUGAUUCGGAACACCAAGUUUACAAGGUUUAAAAGCAACGAUCAUGGCAUGUGUGAGACCUGUCAGCUGAUAGCCCCACCGAAGCAUAUCAUGACGAUAAUCCAUAUCUUGUUUACUGCCACCUCAAACGAAUUUCACAAGUGGAUAAGCACCGCAUCCGGAACUUUCGCCACAAUAUUUCCUCGAAAAGCUCGGUCAAUCCUCUCCCCGUCCCUCCUGCUUUCCACUUUCCCCAGAGAAUCAAACAUAUUCUCUCCCUACAACGAUGGAACCAUAGGAGCAAUUGGGUUCAAAGAGCCAGGCGGUUACUGCAUCACCAAUCACGAGCUACUCUUGAGCUGCUGUAGCUCCAAAAUCAUCGCAACUGCACCGAAACGGUCGCAUGAGCGACAGGUGCGGAAACCCUAGGUUUCCCGAUGAAGACACAGAGCUGCAAUGGAAAGCUGUAAGAAUACGACACAAUCAGUGUCCUCCUGAUACGGCUUUGAAAAUUUUAUAACUGGCAGGAAGGGGAUUCGAGAAGCAAACAAGGGGGGACCACAAUUCACCGCAUAGCAGACAUUAGGUUCGUUGGUUGGUGGGUUGGUUGUCAGGGUAAGCGUGGCAUUACCACUGCACCCCAACUCAACUCAACUCAUCAUCAACACCACCACCAACAUCAACAACAGUGUCAUUCCAUUCAUUCUGUCGCUAGCCAGCCAUCCACCGAGGAAGAAAGAAAGGAAAUAUGGAUGAGGAAGAAGACGAUGAAGACGAUGAAGGAAGGAAGGUGAUGAAGCUUCGAAGGCACUGAGAACACCAGAUUAACCUAAAUGUACUUAAUUAAGUAUUAUUUUGUUUAUGCAGUAUGGUGCCAUUCGUUUGAGGUGGCAAAUUUGAGGAAGAAUUCUUGUUUGCUACUGAAUUUUGAUAUGUAUCCUAUCUGCUAACAUGUUUUUGGCCAUGUGCAAAUUAUUCCAGAACUCAAGUACAAUAUCACAAUUCUCUAAUUGACAACCUUUUUUUUUUUUUUUAUUUCUAAUUUGUAAAUCAUUCCAUACAAAAUAUUUUAAAAUAAAAUUAUCCCAUUGGAUCUAUAUUAAUUAAAUAUAAAUUUUCUUGGAAGAGAGGCCAUAUAAUACUAAAGUAUUUAAAAUUAAAAAAUAGUUUGCAAGAAAAAAUACUUUAUUGCAAAGUGAAUGCUUUUCAUCAACCAAAGUGUCCUAGGCUUCAUACUAAUUUGUACAUAGAUGCUUUGUUUGAAUACAUGUAGAAUUUUUUUGGAUGUUUGAUACAUGCAUAAGGCAUAAUUAAGGAUUACGUUAUAAUUGAUUUUUGCUUUUUUUACAUUUGUAGCAACACCAUAGAAUCAAAUUAACUAUAUAAGUAUUUUUUUAUUUUUAGCUCUUGACUUAAACUACAUAUUUUUUAAUUGAAUAAUAAUUUUUGUAAUAAUUUAUUUACCACUUUUGAAUCUUGCAAAUUCCAUACAUUGUCCUUAAACUUAAGAAGUUUUUUUUUUUUUUUUUUUUUUUUUUAUCAAAAUUAAUAUUGUAUGUCAAAAAAUUAGAUAUUAACAUCUAAUAGUAUUUGAGUAGAUUAAAACAUAGUUUAUCUAUUGGUCUAUAACAUAAUUUUAUUAGUUAUUUUCAUUUAUGAAUUUUAUGCCUUCAAUAUUUUAAUUUAGCAAAUCACACUGCUAUGACAUAACAUUCAAUGGAUUGGGAUACAUUUGUAAUUUGAAUAAAGAAUAUAUAACUGUUUUUUUAAUUUUAUUAAAGUUUAAUUUUAUAAAAAUAGAUGUUUUUAUGAAAAAAAUAUUUAUUUAAAAAAAUUAUGAUUGAAAAAAAAAUCAUCUAUGUUUUUACACAAAUCAAAACAGCAACAACAAUAUUGAGUCUUAUCAUGAUAAAUUAAAAUUAAAAUUAUACAAUUAUACAAUUAAAUUAUAAAGAAAAAUAUUUAAUUUUAAUUUUUUUAUUAUCUUUUGUACAUAUUAUAUUAAUGUUGACCUAUUAGGCAUAAGUUCAAGACUUGUCAAAUAAUGGUCUCUGCAUUUGAAAUAUCAUAAUGCUUCUAUCAAAGUGUUUGUUUUGCUAGUUAUUAGCUUCUUGUAAAAAUAUGGUUGUAACUCAAGAGGUGGAGUUUGUGACUUUAAUGGAUGUAUCAGUUGUAAAAGCCCAAACCAUAUCUAAUCAUGAUGUGAUUAUCAAAGACUACUUCUAUAAGUCUGGCUACUAUCUUUGCUAACUUUAUUGUUGCUAUUUUUAGUUUUCAUUUUGUCAAGAAAGCGAGCAAAGAAAAAAAGCUAAUAAAAAUAUGAACUUGUUAUCUUUGCUGAUUUGGAGUAUUCCAUCCAAACUUAACUCCUUUGGCCACCUUGCUUUAUAAAAAUUGUUACUUGUAAUGGUGACUCAAUCAUAUGAAAGAAAAAGAUCUUUAAUUAUAGAUGCAUCUCUCAAUAAAAUCAAAUAUGAAAUAGGUGUCUAAACCCUUUGUUUUAAAGUAUCACCAACUUUACUAUUAGAAUCCUUCAAAUUCAUAAUGAUGUGGCUUGCUGCAGUAUUAUAUAGAUCAUUGCGAUCCAAAAUUGAGUUCUUUGCAUAUUUAAGAAGGUUUUGAAGAUGGGUUUUAAAUUUGCUUUUGUCACCUUAUUUGUUUAGGUUGAUCUAAUAAAGAAUACAAUCAAAAUGGUUGAAAUUGUUGUUGUAAGAGUUGAAGCUAGUUCUUUGCAAACAAAUAAGGAGGUGGUAUUGUUGUUUGUAGCAUUUGAGCCAUGAUUAUAAGAAAUCUUUUUAAAUGGCAACAAAAUCCAAGGAAGGUAAGAGAUUAUAUAUAUAUAUAUAUAUAUAUAUAUAUAUAUAUAUUGCCGAUUUUUAUGAGAUUUUAUUCACACAAAUAUAUAAAACGGCUUUCUUCAUCAAUAUGUUGUGAUAUGUUUAAUAGGUAGAAUAUUUGUUCACUUGUUCAAAAAUAAUUUGUGUCAAUCUUAUAAUUUUUUUAGUGCUGGUUGCCUUAAUUUUCUUGUCCAUUUUACAACUUUCUCGCAAAAGAUGUUUUGAGUCAAUUGCUCCUGAUUUUUCAACUUAUUAUUAUGGUUUUUGAUCUAGUGGCUUUUAAGAAUCCUUCUUCAAAGAUUGUCUUUAUAGCAUGUAACUUGGUAGAUAUUAUUUCUAGAUUGCUCUCAUUAUAGGAGCAACAAAUGAAAGUGUUCUUUGAUUCAACAGGUUAAAGAUCUGCGACAUUAAUGCUUGUGUCAGGGACAAGAACUCGAUGAAAGCUAAAGAGUAAGUGAGACUUUUCUCAAAAAGAAAUAGGACAAAAUAGAAAUAUGUAUAUUAAGAAAGAAACUGGAAUGGCUAUUGCCAAAAUACAAGAAAACUAGAGAUCCUUGAAACUAGACUAGAAGCAAGAAAGGAGUUGACAAGAGUGAAGAGGGCUUCACUCUUGCCUCUAUAUAUACUAUCUAACUAGAAGCCACGUGGCGAUGUUCUAUAAGACCUCCAAUAUAUGUUGACUUUCUAGGCCACAUGCCUUUGCUUGCAAGGCAAGUUUUCUAUAGAUAGACCACGUAGUUAGCUUGUUCUUUAAGCUUCCAACAUGCGUGGCACAUGGCUAACUUGUUGACCAAGUUUCUAACCUAAAAGUCAACUAUAGACUCCUAUAAAGUCAAAGCAGCGUCUAUGAAGCUUCUAAGAAGCUUCUCUAGAAGAUAUUACACAAUUAACCUACUUUUACAUACUUUUAUCUAUUCAUAUAGGUAAUUAUAUGUAUGUCCGUGACAGCUUGUCGCAUUGAAGGUUUUGAAUAAUAUAUAUAUAUAUAUAUAUAUGCUUCUAUAGUAUGAAAUUAAUUGAUAACUAAUAUCACUUGAAGUAAUAACUAUGUAUGAUUUUUCAAAAGAAUAUAUUUAAUAACCCUAAAUUCUAAACCUUAAACCAAAUUCUGAACAAAUCCUAAAUCCUAAAUCAAACUCUAAAUCCUAGACAAAUCUUAAAUCUUAAAUUAAAUCCUAAAUAAAUCCCAAAUCCUAAAUCAAAUCCUAGACAAACUCUAAAUCUUAAAUCAAACCCUAGAUAAAUCCUAAAUCCUAAACCAAACCUUAGACAAACCCUAAAUCCUAAAUCAAAUCUUAAGUAAAAUCUAAUUAACUCUAAGGUAGAUUAGAAUUCCAAUACAUAUUAAUUAAACCAUUGAUUUUGCUUAAAAAUUUACACAUCUCUUAACAUUUUAGUUAAAAAUAAACAUAAUAAAUUUGAAGAUAAUCGCACUUACGAAAUGGAAGAAAAAUCCUAAAAUUUGCUUAGGUAUUGGCCAGCCUUCUAUUCCAAUUUGAAUGUUGAACUUCUAGCUCUAAUAUCUUCCAUUUGAAUAAUUGAUUUUCUUCCAAAAUUUACUUAAAUUAUUGGAAAUAAAGUCUAGUCUCUAUGUAUAAAAAAGAUCACUUCAAUUCAAUUGAAAAAUUGCUAAAGAUCUAAAAAAUACUCAUUGACCCUCAAACCCCAAUUUUUGAGCUCUUAAUCUACAAAAACUUUGACUCACUUUGAUCUAACUAUUUGAUUGAACUUGUAUUCUCAACCUAUAUCAAGUACAAUUACAUUCACCAACCUAUGCAAUUACACUUAUAGAUCUGCUACAAAACUCCCAAAAUUGCUCAAAACGUCAAUCCUACUUUAUUUCACAAAAAUUCUGUCAUCUAAAACUACCUUAACUUUGUAGAGCUCUAACAAAGUCAUUACAAAUCCAAAUCACAAAAAACCAAUUUUUAAAGAAACCUUAUCAAGUUUUCUUUGAAAUCCCAUUCUUUAAUCUACCAAAAAACCCCAAAGUUACCAUAGGUGCAUGGUUUUGUGCCUCAAGGUCUGAUUUUAACCCAAGUUGACAACCGAUCUUCUUUGGAUAUCAAUUUUUGGCUUCUUGAGGUAAAUUUCACUAAAAUAUACUCUUAAUUCCUUCCUACACAUGCUUAUAUCAUUUUAUUUCUCAAUCUACUUUGUUUUGCCUUAUUUAUGGUCCUACAAAGUAGGUAGAAGCCUAUUUUGUAAAAAGACAAUAUUAAUACGCUUUAGUUUUACUAUCUUUUUGACUAUUACUUUUUUUCUAAGAUAAUUUGCUAUAAUAUUUUAAAGUAAGAUCUUCUAUAAUAUAAUAUUUUCUUCUCUCUUUCAUUCAUUAGCCAUAUUACAUCACAACAAUAUAAGGCAACAACUAUACUUUUUAGUAGAAUGUCUAUAGUUAGAAAUUAUGAAGUUCAUUCUUUUUUGGCUAGUUGUAACUGGCAAGAAAAUUGAUGGCCUAAAAUAGAAGAAGUAGCUCCAUAUUUAUAAAGAGCAUUUUAUACAAUCAAAUUCCAUUGAGUAUUAUUGUACAAACAAUGAGCAAACAAUGCAAAUAGACAUCCUAUCAAACAACUUGCAUUAUUUUGUUUGUGAGUAUGACAAUUUCAAUCAUAGUAAAUCUUUCUUCUAUUACACUUGUAAUCAAUGUGACUUUUGUUAGAAUAUCAUUUGCAUACAACAUAGCCUUAAUUGUGUAUAAAUUCAUCAAUACUACGUUUCAUUUCUUGUAUAUAUUCAAAAUAUUUCUUUAGUGGUGCAUAUAAAAAUCCCUCUUUUUCUAUUGCAAAAUACAAAAAAACUAUAGAAUGUAUAAUUUUUUUCUUUUUCUACUACACACAAUCUAAAAAAGAGUAUGUACUAAAAUAAGAUGAAGUAAAUUUAGUACACACAUAUUUAUAGGGCAAGUAUGAGGAGAGUAAUAAAAAGACGUUAUUACUAGCUAUUGGAAACUAUUGAGAAUUGUUGAAAAUUAUAUCCAAAUAAUAAUUCUAUUUAUCCAAAUAUAGAUUGUAGUCUUAAUGAUGAAGAAGAUUUAUACUAUCUAUAUAUAAAAUUAUGAUGAUGGAUAAAUUACUUUAGUAAAAAUUUGGAUUGCUUUAUUAUUAUCCAUAAAGUAUUAUAUUAAUAUUAAAAUAUAUAUAUAUAUAUAUAUAUAUAUAUAUAUAAGCAUCUAUUCCAAAGGUAUAAUUAUACUUAUGUAUUAAGUUUAUUUAUUUAUUUUUAUAUUAAAACCAUAAUAAAAUUUAUUAUAUUAAUUUUAAAAAAUUAAUAAUUAAUUGAUAUCUUUUAUAAAUUAUACCAAUGAUAUAAUUUUUAUUAGUAAUAUAUUUAUUACUUUAUCAAUCAUAUAUUUAAUACAUUAAAUCUUUUACAUUUUUUUUAAUAAUAUAUAUAUAUAUAUAUAUAUAUAUAUAUAUAUAUUAUUUUUGUUUUAAUAUAUAAAUAUAUUUAUGUAUCUUAUUUUUAUAAAAAUUUAUUGAAAUAACAUAGUAAUAUAAUUUUUAAAAUUAAAAAUAAAAUAUAACUUCUAAAAUCUAUUCAAAUAUUUAUACUUUAUUCUCAAAUAUUAUAUAAUAAUAAAAUAUUUUAUUUAUUUUUUAAUUAUAUGAUAUUAUUUAUGAAGCUUUUAGUUAAAUUUCAAAAUAUUCUAUAACUUUAUUUGAAAGUUAUUUUAUGUUUUGAAAUUUCUAUUAUUGCAUAAUGAUAUCCAUGGGCUAGUUAGGAAUAGGAUUUGAUAAAGUAGUAGGUUGAACUUAGACAAGGUAUAACUACCAAAGUAGAUAAGCUCACCCAUGCUCGUUGAGAUAAAAAGUGAGAUACAUUGGUAUGUUCAAGUAGCAUGUGCAAACAAUGUUGAAUAGAUGUAGAGAUUGAUGGCCUCUUUAAUAAACAUACAUUUUUUUAUAGAAUAAGUUAUAAGUUUGAAGAAUCUUUUACUUGGCUCAAUUUUAGAAAGAUAGGUUAUCUUUGUUAUAGAUAUUAGAACCACAAUACCUCAACUAAUUGCACUUUCAAGAAAAUAUAUAUUAUAAAAAUAUUCAUGAUUUUUAAAAGAGUUAUAUAUUAUAUUUAUAUUUAUAUUAUUAUUUUAAAAUCUCUCACUUUUUAUUAAUUUUAAUUAUAUAUGUUACUCAUGUAAUUUAGAGCUUAUUUAUAUUACAAAUCUUAUUACAUGCUUUUGAUUUUUUUUCCAACUUAGUUAACUAAAAUCAUUAGUCAAAUUUCUAUUCAUUAUUAAUUUUUUAUUAUAAUCAAUGCAAUUGAGCUCUUAGCUAUAGUACCUAUAAAAAUAAAAAUCAAAAUCAAAUAUUUAUUUUUAAUUUAAAACUUUCAAAUUCUAUAUAUUUAUAAUUGUUUUUUUAAAAUUUAUAUUCUUAAAAAUAUAAUAAUCCUAUAAAAUAAAAGAUGUUGUAAUUUAAAUAAAAAAAUGUUAAAUAGACCAAAAACUUUGCUAAAAAAACCCACCCAUCCUAACCAUCAUGAAAAAAAAUAAUAACCUCUAGAUUCAUUUUGCCACUAUUGGAUAUGCCAUCAAUAAAAACCAACCACAUUUAACAUUCGUUAUGAUUACCAUAUUCUUCAUCAAAGGUGGGUCUAUUUUACAAAAACAUGGGUCUAUUUAACAUUCACAUUUAAAUAUUAUACAUUUAAAUAUUUAACAUUCACAUUUAAAUACUGUUUUAGUCACAAAUGAGGUUUUUCUGGAUGCCUCAAUCUAUCACACAUUUCGAAUAAUUGACUUUUUGAGUAGUGAAUGUUUUCAAUAUCUCAGUGUCCAAUGAAGGUCAACUCUUUCCACUCAAAAAGCUUUCAAUAACUGUUUGGUUGCAAAAUCUGUUCGUGGUCUCCAUAUCUGCUAUUUUGUUUGCAACAUAUACAUUAAGACUAUUGGUAGAUGCUUGGCAGGAGGCCCUGAGUAGCUUUCAGAAAUAGAGUAUAACUGUACCACUAAUCAUCUGCUCACCAAUGUGCGCAGAUGAUUACCUACGAAAUUACUGACUUCUACAUUAGAUUUUGUGUUGUGAUAGAUAGCAACACAUUAUCUGUGGUGACGUUGCAGAAAAACAGUUAGACUCACAGUCGUAGGGAAUUAGAUUAGCAUCGACGUAGAUCUGGUGGUUGCAAAUGGCCUAAGUCAUUUUAGUGCGAUGCUGUAGGGGCUGCAGAUUGAAGUGGUAGAAGUUUUCACCACCGACUGGUUAAAACUACGCUGUCACUCUACAUGUAAAUUUCUUUCAUGGAAAGAAGUACAAUACAGAGCUUCAAACAAACAUUUCAUGGAAAGAAGUACAGUAAUAAGCUUCUGUAUGCAGUAGACUCUACAAGCUCAGAGGUUUUGAAAAUACACACGUUUAUCUAUAUAUAUAUAUAUAUAUAUAUAUAUAUAUAUGUGUGUGUGUGUAUGUGUGUGUGUAUACAAUUGAGUGAUUGAUAGAAAUUAAAAUGAAGUUUGAUGUAAUAUCCAAAAAUUUGAAGAGGUUUCAGCUUGUUAACUGUGUCAGUACAAAUUUCAGAGCAGAAUUCUUCAUAGCGGUAAUUUACCAUUACCCUAUGUAUACCUCCAAACCCGAUCCGUAAGCCAGUGUGUAGGAAAAUUCACUCAAAUCAGUCUUCACCAACUUAGAACAUCAAUUUCUCCUUCUUAAGAUAUCUUCAAAACAUUGAAUUAUUGACAUUGCCAUGAACACGCUUCUCUCCAAAGAAGUGUGAGAUUUAUCGCUAAGCAAUGGGCAGACACCCUGAAGCAAUAGAGGGAGUGAAGAAAGGAAAGCUCAAAACACUGCGAGGAAGACCAUGCUUACAAUGUAACACACCCAAUUUCAUUGAACUGAAAAACUGCCGCAAAUCUGCUGCAUUCGUAGUGUAUGUACAUGCUCAUCACCACAAUUUAUUCUCCAAUUCUACACAAUUCGACAAUCUUCACAGUUCAGAUCCAACAAAUGAACAACAUAGAUCAACACUAUUCAACAUCCGUCCUGGAUUCAACGAAUCGCAGGCGAAUCCUCUAAUCCUCUAAUCAAGGUAACUCGCGGCGAUGACACCCUGACAGCCCUUGGGAUAGAAGCCUCCGGGCUUGGAAGCAUCUCCGGUCCCGUAAACAGUUUCGAACACCUGCUCGGCAGUACGAGGGUAGGAGAGAGAGUCGUUGUCAGCAGACAAUAUGUUACCAGUCACCAUCAUUUCAGCACCCAGCUCAUUUGGCACCACCAAUCCUUCGUCAACGAAAGCGUGGGACAAGUUGUUCCUCAAGUUGGAAAUGGCGUUGCUGAAAUCCGCCACGGUGUACUUGUACGGGCUGACCUUCUUGUUCUUCUGGCGGUACAUUUCGGUGCGAAUGAUAGCGUCUUGACCCGACUCCACACCCAGCAAACCAGCCACAAGCUGCAACACCCAACGAACAAUGUAAGAUCCUUAAAAAUAGCUCCAAUAGCCAUCAACAACGAGAUUAAGAAUGUGGCCUUCGCAAGCUUUACCUUCUUGGCAUUGUAUCCCUUCAACUCGGGGUUAGCGCCGACGUAUCCCGUCAACCCAACGUAGGGAAUGGUGUACGUGGAGAUGAGGUACUUCAAGCUGUCUUCAUAAGGAUCAUAGGGAGGGUUCAGCUUCUCGCCGAAAGUCUGCAGGAACGCCUUGUCCAUCGUAUCGGCCCAGGUCUUUUUGCUAAUGUCCAGCUGAGUGCGAGGGAAUGCACACCUGGGAGGAUCACCCAAAGCUCUCUUGAUCGCCCUGAGAUGUCCAACUUCCUGAAGCCCCAUCUGAAUGUAGAUAUCGGUAUAGUAAGCGUCCAAAUUGGCCUUCUGAGCACCAAUGGGGGGGGGACCGCCAUCGACCAAGUAGGGAGCAAUCUUGUCCAAACCAUAGCCGUAAGCUCCCCACAAGAAAUACUCCGCUUCGAAAUACUCCAAGUUCAGAGCAACCUGCGUGAGCUCCUUGUCCUUGGUGGUGGUAUAGUUCCCGGGCCGGCACUUGUAGUCGAUGUCCAGCCCCCCGAUCAUCAGCUCAUGGUUGUCGUCAUGUUUACUGCCGCUAGCUGCAGCAAAGCUCAGCACAAGAAACAACCCAACAGCAAAAACCAACACGUUCCGAGUACCCAUCAUAACAACAACACUGUGUUCACACCCUGAAGGAAUCCGCUCCUGAUUUUUCAAGGUGAGGGAGAGUGAUAGUCACACAUCGAACUCAUUGCAUCUAAGUACUUAUUACAUGCGGUGGCGAGGCGCAAACGCGACCAUGAUCGACUGGUGACGAAGCCAAUUCGACCGUGAGGGCCACCACCUGCAUGCAUGAAGUCCCGGUGGCCAGUCAUCGUGGCGUGCGGAUAUCAAGGCCACGAGACUGAUUAACCCGCCAACAAGCCCUCCUCCGGGUAUACUUCCUUCCAGCAUGAUGAUGAUUCUCGCAUGGUUUCUACCUCUCAAAUAUUAUUAUAAUUUCUCUCUCUCUCUCACUCUCACUUCGUUUUUUGCAACGGCAAAAAAACUAUAGCUUAUAACAACAUAUCCGGACGACUGUGCAGUGAAAUAUUAUAUGACCCAUUGUUUCAUUUCAAGCCAAAAUUAGAUCUCUUUUUCUUCUUCUGUAGAGUUUCUUUUUGGGAUGAGUAAUGAGUUGCAUGUUGAGUUUUCUCUACUGCGUGGGUUUCAAUGCAGGAACUUCAAUAAUGUUUUGGCUCCAUAUUUUUAAAUUAAUAGGAUAUUAAUUUUAAAAACUAGUAAAUAUAUAUAUAUAUAUAAUAUUAAAAUAUAUCUUUUAAUUGUACUAUGUCAUAAUAUUCUUUGAUGGCAUAUUCAAGUCAACCACUUAAUGUACAUGCUUAUAUUAUCAAAUUGUUAAAUAUUUAUAUUUAAUUUAGUAUAUCAUAUAUAAGAUAAAAAUAAUUAAUAAUAAAUAUAUAAUCUAUAAUAAAAAAAUUUAAUAAAUUAUUUGUAAGAGAAAAAGAUGUUUUUAGCAAAUAUUUUCAUUAAAAUCUUUAAAUUUAAAAAUUUUCCAUUUAAUAUAAUAAAUUGGAAGAUUUUGAUAAAUAUUUGUAAUUUAAAAGUAUAUCUUUAUAGUACAAAGUGAUUUCAAGCUAUCAAAUAAUAACAAAUUAAUGAACUAAAUAAAUUGGAAAAAUUAAAUUCUAACAACAUUGUUAGAUAAAAAUAAAACAAGAUCAUUCUAAUUGUUAAAAAAAGAAAGGAAAAAAAGAAAACCAAAUAUACAUUGACAAGUAUAAAUGCUUUGUGAAAGUUUUCAAUGGCGACUCACAUAAUUCUCUAGAAAAAAUCACUUUACAUUCCAAAAGCCAAAUUGCUUGCAUGUAACACUAAUAUCUAGAAUGGAAAAGGAACACUUUUUGUGUAGAAUAGCAAAACAAAGGUGUUGAAAGGCUCUCCACAAACGUGAUCCGUGAGACCCCCAUUGACAUAAUAAAAGGCAAAAAGGAAGGUUCAAUGAGGAGCUUCACCACUUACGAAGCAAAAUGUGGGUGCAUUUCUAUUCUUCAAAUUCAAAGAGUGCCUAACAGCAAAAGGCCUUUCAACAGUUUCAAAACCCACCAUAGUUUUCGAAGAUGAAAACCUGUAAAACAAAUGAAAUAAAAACAAAACAAAACAACAAAAACACUCUAAAUCACUAUAGCGGGAAAUCAGACUUGUCUGCCGAUCUACCAGAACUGACUCAACCUUGCGUGGCUACUUCAUAGAUACGCAUCUUUGAAAACAUUCUCGCAUGCGAAAGCCAAAACGCGAUGGAAAAGUGUGAGAUUCCGGAGGGGAGGACUCUCACGUCAUUGUUUAUUCGAGUCAAAGACAUGAGCAAUUUGACGCCGUCGCAUGCUUGAAUGCAUUCAAAACGCGCGAUGGGUCCGGAGCUCUAAAAUGGGGUCACAUAUGCACAUCGCACGCCACGACCACUUGCCGAGGUUGUCCGCUUGCCAGACGAGAUACAGAAACCAGCACUAUCAUGCAAUUCUUCCUUUUUUGCAUGGCAUGGUAUGGCUGGCCUGUGCCGCGACCUCAUCCGGAAGCCGUGACAGUCCAGUUCUUGAGAAUAAAGCUACUUCGAAGCUACAAAGGACCCAGUUCAACAAGCAGCUGGCUCAGUCUCGGGGUCUCGGUGGUCGGGACCGCCGGAUGCUCCACGUCGCGAUUCGGACAGUCGUCGCGUAUGCGGGGAUUGAUGCAUCCACAUCCGAACCUUCUUCUUCAUCGCCAUGCAUUCCACAACCAUGGCUGGUUUGCUGUUGUGACGCCAUGCAAUCGCAGUUCCGCAAGCGACAGGUUACGAUCCCGGAGACUACAGCACGGCGUCAUCCAUUUCCUUUUUGGAGCUUUCACGAGCAGAUGAAUUAGCAUUCGCCACGCUCGCCACAAUGCGUCGCCAUCGCGAUUGCUCUAUUCUGCUACUCUCGAGGAGCUUUCCACACCAUAAGUACUCAUGAAAACGACUCUUUUGUCCCACUAUUUUAAGUUGAUAUAUUUGUUUUUUUCUAUCGUUUUCUUGGUGCUUGUUGUGUUUUUGCAGAACGCCUUGUUGUACAUAGCCUUGUUUGGCCAGGUGGGGUAAUUGCAAAGCAUUCCAUCUUUUGUUUCUUAAUAGUCAUGUAUUUGUUAAACAUAGCCUUGUUUGGCCAGGUGGGGUGAUUGCAAAGCAUUCCAUCUUUUGUUUCUUAAUAGUCAUGUAUUUAUUAUACAUAGCCUUGUUUGGCCAAGUGGGGUGAUUGCGAAGCAUUCCAUCUUUUGUUUCUUAAUAGUCAUGUAUUUGUUAUACAUAGCCUUGUUUGGCCAGGUGGGGUGAUUGCAAAGCAUUCCAUCUUUUGUUUCGUAAUAGUCAUGUAUUUGUUAAAGUAGUGCAAUUCCUUAGCAAUAUAUCUUCAACCUUUGGAUCAUAGUUGGUUGGUAGAAAGGACAAGUUUCAUCCACAUUUUUAAUUUGGGUUUUGUGAAUGAACAUCAAAGUCAAUGAUUGUUUUCAUUUACUUUAGAAUGUAUAGAAUUGUUGUUAUUUUUGGAAUUCUAAUUUUUUUUUGUUUAUUUGUUUGUUUGUUUGUUUUUUUAUUUUGUUUUUUUUCACACAUUUGGGAUAUAUUAGAUCUAUUCAUUAAGAAAAUAAAAUAUGACUUCAAAAUCUUUAGAUCCAAAAAUUGAGCAGCAAAUAUAUUACUACUACUACUAGAUAUUAUGGUAUAUUUGUUGUUAAGCUAGUAUGUAUAAUUCAACUCAAAUAGUUGAAGAAGAGGGAGUGGAGAGAUCUAGCAAUGGCAUUGAUUUGUUUUCAAAUAGGUUUAGUCAUGCCAUUAGAAGAUGCUUAGCAUUGCAUCACACAUCUUUUUUAUUAGUAUUUAAAGUCGAUUAAGUGGAUAUAAUUUGCAAGAUUAAUACUCAUCUAUCAUACUAAUUAAAAUAUCUUUUGGAGUCAUAAUCUUCACCUUAUUUUGAACUUGAGAUCUAAAUGACAUCACAAUAGAGCACUACAUCUUUGACAAUGGAAUAGCUCCCAUGCAUACUACAUAACUUCAACAAUCUAAAAGAAAUGUGAGUUCCAUUCUUUUUAGAUAUGAUCUAAAGAUUAAUAGCAUCUACCAUUUGCUUAUACAUUUGGAUGCUCAAGGCCCUACAGUUAGAAAAUAUAUAUAGCUUAGUUAAAAUAUAAUUUGAUAUUCUUCAAGUGAUCCAUCAUAGAAACCAUCCGGAAUAAAACCAUGCAAUUUAUAGUAAUUGACAAUGUUAUAGAAAAAAACUCCAAAUAACUUAUGUUGAAAGAAUAGAUAGUUACUAAUCUACAUUGAUCAAUAUAAUCUUAUUUACUAGUAGAAAGUGGAUUCUUUGAAGUUAAAUUCUUGUCAUCUAAAGAUAUGCACUAUACCCUCUACUCAGUUCUAAAAUAUGAAAAGAAAGAAAUAUCCUUCAUUUCUUAGAAUUUCUUUUUUUUUGUAGAAAAUAAAGACUCUUAUAAAUAUUAAGCAUACUUAGUCUAAAUUUAGUUUUUAAAUUUGAGCCAAUAUCUUUGCUAUAAGAAUUAUCCAAAUAUUAUCACUUUUUUAUUAAACAAAGUCUUAUAGGUUGAAGAUGCAUCAUCUUAUACAAGUAAGACAUCAAGACAUAGAAUCAAAAUUCAAGUUCAUGAUGUCACCAAAAUACUAGAUAAAAAAAACCUUCCAUGCUAGACUUUAGACAUAUUAUUUCUAUACAUGAUUGUUAUCUCAAGGCACCUAAAUCAAUGCACCAGAUGCCAAGAUUUUGAAUACAUUAUUAGUAUAUAUAAAUAAUAGAUAUAGGACCUCUAUACUUCUUGGAAUCAAGACUAUCUAUUCUUUUAAGGCCCGAUAUUAAAACCUUAAAUAUACUCCAAAUUUAUGAGCAAAAAUACUAAACAAUGACUUUAUCCAUAUUAGCAACAUCUAGAACUCUAAGGUUUGGAUCAAAACUCCUCUAACCAUUGAUAACUUGAAGAUAUACAAAACCAUCUACCCUCCUUCAAGAACAUUCUCCCAUCAUAACUACCUUCACCAAUAAGUAAUUACAAUUGGAUCACAAAUCCAAAGAACACAAAGAUUUCCUUCAAACCAACACUUCUUUAAUUGAAGUUUGAGAUUAGUCAAGGCUUAGUUUAUUUAAGGCUCAAUUCUCUACAAACUUCAAUGCAACUAAUGAUAUUUGAAGUAAUAUGAGGAAGAAUAGUAUCUCAGAUGCUAAAUAAUUUUUACACAACAUGCUCUAUACCAUUAAGAUACAUUAGCAAUUCGAUAGAUAUUACCUUGGAAUUACCUAUCGUUCAAAAAAAAUAUACACUUUGCCUCUUCUUCCUUCUUUUCUUUUUUUCUCUUUCUAUCUUAAUGUACCACAAUACUUGAAAUUCCUCUAAUAUUGAGAAGCAUACAAAAUAUUGUUUAAUCUUCUCUCAAGAAUAAGUUCCAAUUCAUAUUAAAAAAAACAUAAGUCCAAAGAUAUUCUACUAACCAACUCAAGUUAUAAUAAUUCUAUCAAACAAAACCAUUGCAUCAUUUUUUUUUUUUUUACAAUCUUUAUACAAACAAUAUCUUUUAUCUCCUCUCAUAACAGAUACGUAUUUUAAUACAAAAUCUUUUUAAUCCACUAUACUAUAUUAAAAAAUCUAUUAAAAUAUUAUUACUAUACUAUUUUAGUAAAAUUAAGUAUAAAAGGUCAACAAUCAAUCACCUUUUGUUAAGUAUUUUUAUUCAAAGAUCAAACAAAAUGAUUGUUUCAAGAAGAAAAGAUGCUUAUAUUGAACAAAAUAAUUUUAGAACUCUCUAAGGUAAUUGUGAAUAAACAUAUUACUAAAAAUUUCUUCCACAAGUAUAACGACCUAAUUUGAAGAUAUAAAUAAAAAAUAAUUGAUGAUAGAAAUAAUUAUUGUAUAUGUGUGGCAUUUAUCUUAAUACUACUUUACAACCUUAAAUUUCAAAAAUCAAAGUGUCAUCUAUAGAUAUCUUUUAAUACAAUGCUUAGAGCUUUCUUAUUGUUAAGCUCCAUAGAAAUACUAUAUCUACUCCUAUAUCAAGCCAAAUUUAUAGUAAAAGGUCUGAUAAGCAAGAACAAAUACAAAAAUAAUCUUUUUCCUUUAAGACCACUUUAGCAAAAAACUAAAGUGGUUACAAAUCAAGAACUCCACCACUUAAACUGCAAAAUUGGUAAUUCUAUUGACAAUCAUAAAAACCAUAAAUUUUGAUAUAAUUUCUUCUCCUCAAAUGAAUGUAAUAAAUAUAUUCAUUACUUUUUUUUGAUGUUUAAUCAUUAGGCCAAGACAUCUAAGAUGUUUGCAAGUAAAUAAAAUUCUAUAAUCUAAUCUAGAAAGCAUAUUCACAUUUGGAGGUAAUUCUACUACAUGAACACCACCUCAAUAUCAAUGAUUGUGUUCAAUGCAUCAAUUAAUCUUAAUUUAAGUAAAAAAAAACUUUUGAAACAAUGCUACCUAUAUAAUAGAUAGCGGCUCCUUAAUAAGAUACAUAUCUAUAUUAUUGUCAUAUAAAAUGGUAUUAUGGAUUCUCUUGUUUGGCACCAUAAUUGAAGUAAGAGCCAAAUUUGUGAUUAUGGACAUCAACGGUAUCUUGAUAGGCAGCUUCAAUAUAUAUAUGUAUCAAAUACUAGAGACCAACGAGCUAAGUUCUAGAAUACUUUCUUUUAACACUAUUUCAAUCCAAUUUCAUAUAUCAUUAUUAGAGAUUUUAAUAUGACAAAAAUAUACAACAAUAGAAGUUUGAGCUUCAACAAUUAAAUGAUGGCAUAUUAUGAAUAAGCUUCUUAGACAAACUUCUUUAUUUAAUUUAGCAUCUCAAAUACAUUCUAUCUAGAAUAUUAUUAUAAAAUUGACCUAAAAUAUUUUACCUAAUAAAAGAAAAAUUUCAUAUCUUGUUAGUUUAGAAUCGAUAAUUUUUACAUUAACAAAGAAUUACACCACUUUAGAGUCAUAUAGUCAAAAGUCUCCUAUUUCUUUGACUAUUAAAUUACCUUUCUCUCAAUCCAACUUAAUCCACUCAAACAUAAGAAGUUACUACAAUUCAAUUAUAAACUUGUCAUUAAUUCUAAGGCCAAAAUUGACUUUAUUCAAGCAUGGCAAGAUAUUUUUCUAUAGUAAUAUUGAAAUCAGGUGAAAGAAGAAAGAAAAUAUUUUGUUAUAGAAGAGCUUAAUAAAAGAGAUAUAGUAAAAAAUAUAGAUAAAAGAUAAGUAGGUAGUAAAACCUUACAGUGUUAAAACUACCUUUUAUGAAAAUAGAUUCUAUUUAUUUUAUAAGGCCAUAAAUAAAUAAAAAAUAAGGUAGAUUAAAAAAAUAAAGGCUAUAAGCAUAUAUAUGAAAGAGUUAGGAGUUGAUUUUAGCAAAAAAUAUCACAAAAAAUAAGAAUUGAUACCUAGAAAGGAUUAAUUAUCAAAUAAGGUCGAAAUCAAAUCUCAAGGCAUAAAACUAUCCACUUAUGAUGUUUUUAAGAUUCUUUUGUUAAUCAAAGAAUGGAUUUUGAGGAAAAAAUAUAUUAAAAUUUUUUGAGCAUUAUAUUUGAGAUAUUGAAGCUUGUAAUGACUUUAUAAGAGCUUUACAAAGUCAAGGUGAUUUUGGAUAACUAUGGAUUUUGUGAAAUAAAAUAAGAUUAAUAUUUUGGAUGAUUUUGUAAGUUUUAUAAUAGAUCUAUAAGUAAAAAUUUGUAAAUUUGUAAAUAUAGAUGUGUUUAAUGUAUAUUAUAAACUUAAAUUUAAUCAAAUAAUUAGAUUAAAGAUUAUUGAAGUUCAAGUGGAUUGAAGUUUCAGAAAUUAGAGUUUGAGAGUCAAUGAGAGUUUCUAAGAUCUUCAAGAAUUUGUUCAUUGGAUUAUAGUAAAAACAAUUCUAUAUAUAGUAGACUUAAUUUCCUAUAUUUUUUAAAAUUUUGAGAGCAAUUCAAUGAUUUAAGAAGGAGAUAUUUGUACUAGAAAUUUAGUAUUUAGGUUGAAAAAAGAAACCACCUAAUAUUUAAAUAGAUUAUCUUAUAUUUUUUUCAAUUGAUAAAUAUAGUUUAUUUUAUUUUUCUUAUGCUUUUUUUUAAUCAAGUUUUUGAGAAGUAUACAAAUUUUGAGUUAAUAUCAAUGAUUCAAUCAUUAUUUGUUGAAAUUUCAAUCUAUUGUAGGAUUUUUUAAGAAUUUGUUUAAAAUUUAGAUUUUGAUUAGAAUUUGGUUUAAGAUAUGGAAUAAAUUAAGUUUGAUCUAAGAUUUAGGAUUUCAUUGGAAUUUAGUUGAGGAUUAGGAUUUAAGAUUUUAUUAGAGUUUGGUUCAAGGUUAGAAUUUAAGAUUUGAUUAGGAUUUGAUUUAAGAUUAGGAUUUAGGAAUUUAUUAGGAUUUUUUUAGAACUUAGUUAGGAUUGGUUUAAGAUUUCAUUAAAAAAAAUUAAAAGUUAUAUUAGGAUUUGAUUAAGAUUAAAUUAAAAUUUCUAUUUUUUAUAUUUUUAAAGAUUUUUUAUUAUAUAUAAUUUCUUAAGAUUAAUUUAUAAUUAUUUAUGUUUUUUUAUAAGUUAUUGAAAAUUCUUUUGGAAUUUAAAUAAAGAUCUAUUAGCAUUAUUAUAAUUUAAUUAGAGUUUUUUUGGGAUUAUAUUAAAAUUAUUAGGAUCAUCUUAUUGCAAGUUCUAUUUUACUUUCUACAAUCAAGUGCCAAGUUCAUUUUCAAGCAAAUUUCACGAAAUACAACAAUGCCUUCUCAAAUAAUACCAUACAAUCUUUAAAUAAGAAGAUUGCUAUGAUCUUCGAGUAAGCACAUUAAGUUAGUAACACAAUCUACAAAGAGAAGAAAUAAAAGUAUUAAAAAUUUAUUAGAAAAAAUUUUAAGAAAUAGAAAAGGCCAUAAAGACAUUCUAAAUUAAAAGAGCAAACUUAUAAGGUUAGAAAUGCUACAAUCAAGCACAAUUUUUACAUAAAGAUAUUUGACUAAUCAAAUCUAAAGCCACCAAAAAUGCCAAUGUAAUCAAAUAGUCUCACAUAGACAAAACAUGUUUAAAAGAAUUUUUAAAAUUCCACAAGAUCAAAUUCAAAUGAUUAAGUAUAUAAGAAAUCAUAAACAAUGGCUAUUACUCAAAUAUGCAAAAAAACAUCUUCUAAUAUAUCUACUAUUUUUAUAAAACCUUAUAUACAAAUGACCUCACUAUACAAAAGAAUCAAAUUAAUUGUAGCUAAUGUCUAAAUAGUAUUUCUAUUUGUAUCAAGAGAGAAUAAAAUAUAAUACUUACAUCACCUUUCAUCUUAAAGAAGAUUCAAUAUACAAAAAAAGACUUAUCAAAAUACAAGGCAAUUAGCAAAGAUACCAUUCACAUGAAAUUUAUCCAACUACAAUAGAAACUAUGUGAUAUUUUUUUUUAAGAUUUUUUACGUUAUUUUUCAAUAGAAGUUUGUUUAAGACCAAAGAAUCACAAAGUUUUAACCUUGGAUUUACAAGGCUCAAUUUAUUUUACAAACAAAGACUUUGUUAAAAAAUAAGAUAUAUCUUUAAUUAAAAAAAUAAAAAAUGUACAUGUAGAAGUAAUAAAUGGUCGUUCAUUAUCUUUUAGAGAUGUUAUACAUGAAAUUAUUUAUAUAGAAGUAGCUAUUAGUGGUGAUGAUAGUUUAAUAAUAUUUAAUAUAAGUAGAUAUCUUCUUAAUUCAAUUAUUUUAAGAUUAUUGUGGUUAAAAAGGUAUAAUAUUUAGAUAGACUAAAUUUCUUGCAAUCUUAAUUUUUUCUAUAGCUUAAUGCAAGAUUUUUCUAGAUAAGUAAAAAUCUAUAAGAUCAAUAUAUCCAAAUUAUUAUUGAUAGGUGCAAAAACUUUAAUGCAUAUUGCAAAAGAAGGAUCAACUUUUGUUAUAUAUGCCAUAUCUAUUAUUUCUGGAAAAAAUAUUUUAAGUUAUAUUCCAAAUUAAUAUCAAGAUUACAAAGAUAUCUUUGAAAAAAAAAUGCAAAUAUUCUUUCAAAAUAUUAUCUUUAUGAUUGUUCUAUUGAUCUUCAAGAAGGAGGUCAACCACUAUUUGAACCAAUCUAUAGCUUAUUACUAAAUGAGUUGGUUGCACUCAAGGAAAUUAUUGAUGAGAAUUUAGCUAAAAACUUCAUAUAUCAUUCAAAACCUCCAAUUGAGGCUCCUAUCUUAUUUGUAAAGAAAAAAGAUAGAUCUCUAUGGAUAUAUAUGGAUUAUCAAGGAUUCAACAAAAUCACCAUCAAGAAUAAGUAUCCACUAUCUUUAAUUUAAAAUUUUUUUGAUUAACUAAAUCAAACAAAGAUCCAUAGAAAAAUAGAUUUAUAAAGAACUUUCAAUCUGCUAUGCAUUAAAAAAAGAGACAAAUAAAAAAGUACAUUUCAAAUCAAAUAUAGGCAUUUUGAAUAUAAUGUCAUGCUUUUAGGACUUACAAAUGCACCAACUACUUUUUAACAUCUAAUAAAUGAUGUCUUUUGUGAAUUUCUUAAUAAUUUUGUUGUCUAUUAUUAAAAAGAUAUCUUAUUGUACUCUAAGAAUAUAGAAGAAGAUGAAGUUCAUGUUUGUCAUGUACUACAAAAACUAAGAGAUGUAGGAUGAUAUGCCAAGAUGGAAAAGUGUAUAUUUCACAUUACUCAAGUUAACUUUCUAGAAUAUAUCAUUUCAAAUGAUGGACUUAUGAUUGAUCCUAAGAAGGUCCAAAUUAUCAUAGAUUAGACAUGACAUGUAAAGAAAAACUCAAGUAGAGUAAAGAACCUAAGCAUCUUUUGAAGCUUUGAAGACAACAUUUAUUUUUGCAUCAAUCUUAUAUCAUAUUGACUUUUUGAAGAUUUCUUUAUAAAAACAAAUACAUUAGACUAUGCUAUAAAUACUAUUUUGUUACAAAUGGAAGUAGAUAAAAAAAACUCUAUCUAAUAGUUUUUUAUUUCAAGAAAUUUUUAGCAGUCAAGAUUAAUUAUGAAAUCCAUAAUAAAGAGCUUUUUAUAAUCAUAGAUUCAUUUUAUGAAUGGUAUCAUUAUAUAGGAGGCACUUUUAAUUCAGUUAUUAUAUAUGGAUCAAAAGAAUCUCAAGUACUUCAUAUCAAUAUGUGUUUUGAAUUGUUGCUAAAUCCAUUUGAAGAUAUCUUUAUCAAGAUUUGAUUUCAAGAUUACUUAUUAAUCCAAAAAAUAGCAAGGUUUGUUAGACAUUCUUUCUAAACAUUCUUAUCUUGUAUCAAAAAAAGAAAAUGUAAUUUUUUAUUAAGAAAGAAUGAUUUUUUUGAAUCUAGAGCAUUUUUAUCUUUAAGCAAUAAAAUCAACAUUGAUUGCUGAUUUAACCUUUAUUAAGAAAAUUUGAUCAAGUAUGUCUUUUGAUCUUCUUGAUCAUGAUAUCAAGAAUAUUUUUUCUAAAUUUCAUGAUACUUCUAAGUUCAAGUUCAAGAAUAAUCUACUUUAUUUUAAUAAAUAAUUAUAUAUUCUAAAAGAAAAAGCACAAUUAUAUGUUCUUUAAGCUUUUCAUGACUUUUCAAUAGCUAGAUAUUUUGGAUACAAUAAGACUUUGGAGCUAAUAUUAAGAGAUUUUUGAUGGCUUCAAAUGUAAAAGAUAAUUAAAGAUUUUGUAUCAUAAUGUGAUAUUUUUUCAAGAUCAAAAACUCUUCUUCAUUAUUCUUAUAGACUUUUUCAAUCAUUACUUAUUCCAAAAUAAUUAUAAUCUUUUAUUUCUAUUGAUUUUUAUUACAGAUCUUUCAUUCUUAGAUUUAUAUGAUUUUAUAUUUGUAAUAGUAGAUUAUUUUAUUAAAAUGAUAUAUAUUGUACUAUGUACAAAAUUUAUUACAUAAGAAGAAAUAGCUAAUUUUUUUCUUAACAAAAUCUAUCACUAUCAUGAAUUAUCUAAAAUUAUUAUAUUAAAUAGGAUGACUAAAUUUGUAUUAAGAUUUUAAAAAAUAUUUUUAAGAUUCUAAAAGUAGACAUAAAGUUCUCUUUGACUUUUCAUCCUCAAACUAAUCGAAAAAUGGAUUAGAUAAAUCAAAUUUUAGAGCAAUAUUUGAAGUAUACCAUCAACUAUCAUCAAGAUGAUUAAACAAUUCUUUUAUCAUUGAUAGAGUUUACAUAUAAUAAUUUGGUAUAUUUUUCUAUUCAAAAAUUACUUUUCUUCAUCAAUUAUGGUUAUCAUCCAUGAAUUGAUACUUUUGACUUUUCAAAAGUUGAUAAUCUUGUGGUAGAAGAUUUGAUAAAUAGUUUAUCAAAGCUACAUGUAAUAAUGAAGGUACAAUUAAAAGAAGCCCAAGAACGAUCAUAGCUUGAUACAUAUGCCUAUUACAAGGAAUAAUUAUAAUUCAUUGUAAGUGACAAGAUAUGGUUACUUCAUUGCAAUAUAAAGACUAUUCAUCUUUGUGACAAGUUAGACUAUUGUGGGCUUAGACCUUUUUGUAUUUGUGAACAUGUUAAUUCUAUUUUUUAUAAAUUACAUCUAUUAGAAUCUAUGAAGAUCUAUUCUAUAUUUCAUAUAUUUAUUUUUAAGCCAUGUAAGAUAGUAAAUAUUUUAAAAAGAAGACAAAUGCUACUUCUUUUUAUGAAAAGAAAUAAUAAUCAAGAAUUCAAGGUAGAAGAAGUCUUAAAUUCAAGGUGGUCAAAAAUAGAUUAAAACAUCUUGUUCAUUGGUGUAGAUAUGAUAUUAAUAAAUGUUCAUGGAAGCUAGAAAAAAAUCUUACAAAUGUAACAAAGAAAGUUGAGUCUUUUCAUCAAUAACAUCUAUCAAAACCAAGAUGAAGAAUAGCAAAUCUUUGCUGUAAAAGAAACAACAUCCAAAAAAGAUAGCAUUCUACUUUCUAUUAUUUUAUAUAUUUGUGAUGCUAACGAGAUAAAAAAAUCAAUAAUCAAUACAUUCAACUUAAGAACUAUUACUUAUUAAUUUAUUAAAUAAGAUAUUGUGAUUGUUAAAACCUUCAAGAUGAUGUAAUCAAGAUGAAGAUCAUCAAAAAUAACAUGUCUUUUUUCAAAUAAAUAGCAAAUUAUAACGUAUUUGAUAUCACAACCUUAGAAAAGACUCUCAAUGUUUGGUGAUUUUAUUAGAGAUAGAAGCAACCCUUAAAAAUAUUUCAAAUCUUUUAUUUAAAAAGAAUUAUGAAGGCCUCAACAAUGAUCAAAUAAUAGGAUAGUCUUUUGGUCUUCUUAUCGAAUAUUAUCAAUAACUAAAAGGAUCUACCAAAAAUCUUUGAAGAGAAUAAAGAUCACAGUAUGUAGCAAAUAUAAUUUGCCACAUCUUACAUUUCUUCAACAUAUGAUGACCUCUAUUUUUAUAACUUACCUUUAAAAGGAGAAGUAAUAUCAAAAAUAUAUAUAUAUAUAUAUAUAUAUAUAUAUAUAUAUAUAUAUUUUAAUAAUUAUCUAUAUAAUUAAAUAGAAAUAAAUAAAAGUAGAUUUAUUUUAUAAUAUUUUUUAAAUGAGCUUCAUAGACGUUGCUUUGAUUUUAUAUAUGUUUAUAGUUAAUUCAUAGAUAAUAUAUUUUAUCAACAAGUUAACCACAUGUGGUAGCUUGUAGAAUAAGUUAAUUAUGUAGUACACAUUUAUUGUCAAGGACAAGAGUUUCAAAAAAAGAAAACCUUCAAUGCACUCUGGUGUCACUUAAAAGAACUAGAAAGUCACUCAAAAAUGAUAUAUUAUUGAACUAGAAUGACUAUUGCCAAAGAUAACAAGAUUAGAAAGUCUUAGAAUAAGACUAAAGACUAGGAAUGUGCUGACAAGAGUGAAGAAGGCUUCACUCUUGCCUCCAUGUAUACUAUCUCACUAAGAGCUAUGUGGCGAUGUCCUAUAAGAUCUCCAAUAUGUAUUGACUUUGCUAACCACAUAUCUUAUCUUGCAAGGCAAGUUAUCUAUGUAUGCGUCAUAUAGUUGGCUUGUUCCACAAGCUACUACACGGAGAUAACUUGUUCUACAAACUACUAAUACAUGGUUAGCUUUUUGGCCAAGUUUCUAACCUACAAACUUAUCUAAAAUCAAAACUGCAUCUAUGAAGCAGUUAAGAAGCUUCUCUGUAAGAUUUUAUGAAAUUAUUCUAUAUUUACCUAUUUCUACUUAAUCAUAUAAGUAACUAUUGAGAUAAAUAUAUAUGUCUAUGACAUUAUCCUCCCUUCUAGGGACGAGUUCCAUAAGGAGCGGUCUUCAUAUGUUGAGAAAGUCCAAGAUGCGGAGAAUUAUAUUUGCUACAUACUCCAAUCUUUGCUCUCUUUGAAGAUGGUUGAUAGGUCCUCUCAACCAUCUAUAAUCUCACAUAUUAGGACAAGAAGACUACCCUAUUAUUUCGUCAUUAUUGAGGCCUUCAUAACUUCUUUCAAAUAAAAUAUUUAGAACAUCAUCAAGAGUUGUUCCUACUUCUAAUAAAAUCACUAAAUAUUAGGAGUUUCUUCCAAGGUCAUGAUACCAAAUACAUUAUAUCUCGCCAUCUUUUUGAGGAAGGACAUGUCAUUCUUGAGGAUCUUUAUCUCAAUUUAGUUGUCUUGAAGGUUGUGACAAUCGCAAGGUCUCGUCUAAUAAGUUCGUAAUGAAAGCUCUUGAGUUGAAUCUGCUAGUUGUUAGUGCUCUAUCUCAUCACAAAUAUACAGAAACUACAAUGAAAGAUAGAAGGCAGAAUGUUAUUUUUCUUUGAUCUUGUUUCUUUUGUAGCAAAAGUUUGCUAUUCUUCAUCUUGGUUUUGAUAGAUGUGGUUGAUGAAAGACUUCAACUUUCUUUGCUAUAUUUACAAGAUUCUUUGAUGGCUUCCAUGUGCGUUCACUAAUAUCAUAUCCAUGCCAAUGAAUAAGAUAUUUCAACCUAUUUUGGUGCCACCUUGAGUCUAAGACUUCUUCCACUUCAAACUCUUGGUUAUUAUCCACUUCUAUAGGAAGAGGUGGCAUUUGUCUUCUUCACAAGAUAUUCACUGUCUUAUACGGCUCUAGAAGAGAUACAUGAAAUACAAAGUGAAUCUUUAUAGACUCCGGUAGAUGUAAUCGAUAGGCAAUAGGAUUGAUUUGUUCACAAAUAGGAAAAGGUACCAGCCUAUGAUAAUCUAAUUUAUUACAAGGACGAGUAGUCUUGAUAUUACGACAAAGUAAUCAUACCUUAUCACCCAUAGUAUAUUGUAGUUGUUCCUUGUGAUAGGCAUCCGCAUUGAUCUUUUGUCAUUCUUGAGCUUCUUUUAAUUAUAUCUUUAUUGUUAUAUGUAGCUCUGACAAGUGAUUUGCUAAAUCUUUCGUCGCAAGAUUAUCAAUUUUUAAAAAGUCAAAAGUAUCAAGACAUGGAUGAUAACCAUAAUUGGUAAAGAAAGGUAUUUGUUGAGUGGAAGAAUGUAUCAAAUUAUUAUAUGCAAAUUCUACCAAUGGUAAAAGAGUUGUUUAAUCAUCUUGAUGAUAGUUGAUGGUACAUUUCAAAUAUUACUCUAGAACUUAAUUUACCCAUUUGAUUUGUCCAUCAGUUUGAGGAUGAAAAGUUGAAGAAAGAUUUAUAUCCACCUUUAAAAACUUGAAUAGGAUUUUCUAAAAUCUUGAUACAAAUUGAAUUUUUCUAUCCAAUAUAAUAUUCUUUGGCAAUCCAUGAUAGCGAUAGAUAUUGUCAAUAAAAAACUUAGCUAUUUCUUCACCUGUGAUAGAUUUUGUAUAUAGUAUAAAAUGUAUCAUCUUGGUAAAGUGAUCUACUAUCAUGAAUAUAGAGUCAUAAGAACCUAAGAUUGGAAGAUCUAUGAUGAAAUCCAUAGAAACAAAAGACCAUGAUUGUUCUGGAAUGGAUAACGACUAAAGAAGUCCUUAAGAUCGAUGACAAGGAGUUUUUGAUCUUGAGUAAACAUCAUAAGAUUGUACAAAAUCUUUGUUUGCCUUCCUUAUUUGCUGCCACCAAAAAUCCCUGGAUAUUAGUUCCAAAGUUUUAUUGUAUCCAAAAUGUCCUGCUAUUGAAAAGUCAUGAUAAGCUUAAAGAACACGUAAUCGAGCUUCAUCUUUUGGAACAUAUAGGCAUCCUUCA
This 93237-nucleotide long non-coding RNA is filed under the name Physcomitrium patens. RNAcentral describes it as "long non-coding RNA (PPAT_LNC004628)". Lineage: Eukaryota; Viridiplantae; Streptophyta; Bryopsida; Funariales; Funariaceae. The record is from RNAcentral.